RNAcentral lists this long non-coding RNA (89912 nucleotides) under Setaria viridis. Its description in RNAcentral is "long non-coding RNA (SVIR_LNC011373)". The record is from RNAcentral. Lineage: Eukaryota; Viridiplantae; Streptophyta; Magnoliopsida; Poales; Poaceae.
GUUGCUGUAGGUUCGUGAUCGUGCUACACUCUAUCUCCAAACUCUUGGUGGUGAAGUUGUCAUUGGUAACAAUGAGAAGGAUGCGAAAGACUUCCUAUUUGGAUCUUUUGAUGUGCCACUUGCCAACUUAGAAGCAAGCCUAAGAACCUAUGUAUGUUUAGAAUGAGCAUUAAACUUCUGCAUGUUUCAACUGAAUGCAUACCUUUUGCUUAUGUCUUCAAGAACUUAACAGGAACCUUCGGAGGAGCCUUUUGACAUUUCAUUGGUGUCGAGAGAUAUCAGGUCGCUACCACUUCAAGAGAAGAAGGCCCCUGGAAAGAAGGCACCUGCUGCCGCGGCCUCUGCACCUGUUUCAGCUGUUGAUGCUUAUGAGAAGAUGCUUUCAUCCAUUCCUGAGUUCUCUGGGUUUGGAAGACUCUUCAAGGUUUGCAUAACUUUUAGUUUCUUUUAAUUUUUUGACAAGCACAUAUGCUAAUUUUCUCAAUUUCUGCAGUCCUCUGAACCCGUGGAGCUGACGGAGGCAGAAACUGAAUAUGCUGUUAAUGUGGUUAAGCACAUUUAUGAUAGCUAUGUUGUAUUGCAGUACAAUUGUACAAACACUAUAGAAGAACAACUGCUAGAAAAUGUAAGCAGUUUCAAGUAUUUUUUGUCAAGCUGUAAAUGUUAACUCAAACUGAAGGCUUAGUAAAUGUCUUUGCUUCUUUCAGGUCACUGUUUGCGUUGACUCCUCAGUUGCUGAGGAGUUUUCAGAAAUUUGUUCAAAGCCUCUGGCAAGCUUGCCUUAUAAUUCUACUGGGCAAAUUUUUGUUGCUUUUGAAAAGCCGGAGCGCCUACCUGCUAUUGGAAAAAUGUUUAAUUUGCUGAAGUUUACUGUUAAAGAGGUAAAUGUAAUGGUGCAUGUAUAUAAUCUUCUCCAAUAUCAAACAUUACUCAUGUUAUCCUGUGUUUUCCAGUGAUUGUAGUAUGGUUAGUUCUGUAUCAUAUGAAUUUGGUAUACGUCUGGGAUUUUCUAUUGAAAUCACAUGAAUUAGCUAGUCUGGAAACUCUCUGAGCAAUCUGUAAUGUUUUAGUUUACCACCUUUAAUUCUGAGAAAUUUGAGAAAAUAUUCUAGGAUUCACAUGACUAUUAAGUCUUUUUAAUUUAGAAUGAAAUGAAGGCAUGGGCUUUAAUAAUUAAGCCACUGUAUUUGAAUUGUUCUAUAACUAAGAUACUAGAUACCUUCCCACUUUGUCAGGUUGACACAUUUACAGGGGAAGCUGAUGAGGAUGGUGUGGAUGAUGAAUACCAGUUAGAGGACUUCGAAAUUUUUGCAGCUGAUUAUAUGCUGAGGGUUGCUGUCUCAAACUUCAGAAAUGCCUGGGAAAAUAUGGACCCAGAGAGUGAGCGUGUUGAUGAGUAUGGUCUUGGGGUUAGAGAGAGCUUGGCUGAGGCUGUCAGUGCUGUUAUUAACAUCCUUGGGAUGCAGCCGUGUGAGGUUAGCUUCCAAUUCUCUAAAUUUAUCUCAGAAUAGCAACUGCCAGUUUCCAUUUGCAUCAUUACAUAUUUCUUAGAUCAUCAGUAAUAAAGCUCAAUGCAAGAAUUUAGAAGCACUUGAAAUGGCAUCUUAUUCAUCUACAAUUAUGUCGGACCUUGAUAUCCUCAUGCUUUGUUAUGGGGGUUAUUGUGUGAUAGUUGGCUGGCUAUAAAAUUUGAAUAAUCCGUGUGCUUUAAUUCGGAAUAUCAAGACACUUCACUUGGCAUAGGAUGCUAGACGAGUACAAUGCCAUUGCAGUCCAGUGGGGACUUAAGAUCCCUAGAGCAUCCGGAACUUGGUACAUGAAGGGUUGCUAAUUGCUCCAGUAUCUCUUUCUUUUUCAGGGCACUGAGGUUGUACCGAGAAAUGCAAGAUCCCACACCUGCCUGCUUUCUGGUGUGUUUAUCGGUGAUGUGAAGGUUCUAGUCAGGUUGUCAUUUGGACUCAGUGGGCCCAACGAAGUGGCGAUGAAGCUGGCUGUCAGAUCAGAUGACCCUGAAGUCAGUGACAAGAUUCACGAGAUUGUGGCCAGUGGAUGAAGCACUAGACCCACAUCUUCUGCCAAAACAAUGUAGAACAGUAGAUAGCCUUCACUUAUAGCCGUUUGUGCUAGAAAUAGUGGUAACAUUUCGAUGCCUACAGACUCCUCAUCGCUUCGUGAAUGUCGUGAAUAUUCUCAGAUAGCAUACGAUGUAAUAGGUUCUUUUUUGCUGUACAAAUAACUUCGCAUAUGGUAGUUUGCUACACUGUUGACUCAAGUACAGAUUUCAUGAAACAUCGGGAACAGAAAUGUACCCUUUUGUCGCCGUUUGCUUUUGAUGCGUGCUGAACGGGUAGUUUGCUACUAUUUUGAGUUUUUUUUUUGCGAAAGGCUAUUUUGAGUUUUUAACUCAUGCUGUCUGCUAUUUUAACUCAUGCUGUGAAUGGUGUGCUUGAACUUUGCCUGUUUGGAGGGCCGUUUUAAGGCCGGUGUGAGUUACGUGCGUGGAAUUUUCUUGGACUGACCGACUGAGCACAAAAUUGUUACUAGGAUGGUAGAUAAAACAAGAAAAUACAAUUGAAAAUAAAAAAAAACUCGCUGGUGACAUCCUCGACUGUAUCGGCUCUGGCUCCGACGCUUCUUAAAACUUCCUGACUGCCGGCGAGGCCACGUCUUCCUCCGCACCGUCGCCUUAGCUACUCCCUCCGUUCCAAGCUCUUAUACCAUUGUUUUGAGCUCCAAUUCCAUGCUCUGCUAUCCCUAUUCCUAUAAUAGAACGCCAUGCUCUGCUAUCCCUAUCCCUAUAAUAGAACGAAAUCCGCUCCAUAGAUUCUCAAACCACGCGCUUCCACAUCGUCUCUAAAUUUGAGCCUUUUGACGGAGAUUUAGUAUGAUCUGAACCGUCGGUUCUUUUGCCUUGCCUAUUGUUAUCAUCAAUCUAUUUCGAAACUGAACUGCCUUGCAAGUUGGCGCACGCACACUCGCGUUGCAUAGCGUCUGGAUUAUCCUAUUCUCAAACAAUACUUCCGAGCUUGCUUUGCCGGUUGGUUUGCUGCCGAGCCAUAUCCCUGCGUACAAAGCGUGCUACAGUAACUGAAUCCAUAGGAAUGGGAAUCCUACGUUUUUUCCUCCAUUCCAAAGGAGGCAUUGCUGCUUGGCUCAUUGUGCCUUUCGCCGACUGUUUCUUUCCCAGCACUAUCCUGCAAACCACGCGAGCCUGAUGGAUUGAAAGAGGCACGGAGCUUCAGAUCGGUAACGCGACGUUGACAAGGGAUGAACUGAUGGGGUGGUCAUCAUCAAGGAGACAGUGCAACGACGCAUGCAGGCAUGGAGCCAGUCAGCCAGAGCACCACUGCCCAUGGUUCUGUCUAGGCACAGUUUGAUGAGAGGUGUGGAAGAACAUUCAUGGUUGGGCCCGUUGAUGAUACGCCAUUGGAAUGUUCAGGACUGUAGUUUGAUUGAUCCCGUUGCACUCGACUCCUCCUUCAGCUCUUGGCAAUCUUCUCCUCCCUUGCAAACUCAAUUGAUCAUGGAUUCAUCGGGUGAUGAGAACAUGCGCGGGAAGCAGGUUACAAUUUCCUUGUCAGAGUCUGACUCCCAAAAUAUGCACCAGCAGGCAUAUCACAAGACACAACCUUCCAAACACACUCUCAUGGCUUGAUGCAUCUCACCUCAAUAGAUGCAAGCGGCGAUCAAAGAUCCAUAAUAAGCAGGCUUAGGCCACAUCAUAAUCUGACAAUUUCCAUUCCCAAUCCGCCAAACUGAAUCUGGAUACGCUAUUUACCUCUGCUCAUCCUGGAGAAGGGAGAGGAUGGGCAGGCGGCUGACAAAAGAGGACUACGGGGAGGGGCAAGGUGAGGGGAAUUCGUGACCGGGAUAUCCGAUGCAGCGCCGGCUGCGGGUCUCCGCCUCUCCAGCAAGUCAACGUCGCCGGCGUCGGACGGGAAAGGGCAGCCAUAGCAAUGGGAGAGCGAGCGAGGUUCACCGAAACGAAACGAGGGGCUAUUUUGAAAAACUAUUGGAUCGCAGAGAAUAAUCGCGAUUCAAAAAUAGGGGGUUAAAUGUAAAUAUCUGGAUUGCGGAAAAUAGUUGCGAUCCAAAUUAGGAUUUUAUAUGAAAAUAUUUGGAUCGCGGAGAAUAAUCGCGAUACAUAUAUGCAAAUAAUUGGUUCGCGGAGAGGAGUCGCGAUCCAAAUGAGGGUCUGGUUUGCAAAAUAGUUUUUUGACCGCGGUCCUAUCUCACCGGCGUUCCUCCUCCCCUCCAGCCGCCGCGCGACGAGAAGACGGCAAGCGCUGAGACUUCCACCGCUGCCGCACCUUCUGCAUCCAGUAUCCGUACCCGUUCGGCGCGAGGGUGCUCCAAGCCUCCAAGGUCUUCACCAGCUUCGGCGGAGCGCGCCUGUGACGAGGUGCCCGGAGACACUGACGGGGAGGCCUACGCUCCUGCCGUCGCCAUAGCUCCGCCCCGGAUCCGAACACCGGCGCAAACACGCACCACACAGCGCUUGAACUCUCUCCGUGCUUCCUACAAGGCCCUGCCUCGGCGCCUCGCGUUGGCGGUCGCGCUCGAGUACGAGAGGACGGCGACCGGCGACGACCUGCGGGCAAGCAGCUCGAUCCCUCCCGCCUCUCUGGUCAUUGCAGGACGCAGCAAUAAGAUGCAGCGACUGCGAGAUGCUGUCCGUUUGAACUUUGUGGCAGAGAAUCUGAAAAUGAAUUCGAUAAUCAUCUGGUUCUGAAUUCUGAAGUGUCUUGCUGUUUUCCACCAUGGGUAUCGCCCGAAUUUCAUUACCACAUAAGCAACGAAAUUACAGAUGUUAUCUCGCCAUGAUGAGUAGGAAACUUAACUAAUAACCGAACAUGAGGUAGGUGCAAAGACCUCCACUAGAACUAGAUACUGAGAGUACCAGGUAGCUACUAGAAAAGCAUAGGAACUCUACUGUGUGGAAACAUCACUCCACCAGAAACAAAAGAAAGGAGACUUUGAAGUUUCAGGAGUGCUUCCUCGCACCCAACUCCAACUUUUGUCACCAGGUAUUCACCUUCCAGUUUCUCCAGCACUCGGGCAUCAUCAUCUUCUACUGAAGUAGCACCAUUCCAGUGUCAUUAGGGUUGGCUUCUUGCGGAUAGAAGUGCAGCGCCGUCCCCUUCAUUACUUCAGCUCCCAUCUCUAAACAGGCCUUGUCCUCCGGGGUUUGCAAACCUGCCCAAUAUGAUAAAAAGGAAGAACCCAAACAGAUAAUCUCAGUAGGAGAUCUUAUUAUUUUUUCUUCAAGACAAACUGAAUUUCUAGACUUCCACAAUGCCCAACAAACAGCUGAUAAUCCAACCAUGUGAAGUCUAUUGCACUGUGGCAUAUAGCAGUUUACUCAAACCCAGAACUGAUCGAAAGAAACUGGCCCUGCAGGGAGCUCCUGCAAUGGUACAGUAAUCGCUGCUUAUUCAGGCCAUUCCGAUACCCAUGAUUUGUCACCGUCAUCUGCUUGCUUCCCGCGUCGAGAAGGAAGGUCACAGAACCGCUUGUGCAGGGGUAGAUAUGAUCCACAUGGAUCAGCAAUGGUCAUGUGCAUUGUACAAGCAGCGAGGCAUGAUCGAGAAGGAAGGUAGCAUUUUGGCUGAUGUCGUUAACAAGAGUACAAGACGUUGAAGACUCAUGAACUGAUGGCGACCAAGCUGUUAAGCAAUCUAGUCAAUCUUUUGGAGAUCUCAUCGGCCACUUUGUUAUGCAGUAUGCCUGCUUCUGCAAGUCUCAAUGGAAUUGCGGUGAGGAGCAUGCUAGCAUUUCCGUUGUUUUGGAUUCAGUGAUAAUUGAUUGACAAGGGAAUGAUCCCAGAGACCUGAAGGAUAAAAAAAAAACUCAAAAAAUUGUUCCCUUACCGGGAUGUGAACCUUGGUCGCCUGGAUGAAAGCCAGGUAUCCUAACCGGACUAGACGACAACGGAUUUGUGACCCAUUGGGACAGAUUAACAUUAUAUUAAUAAAUAAAGCGCAGACCUAAGCCAGGCCACCCCCGUCCAUAGCCCCUCCCUGGCUGGCCUGGCGCUCAGCGACUGCCGCUGCAGCUCCUCUUUCCACACCGCCCGCGCAUUCCGUCGAACGCCUCGUCCUCCAGCCUCAAUCUCCAUCCUCAUCUUCCAUCCCAAUCCCCACCCCGUAAACCCUAGCCAUUCUCCCCGCCACUACCACCCCUCCACCAUCCCUCGCGGGAGAUGCGGAAGAGGUAGCCUCCGCCGAUGGCCUGUUGCUUCCUCCGCGCCGCCGCGGCGCCCCGCCUCCACCUCUACCGCACCGCUGCUUCCCAGCAGCUCCCGUCGCCACUAACCGUUCUCAGGAAGGUAAAUGUUACAAUAUACCCCUUCCUCCUCUCAUGGCGUGACGACUUGGGGAUUAGGAAGGGGCGGGGCAUAGUUACGAAAUCGGAAUUGUGCUGUUCGAUUUCUGUGAAGUUCAGGGUUUUUUUAUUGCAGUUUCGAAUAGUCAGUGGUUUUUUAUUUUGUUCAUAGUGUGUUGGAUUGGUCAAGCGUUUUUUCGCUUCAAAAUGGUUGUCAUUCAAAGUUAUAUCAUCACAAUAGGUUCAAGGAUAUCAGGGCUUAAAUUUAAAAUGAUGGUCAUUCAAACUAACUGUUGUUCUUAAAUUUCUAUUUAAUAUCAGGGCGUUUCAGGGCAGUCAGUUCUGCCACUCACAGACUCGAUUGAGAGUUUUCAAGGACCAUCAGUGCAGAAUACUCCACGGAUUCCACUGUAUGAUGACAGCAUACCCUCAGGCAUAUUGGACACAUUGUCGAAUCCGACCGAUGGUGUCACUCGUGCUGAUCCUUCAAAGGGCAGAAUAAUGCUUGUUGAUGGAACCUCAGUGAUGUACAGAUCCUACUACAAGAUAUUGGGUUAGUAUUUUUCUGAUUUCUUCUUCAAUGGACCGUUUUGUUGAUAUGUGUUGUUAGCCUUUUGCUUCCUGUUUCUUAUUAGCAAACAUCUAGAGAGGAAGCACCUUGAUGUCUUCAUUUUAAUAUAUACUUUGAUCAGCAAAUGAUAUACUGGAAUUGAACUUGUUCUUCUGUGGUUAUGUUAGUGUCAUCAUGUCAAAGUUGUGUCAAUGAAACCGCCUUUGUCUAAACCACAUGAGCUUCCUCCUGCAUAAUAUUGAAAUUCACAAAAAAAAAAAAGGCCACCAAAAGCAACUGCUGUACAUAUGCUCAUCUCAUUUUCUAUGCAUUCUUUUUGCAUUUUUUUUUAAUUUCUGGAAUCAGCAAUUCAUCUAUUUUUAUUUCUAUGGGUGUAGCACAACUGCAGCAUGGCCAGUUGGAGCAUGCUGAUGGAAAUGGAGAUUGGGUUUUGACUAUAUUCAAAGCUCUAUCCCUGGUAAGUAGGAUUGUUCCAUGAUCAAACGAACUCUUUCCUAAGAAUCCCUGAUCCAUAGUGAAAACUAUACCCUUAAAUUUCUAUAUAUUUUUACAGCUUUGUUUUCUAAUUCAUUGUCACAAAUAGAGUAAAUGGACUGUGAGCAUCAACCCUGUCCACUCUCUGUAGCAAAACUCUUAUGAUGUUACAGAAUUGUGGAAUAGAUAGGGUGUUUACCAAGUGUGGUAGCCUGGAUCUAGAUGGUCAUUUCCAUAGCAAUUUUGGACGUGCUGGGAAGGCUAAAAGUCAAAGGAAAAUUUGCUGUACAUAGCUGCCUGUUUCAGAGGAUUAAUCUGUUUUGCGGCUUACAGAAGUUCACUAUCAGUUAAUGUUAAUGUAUGUUUUACUUGUGUACUGGUCUGUUGUGGCUGCACAUAUUUUUAGUGUUGAGGUGCCAAACUACAUAUUAACAUUGUACAAUUUCAUAUUUUGCUUUGUAUGCUUUUCAUCUUUGUGAUUCUUUUGAUUAUUUUCUGCAGCUUCUUGACAUGCUGGAGUUCAUUCCAUCUCAUGCUGCGGUAUGUUCAGUUCUAGCAUGGUUUCUACUGCCAUCAAUAUCUGUUUGUUUUUUCAUUCCCUCCCAUCCCUCAUGAUUUUGUUAACCCAUUUGUAGGUCGUGUUUGACCAUGAUGGUAAGCUGUGCCCAGGAUAAUUCUUAUACUGAGUAUACACAUUCUGUUUAAUUUUUUAGUAUUCAUGCCACUUGUUGAUCACUCUCCGCAGCACACACUUGCCACUUUUUUAAUCAAUAAGCAUUGAAUCCUUGUCAUAAUAUGAUGUUUGCAUUGUUCAGCUUAUUGAGCUUAGUCACUGCACUAGACCAAGAUAUUGAUAUGUCGGAAGCUUUACCUUGCUAUCCGAUUUCUCGUUACCAUUCACGAAAGUUGUUUAUUCAAUGUUUUGUCAAAGAUGUUUGAUCAAAUAUGAAAUCAAUAUAUAUGUUUUAUACCUUUUCCUUUUUUGGGUGAGGCGGGAGGGAGGGGGGUGGGGGUCGGUGGUCUUUUAUUUUCAUCUUAAAUUCCUUGUUUGAGCAUCCCUAAAGGUUAGAUUGUGAGAUGGACCUAGUCUCUGCAAAUUUAAAGUGAUGCAUUUCCUUAAACUUCUGAAAGCAACAAAUAAGUUACCAAACUUUUCUUUUCAGGAGUUCCAUAUGGUCAUUAUACUGCCAUGCCAUCCAAAGAAUGUCACAUGGCAAAAGGUAAGGGUGUAAGAUGUCUCGAAUUGAUGGGAUCAUGGGAGAAGGUAUCUGUGGCUGACAAUUAGCAGAUCUUGGACGGAUCCGCGUAUUGUCUUCUUGAUGGCCUGGAGCCCUGACUUAGUGACUUGCACAUAAGCCAUGUUUUGCUAUACUCGAUUCCUUGACCAAGGAAGUAGCAGUUGGAGAGCCAGUAGGAAUGAUAUAGGAAUGUUUGGAUAAAGCAGUUCUGGAAUGUUAUGUAAAGCCAUUGUAGCGCUGCCAACUUUUAGUUUCUACGACUUCUAUUGCGCUUAGUUCUUGAUUCUGAUUCUCUAUCCAAUCGUUCUUUCCUCCACUAAAAAAGCGCUAAGUAGUAUGCUCCAAGUUGGCAGGUUCUUAGAGAUACUUUGCUUAUGUAUUGGAAAGAGAACAUGUCAAAACUUAAGUGUUGAUGUUUGCACAGCCACUUGGCAGAAGAUAUCUUUGCUUUAGGAGGGUCAGGUGCCAAUUGGGUGCUUUUCAGUUGCAGCUGUUUUAUCCUGUUUCCUCUCAUAUUUGAACCCAAGAGACAAUACCAUUCUCUCUUCUUUCCCCUUAGGAAUGACCUUUCGUCAUAUGCUGUACCCUGCUUACAAGAGCAACCGCACCCCAACACCAGACACAGUUGUCCAGGGUAUGCAGUACUUGAAGGCAUCCAUUAAGGCAAUGUCAAUCAAAGUAAUUGAGGUAAAGUAAUAUCAUUUAUGCAUUUGAUUACAACCUGGAUAGCUAUUUACUAUUUAGUAUGUUGGGUAACACGCAGGAGAGUUGCAUCUCUCUCAAAUGAUAUAGCUGUUGAUAUUUGGCUUUGUAAAAUAAUUGAUGCAGGUCCCAGGUGUUGAAGCUGAUGAUGUUAUUGGCACCCUGGCUGUAAACAGUGUGUCGGCUGGUUACAAGGUAACUACCUGCACCAUUGAUCUUCUUCAAUUAUUCUAUCCAUUGUUUAUCAAACAAACAAACAAAAAAACAAACAACCUACACCCAACCACAAAGCACAACAGGCACAUAUGCACAAGGUAUAAUCUCGUGUAUUUUGAUCAUUUUUAUGACUAAUACAUUGUCUUAAAAUGCCCCUCUUUGAAGGUGCGGAUUGUCUCUCCUGAUAAAGACUUCUUCCAAAUUUUGUCACCUUCUUUGCGUUUGCUCAGGAUUGCUCCACGCGGUUCUGGGUCAGUUCAAAUGUUUUGUUACAUUUCAAGUGUAACUGAACGAUUCAAAUAGUUAAAUUUCAUGAUUCGGACAUGCAGAAUGGUUUCAUUUGGGGUUGAAGACUUCGUCAAGAGAUAUGGAGCUCUGAAACCCUCGCAGUUUGUUGAUGUUGUUGCGCUUUCAGGAGACAAGGCUGACAAUAUACCUGGUAGUCCUUUGUUGCUGUUUUGUCCUAUGAUGCAUGCCUCUUCUAGCAAGUGAUAUCCUUUUCCCUUUUUUAUUCCCGUUGACUGAUAAAGAAAGAACUAAGUAUAUGAAUGUAACAUACUUUGGGUUGUUUGGUCUGUUUGCUGCAUGAACCUGGCCUAUUAUCUUUUCUGAUAAUUGUUUCGUGACAAACAAGGAGAUUUCAUUUCUCUUUUGCACGAAGCUAGGCAGCCAAGCACACUGGUGGCUAUAUAGAAAUACUGCCUGCCUAUUACUUCUUCUACUUGUUUACUUAUUGCUUUGUUUGUUCUGUAUUGUGUGAUUGAAUUGUAACUUUAGCUGUUGAAUAAAGACCUUGGCUGACCUAUCAAAUGAGGCUAUAAACCAUAUUAAGUCUACUUACCUUGUAAGUCCAAAUGCAAAUCCUUCUGUGCCCAAAAUUAUCUUCUGACUAUAACUUUUACCAGCGAUUAUUCAUCAUUCUUUGCCGCAAUGCAUCUCUGUGAUCUGAAUUUAUCUUUGCUGGAACCCAUUGACAGUGAGAUGCUUAUGAUGUGACUGGAAACACUUUCUUUUGCAGGAGUUGACGGAAUUGGAGAUGUUAAUGCAGUAAAGCUGAUAACUAAGUUUGGUAUGUUUUUAAUAGAAUUUUGCCCUUGAAAGACUAAUUAGAUCUGGAUUAUUUAAAAAAGAUUUAUAUGCUGUAGCAGAGUUAUUUAUUUAUUUAUUUAUUUUAGCUUGUUAGUGCAAACUGAUUGAUCUAAGUGCACAUGCUAUAAAAAUUGGAUAGAUUUUAGAAUAGCUUGCAUACGCACCACAGUGGAAAGAUUACCAGGGUCCCUUUAGGAAUCCACCUGAGUCUUUUAUAGACUAUUCACCUGUUUAGUCUUGUUUGUCAAGCUUUUUCAUAGGGAGCGUUGGCAUAUCUGUCACCCUGAUUACCUUGAGAGGUUUCAAAGGCACAGCAAUGAUGUUCUUAAUUUUUAUAAUUCUAAAUAGGUUCCUUGGAGAAUCUACUGAAAUCUGUGGAUGAAGUUGAGGAUGAGCGAAUUAAACAGGUAACGUGUACAUGGUAACUCCUCUCCUUUUUCGCAUGUAUAAACGUUCACUUGUGUCUUUGCAAAGAAACUCUAGCAAUGCUGGAUUUCACUUCAUUUGGUUAUAUUAUUCCUUUUUUGUAAUGGAUGUGGUCAGCACCAUGUCUCAAGGAUGGAGUGGUGGAUGUGAGAAGGCAAUGGGAUAGGAUUAUCCUAGUUAGGUUUGUCGUUGGUGAUAUGGUCCUGAACAUAAUUAGUGCGUAUGCCCCCCAAGUAGGCCACGAUGAGAGUGCUAAAAGGUUUUUCUGGGAAGAUUUAGAUAGCCUGGUUAGAACUAUACCUUCUAGCGAGAAGCUUUUCAUAGGAGGAGAUCUUAAUGGGUAUGUAGGUACAACAAGUGCAGGCUUCGAGGCGGUUCAUGGAGGUUUUGGGUAUGUUAGUAGGAAUCAGGUGGGAGAGGAAGUCUUGGACUUUGCAGUAGCUUUUAACUUGAUGAUAGCGAACACUUUCUUUAGGAAGAGAUGGUCCCAUUUAGUGACUUUUAGUAGUAGCCAACACUAUAGCCAGAUUGACUUUAUCCUCACAAGAAGAGAGAAUAAACGGGCAUGCUUCGAUUGCAAGGUGAUACCAAGGGAAUGUGUUGUUUCUCAACAUAAGCUUGUGGUGGCGGACUUUCGUUUUUAGAUGCGCGCAUGCAGGGAUAAACAAGCCAAGAUUGCAAGAACAAAGUGGUGGAAACUGAAAGAGGAGACGUCAGAGGUCUUCAAGGAAAGGGUAAUCAAAGAGAGUCCUUAGAAGGAAGGAGAGAAUGCAGACAACAUGUGGGAGAAGAUGGCAAACUGCAUUCAGAAGGUGGCCUCGGAGGUGCUUGGAGUGACCAAGGAGGGUAGAGGCGUAGAUAAAGAUACUUGCUGGUGUAACGAGGAAGUCCAAAUGACUAUUAAGGAGAAGAAAGAAUGCUAUAGGUGCUUGUUCCAUGACAGGAGUGUGGACAACAUAGAGAACUACAAGGAGGCAAGAAGAUCGCAAAGCGAGCUGUAAGUGUGGCAAAGGGUAGGACAUAUGAGGAUCUUUACCAACGAUUAGUGUCGGUGCGGAAUCUGGCUGACAGGUAAAUAUACGUAGUUUGCCGCGCGUUAAAUCAGAUAUGGCCUAGCACACAAAGCACACAAUGACUCAGGAUUUAUACUCGUUCGGGCAACAGGCCCUACGUCCAGUCAGGGUCAUCGGUCGAUUGUAUUCCUAAGCACAGGUGCUUGAAGUUUGCAGUGGGGGUACAAACGAGUGAGGAGUGGAGAACGGGGUGUUCGAGGUUCGUCGUGCUCUGGUCCGAGUGGAGGAGAGUGACGGGGGCUUGAACAUGCGCUGACUGUUGGAGAAGGUGUUUGAGUGCGUAUGAGCGUCGGAGUGUCUCGAGAGAGCUAGAGAGUCCCUGAUCGAUCGAGAGAGAGAGAGCGUUCCUCUUUAUAGUUUAAGGGGACAACCUUACAAGUCAGGGAGGGAGAGAAAAGGUGCACAGGCGCUGCCUAAUCUUGUCAAUGCCCAUGUCACUGUGCAUUGCGUGCGCAGGGCGUGGUGAGGUACAGUCCUUUGUACGACGGUUGACCUGAGCGUCUUUCCUUAUCCGCUCCACUUGCUCCCGGGCCCAUACCGAGCGGGUGUCCCCGCUCAGUCGUCCCGGUCGGUCCCGACCGUGUCAGUCGGGAGGGAGCGAUGUGCGUCGGUCCGAUUAGAGGCACAUCCCCGGUCGAGGGAACUUGGUCGGAAUCGGACUAUGGUCCCGACCCUGACUAGACCUCCUAGUCGAGGCACCGACCAGGCCUUCUGGUCAAGAGCGGACUAGACCUUUACAUGAUAAUUGAACUUCAAAAUGGAUUUAAAUCGUUAUUCUAGUUAUUUCUUGUGGCCUUGCUGAGUACCGACCUUAAGUGUACUCACCCUUGCUUACUGCUGCUCGGAAGAAGGUGCGUGAAGUUUUCUUAAGGUGAUGCUGAGUUUUAGGCGUACGCAGCCCCCAGUCGAUUGCCCGUGAAGUUUGGAGCUUUCGUUUCCAGGAUUAAGCGUAAAUCUCUGAUAUACUCUCUUGUUCUUUACGUGAUAUUGUUGUUGUUAUUCACUUAUGAUGUCGCUAUAUGUAUGAAUACUUAUAGGUAGCACUUGGUUUUGUUUUAAAAUCGGGUGUGACAGUAUUUUGACAAAUUCUUCAAUGGUGAGAAUGAGAACACAACUUUGCAGUUGGAUGACUCUUUUGAUGACACCAACAGGCACUUUGUACGGAAGAUCCAAGAAUCUGAGGUUAGAGAGGUGUUGAAAAGGAUGAAAAGUGGUAAGACAAUGACCCCAAUUAAGGUGUGGAGAUGCCUUAGGGAUAUAGCCAUAGUAUGGCUGACCAAUUUGUUCAACCAUAUUUUUCGGUCGAAUAAGAUGCCGGAAGAGUGGAGAAGAAGUAUACCGGUACCAAUAUACAAGAAUAAGUUGAUGAACCAUGCUAUGAAGCUAUGGGAGAAAGUUAUCGAGCAUCGUUUGAGAAGGAUAACACGGGUCUUUAUGAAUCAAUUUGGUUUCAUGCUUGGAAGAUCAACCAUGGAAGCUAUUUUCUUAAUAAGACAAGUUAUGGAGGGGUAUAGGGAGAAGAAGAAGGAUCUACACAUGGUUUUCAUUGACUUGGAGAAGGCGUAUGAUAAAAUACCAAGGAAUGUUAUGUGGUGGGUUUUGGACAAACAUAAAGUCCCAACGAAGUACGUUGGACUUAUUAAGAGCAUGUACAACAAUGUUGUAAUUAGAGUCCGAACAAGUGAUGGCGACACAAAUAACUUUUCGAUUAGAAUAUGAUUGCAUCAAGGGUUUGCUUUAAGCCCUUAUCUAUUUGCCUUGGUGAUGGAUGAGGUAACAAGGGACAUUCAAGGGGAUAUCCCUUGGUGUAUGCUCUUCGCGGAUGAUAUAGUGCUAGUUGAUGAAAGUCAAGCAGGAGUAAAUAGGAAACUGGAGUUGUGGCGGGAGAUCCUAGAGUCAAGGUUUUAGACUCAGCAGAACUAAAAUUGAAUAUAUGAGAUGUGACUUUGGCACUACUACACAUGAGGAGGGAGAUGUCGGUUUGGAAGCCAAGUAGUGCCCUGGAAGGAUACAUUUCGAUAUUUGGGAUCAAUGCUAUAACGAGAUGGGGAUAUUGAUGAGGAUGUUAGUCAUAGAAUCAAAGUAGGGUGGAUGAAGUUGCACCAAGCAUCAGGAAUUUUAUAUGACAAGAGGGUACCAUUGAAGCUAAAAGAAGGUAAGUUUUAUAGGAUGGCGAUUAGACCCGCAAUGUUGUAUUGUGAGAAUGUUGGCUUACAAAAAAGACGACAUGUCCAGCAGAUAAGUGUUGCGGAAAUGCGUAUGUUGUGUUGGAUUUGUGGUUAUAUGAGAAGGGAUCGAGUCUGGAAUGAAGAUAUACGUGAUAGGUUAGGGGUAGCACCAAUUGAAGAAAAGCUUAUCCAACACCAGCUAAGAUGAUUUGGACAUGUCCAAUGAAGGCCUCCGGAGGCACCGGUGCGUAGUGGAAUCCCAAGGCGUGACAGUAAUGUGAAGAGAGGCAGAGGAAGACUAAAAUUGACAUGGGAAGAAGCAAUAAAAGGAGAUUUGGAGGGAUAGAAUAUACUUAAAGAUUAGCCCUGGUUAGGAGUGCUUGGAAAACAGCUAUUCAUGUGACCGAAUCCUGAUUUGUAGCUCUUGUUGGUUUCAACUCUAGCCUACCUUUCAACUUGUUUGGAACUGAAAGGCUAUGUUGUUGUUGAUGAUGAUGACGUGGUCAGCACCAUGGUCCUGAAAAAUUAAAUAUAAUUUGUGUUCUUACACUUUAAUUAAUCUGGCAUCUUCUUAAUUAUUGAUACCAUUGUUCUCUUAUCAAAGUAGAACAUAUUUUAGUUUAUGAAAUGAUAUCAUGGAACCAAGUUAACGUGAAAUAUUUUCAGGCUCUGAUAUCCGACUCGGAACAGGCAAUCCUUUGCAAAAGCCUGGUAUUAUUUAUUGGUAUUUCUGUGAAAAAUUGUUGCUUCCUUUCUAAUUGUUAAAAAAUCACCUCUCAACCAAACUCUUCUCACCCAAUUGUAGGCCACAUUACGUUCUGAUCUUCCUCCUUAUAUGGUUCCUUUCAAGACAACUGACCUUGUAUUUCAGAAGCCACAGGUGACUUAAAACUUAGCAUCAUAUCUUUGUAGUAAUUACAGCUAAAAGUGUGCUCGUUUUAUGCUUCUCCCUGUAUAAAUUCUUCUCACCUACUGCUUCAGGACGAUGGAACCAAAUUCAUAAAGCUCCUACGAGCUUUGGAAGCAUAUGCAGAAGGCUCCUCAGCAGACCCGAUCAUCAGAAGAGCAACCUAUCUUUGGAACAAGCUUAAAUCAUGAUGAUGCUGAUGUUUCCAGCAUUGAUUAGAAAGGAAUUUUGCCAAGUAUAAGAGUUAGGAUUAGAAGAUUGGAAGCCCAGUUCGAUUGUGGUUCCAAGAUAUUGAUGCCAUCGACGUUGAACUCUGCGCCCAGCUAUAUCUGAAUUGCAAAAAUCAAGUUGUUGCUGGCGUAGAUAUGCCAAAGCGCAUAAAUCGAAGAUGCAGCAGCUUAAGCAAGCAGCUCAAGUGUUCAUAUCACGAAACUAACUUUAGUUAGCUCUGUAGAUAAGAUGCACAACAUUGCUCGUGUAUCGGCCUUUUGUUUAAGGAGGAAGGCUCACGCAAUCAAAUCUUACCUUUAUAUCCUUUGUAUUUGUAUUUGUACUUCAAAAAGGGUGCAACCGUUAGGGCAAAUCCGCAAAUGCAAGGAAAAAAGAACCGGCUCAACGUUCGACUGUGUGUAGCUGUUUUCGUGAAAUCUAAUAUAUAUACGGUGGUAGCGAGUGGGCUGCAAAAGCCUAUACUGUAUACUGUACUAGUUCCGACACAUACAAACGCUGUAUUGCUGUAGCUACUUGCCGGCGACCAUGGCCAGGCACAGCAAAACACCAAACCAAACAAGCUGCCGUGUCCCGGCGUCAGCUCGCCGCGACACGGCUUCGGCAGGGGAUGUAGCACGAACUGGUCUGCGUCACCUGUUGGCCUUGCGUGCUGCCCGGCACGGCGGCCGUCGUCUGGCAGAACCCCGUUGGCGUCGGCGUCGCCCCCCUGCUCGGCUGCAGCAUGCCCUGCAAAUUCAGACGGCAUCAGUAACGCCCCAUUGUAUCAAACCAAGGCAGCAGACAGAAUUGAUAUUGUAGAACCUGCUGCGGCGGAGAUGGAGUCAGAAUGGUGGGAAGCCGCCGUGCUGCUGCUCUUGCCGAGCCUGGCGUCGUAGUUCGCGUCAGGUCCGUCUUGUACAGCCCGAAGGGGCGCUCCGACUCCGGCCCGCCCUUGAGGUCCUCGUCGUAGAGCGCGAAGAUGUACGUGUCCACCGACUUCCCCGGCGUCCUUGGCGUGCCGGCCUGGGACUUGAGGUGCGCCACGAGGUUGCCGUUGUAGGCCCUGGCGUUGUCCACCGUCGCGCCGGCCUCGUCGGCGUCCCCCUUGUACGGCCACCCGAUCUCGGAGAUGACGAUGUCCACGUCGGUGUACCCCUUGGCGUCCAGCGCGGCGCGGAUGGCGUCCAGCUGCGCGUCCAACAUGUUGGUGUAGGUGAGCCCGAACGCGGCGUCGACGCGGUUGGCGUUGGGCUGGAACAGGCAGAACGCCAGCGUCUCCGGCCGCGUGUCAGAAGCGUAGGCAAAGUAGGGGUACGGGUUGAUCAUGAAGGGCGCGCCGUUCUGGUGGAGGAAAUCCAGCACCGGGUCCAGGCUGCCGGCGAGGUCCGGGUGGAACGCGCCCGACGACGGCGGGUCCGACGCCGACGUGCACGGCCAUGGAGUGCACCGUGGAGAUCUGCUCGUAGUUGCCAACAACUUCACUCGCUCAACAACCGUUCGUCGGGGCAACCGGGCAACCAUGCGUGUAUGCUCUGUUUUUUAGUUAAGGCGUUGAUCGCACGAGUGUGACGAGAGAAGAUACGUGCCGUGGUGGUGAAGCCGGCGGGGAGCGCGGCGAGGAGGUUCUGCAUGGCGGGGAGGAGCUGGGGCGCGAGGGUGGGGUCGCCGGACUUGAGCAGCUCGUUGCCGACGGAGAUGGCGGAGACGGUCACCAUGGUGGGGAUGUUGGCGGCGGCCGGGGAGGACGCGAGGUUCGGCACGUCUCCGUUGGGGAUGCCCAGCAGGAUGGAGAUGUUGGAGCCCGCGAGCGCCGCGAUCAGGUCCGGCUGCGGCUCGUAGUGGUGGAGCUUGCCGAUGGACGUGGACAUGAGCAGGCUGGCCGUCGACGCCGCCGGCGGGAGGUUGUCCGCGAUCGUCCCGUAGUUGAAGCCGAUGAACGACUGCGACGCUGCAAACAGUGAACGGGCGUGCAUGAGAAGACGUACAAGUUACGGUGCACGCACAGUUCAUUUCGUCAGUUCAGCAGUUGCAGAAAAUCAGCUUAAAAACUGGAGUAGUUGCAGAAAACUUAGCCAGGAGGUGCAUAACUGAUGACGAAACGAAUCAGAUUUUAAAGUUUCAGAGAAAAAGUAAAAGUAUCAGUUCUUGGGAUGGAGCCAAAUGGAAGUGAGCAUGAUUUGUGGGGGACACGACGCAUGACGCGUUUGGUCACAUGCAAAUGUGAGCAAGGAGUGCUUAGAUAACAACGAUACGGACACCACGACAUGGUGGAUCAUCUCUGCUUCGGCGCGCGGCCUAAGCAUUGGUGGCUACUGCAACUACUCUUGGGUUUUGUCCAGUAGUCGUCGAUUAUUUGAUCGGAGGAGUUGUUGAUUUCUAUGCAUUAAUGAUUGGGCAAUUGCCUUGCUCCUGCUAGAUUCCCUGACCAACCGGUUUGGUGGACUCAAAGUGUGAGCCUGACACAUGGGUCAAAGUCUCCUUCAUGUCAGUCCACUUUGAGCAUGACCCAUGCCAGAGCCAAUGAACAGUUCAUGUGAAGGAAGAUGCUUAGCAACUAGAGCGUUUGACACCAGUAGCUAAACUUUAGCCCUGUCACAUCGAAUAUUCGGAUACUAAUUAAGAGGAUUAAACAUAAGUUAAUUAUAAAACUAAUUGCAGAACCUCUAGGCUAAAUCGCGAGACGAAUCUAUUAAGCCUAAUUAAUCCAUCAUUAGUGAAUGGUUAUGAAUGGUUACUGUAGCACCAUAUUGUUAAAUUAUGAACUAAUUAGGCUUAAUAGAUUCGUCUCGCGAUUUAGCCUAGAGGUUGCGUAAUUAGUUUUGUAAUUAGUCUAGGUUUAAUACUCCUAAUUAGUGUCCAAACAUUUGAUGUAACGGGGGCUAAAAUUUAACCCCCUCCUCCCAAACACCCAUACUCUUCCUUCCUAACGCAGUACUAAUGCACAGUUGCUGGUCACACAACAGGACAUGCAACUACUCUAUUCUACUGGGCAUAUAUCAAUCAGUUAGAAUCAUGUAUGUUUUUUUUAUGAACUUGUGCCCAACUUGGCGUGGUUUGAUUUUGUGCGGUUCGUCAACGUCUCCUUUGAGAGCAAUUCCAUCAUAAUUCCUUUCUUUAUCCAGGCGUUAAGAACACGACUAUGACACAUGGCGAGGAGAGAGUGAAGCUUCACCUCUCAGCACUGAGCAGUUGUAUUUUUCUUCUUCUUCUUUUUUUUUUAAGGAAAAGGCAUGAGAUUGUGCCUAUUUCAUUGAUAAAGAUGGGUUACAGCCGGCUAGCCGGUUAAAGAAAAGGAAACUGGAAAAGACAAAAAGGUUUCCCGCCGGUGAGACAUCUAUGGUAGGAUCGCCGCUAAGACUUUCGCCCCUGCUGUUAUCCACAUGUUGGCAGAGAGUUUGAUUUUUGCAAAUAGCGAUGUCGUCGGGGAGCCCUGGUGGCGGAAGAUGCGCGAGUUUCUUUCGUUCCAUAUUUCCCACAUGAUAAGUAGGGUGAGGGUUCGUGACGCUUUUCGCGGAACUCCUGUCGUUGAUGUGAUGUUUGUCCACCACUCGAUGGCCGUUGUGCUGUGUUGCCAGUGGUUUGGUUUCAGAUUCUCUUGGGACAGCCAUUGUCCUAUUAGGUUCCAAGUCUGCUUUGUGUAUCUGCAGUCAGCUAAGAGAUGGUGGGCAGUCUCCAUCGUGCAUCUGCACAGUGUGCAUGUUGGGGUGUGGUCCCAACCCCGUUUCGCUAGCCUGUCCGAAGUCCAGACCCUAUUUUGGAGAAUUAGCCAUGCGAAGAUUUUGCAUUUUGCUGGUGCCCAGGUUUGCCAUACUGUUGCUAGGUCGGGCGUCUUCAUGUUGCCGAGGAGUUGGGCCUUAUAUGCUGACGCGGUGGUGUACUGCCCGCUUAGUGCGAAAUUCCAUGUAAUUGCGUCCUCCUGGAUCGGGUUUAGAUUGGAUUGUUGAAUUAGGGGCCAGAGAGCUAUGAAUUCGUUCAAAAGUGUGUUUGUAAGGCCUGAUGUGAGUUGAAGAUCUCUGAUCCAGUUAUUGUUGUCGAGGGCCGCUCUCACUGACUUCUUCUUUCCUUUGGUUUUUGCGUAGAGUUGUGGAGCAAUGUCUUUUGGUCUUCGGCCUGUAACCCACGCAUCUUGCCAGAAAAGGGUCUUGUCGCCAUUGCCGAGUUGUAUCGUCGUGCAUGCAGCGAACAACAGUCUGUCCCGGUCAUCACAUGGAGUUGCUGUUCCGACCCAUGUCUUGUCCGGGGAAAUCCAUUCCUGCCAUAGCCAUCUGAGGCGGAGUGCUCGUGCAAAUUUGUGGAGGUCGAGGAUGCCCACGCCACCAUUCUCUUUCGGUAAAGUUGUCCUUAUCCAGUUGACCUUGCAUUUUCCCCCGGUGAGUUCGUUGUCUCCCGCCCAUAGAAAGCGUUUCCUGAUUUUGUCGAUUUCCUCUAGCACUUCUUUGGGGGUUCUGAGAGCCGUGAGGGUGUAUAUCGGCUGUGAGGAUAGGACGGAUUUGGUGAGGCAUAACCGGCCGGCCUGUGUAAGGUUUCUUCCCUUCCACUUGGAAAGCUUGCUCGCCAUUUUGUCGAUCAGAGGUUGGAAGUCUAUUCGACGAAGCCGUUGAAUCGUUAGAGGAAGGCCCAGGUAUUUUAUCGGGAAGUUCUUUUGCGUCACUGGUAGAUUGCGGAGUACUUCUAGAAUAUUAAUGUGUGAGCAGCUUAUUGGUGUAACACUAGUUUUUUGUAUGUUCGUCUUGAGGCCGGUCGCUUCUCCGAAAUUUUGCAGGAGGUUCUUUAGGUUUGUGACGUCCCUUGUGGUAGGUUUGAUGAAAAUCACCGCGUCGUCGGCAUAGAUUGAUGUUCUCAUUUUUGCCGCUCUGUUAUUUAGUUUUUGGAGCAGUCUCUUAUCCGUGGCGGCCGACAGCAGAUAUUGUAGUGGGUCUAUUGCUAGGAUGAAAAGGAGCGGUGAGAGCGGGUCCCCUUGGCGUAGUCCUCUGCCAUGCUGUAUGUGUUCUAGGGGUAGGCCGUUUAGUGAAAUUCGCGAUGUUGACGUGGACAGGAUAGCGGCAAUCCAGUCCCUCCAUUUUGGUGGGAAACCUCUGUGUUGCAUCAUGGUGAUGAGGUAGUCCCAUCGUACGGAGUCAAAGGCCUUGGAGAUAUCCAGCUUCAUAAGCAGUGUUGGCUGGUUGUGUCUAUGGAAUCGCCGUGUUAGGUUCUGGACAUAGAGGAAGUUAUCAUGGAUGCUUCGUCCUUUGAUAAAAGCGCUUUGGCCCGGUGAGGUCAACUGGUUCAUGAAGGGUGUUAGACGUAGGGCUAAGGUUUUAGUGAUAAUCUUCGCAAUUGCGUGGAUCAGGCUGAUGGGUCUGUAGUCAGCUAUGUUCUCUGCCCCUUCUUUUUUGGGUAUUAGAAUUAUAGUUGCUUUGUUAAGCAGGUUAAGGUCUGCGCAGCGAGAGUUGAAGAAAGACACUAUUGCCGCCAUGAGGUCUCCUUUGAUUGUCUCCCAGCAGGUUGUAAAGAAGAGACCUGUAAAACCGUCUGGGCCGGGCGCCUUGUUUUUUGGCAUCUGUAAGAUGGCCCGUCGGAUUUCAUCUUCGGUGAAUGGGUUAUCGAGCGAAGACAGAUCAACGGACGCGAAGGUUAGGGCCGACCAGUUUAAGUCGAGCGUUCUGUGCGGCGGCUCUCGCAUAAUAUUUUUGAAGUGAUCUUGUACUAUGUGUUGUUUGUCGUGAUGGGUGAAUGCCCAGCCAUUGUCGCUACUCAGUUUUUGGAUGAAGUUUUUUCUCUUUCGACCAUUGGCCUUCAGGUGGAAAAAUCUUGUAUUAGCAUCCCCUUCUUUAAGAUAUGUGACCCUGGCGCAUUGUUUUUUCCUAGCUCGUUCGAUGACUGCCCAUCCCAUGAGACGCUUUUUGAGUUUGUUUCUUAGUAUCGUUUCUUCCGCAGAAAGGGCACGGUUAUCUUGUGCCUCAUCGAGGAGUAGAAUGAUUUCUCGAGCGAGGUACAUCUUCAUUUUCAUGUCGGAGAGCAUGGAUACACUCCAGCGUCUGAGCGCCUGCGAGGUGACGUAAAGCUUAUGGCCCAGUCUGUGAAAAGGCUCCGUGUGAUGAGUCGGUCUGUUCCAAGCCGUGGAGACGAUCUGUUGGAAGUUUGGCAGGCGUACCCAGAAGUUUUUGAAUUUGAAGGUAGCUGGGCGUCCCGGGGUGUCAUGAUUGGUGAUAAGUAGUGGGCAGUGGUCGGAGUGGUCUGAUGAUAGUGCGUGUAGAAGGCAAUUAUCAAAUCGGAGGUCCCAGCUUUGAUUGUAGAAAACUCUGUCUAGGCGGACAAGCGUCGGUGUGGUACGUUCAUUGCUCCAUGUGAAGCGUCGGUUUUGCAGAUGUAGCUCCUUUAAACCGCAGUAAGCGAUGGUGUUUCUGAAUCUAUUCAUAAGACGUCGGUUGAGGUUCGUAUUAUUUUUAUCUCUUGCGCGAUAUAUUAGAUUGAAGUCCCCUAGGAUUAGCCACUUUGUGUCGUCCGGUGGUUUUAACCUCCGCAUGUGUCUUAGGAAACUUUCCUGUUCGGGUCUACGUGUCGGGCCAUAUACCGCUGUCAGCUUGAACGUGGUCAUACAGUGUCGGAUUGUAACUUCCGCCGAUAUGGAAUAACGACCAAUAGAAAUGUUUUGCAUUUGUACCGCCGUAUCAUUCCAUAGUAGGAGAAUCCCUCCUUUGGUGCCUAUCGCCGGCUUAUAUGCAAAAUUGUCUAAUUUGUAGGCUCCUAGGAAGGCGGCCAGGCUGGAGUCGAUAGAUUGUAACUUUGUUUCUUGGAGACAUGCGAUGUGACAUGGUGUCGAUCUCAGUACGUCGUGAACGGGAAGGCAGCGUGCUGCCGCAUUUAGGCCUCUGACGUUCCACGAGAAGAUGUCCACGCUACCGUACGUCAUGUGCCAAAAUUGAUCGCAUGCAGAAGGAAUUAUCGCAGCAGUGGCGCGUUUGGCGGGAAGCUUCUUCAGCGGGUAUGUAGACGAUGCUGCUUGUGGAUGGUGCUGUUGUUAGGCGUGGCCUAGGAACGACGUGGAGUUUAACGGUAGUUUUGAGGUUCGUGGUACAGACGGAUGCCCGAAGGUCGAAGCCAGCAGGGCGAUUAAGCGUAAAAGCCCGAAGGUCGCAGCCAGCAGGGCUAUGCAGUACAUAUGUUGAUACAAACGAUAAAGUGGAUGACAUGUAGGGUUGGUAGUCGCUCGGAGUCGAAGUCGAAGACGCCGCUCUAGAUUGCUGGGUCCCCAUUGAGCUGCUGGAGGUCCGCCACGGCCGUUCCUGCGUGAGUCAGGAGCGCCUCAUCAAGCAUGUCCGCGCCUUCGUCGUCCAAACCAAAAAUGGCUGUCAGUGCGGCCACUAUGGUUUCCGGAAUAGGUCCAUGGAAGCUUGACAGGAAGUCGCGGAGGACUUCGUCAACAGGCGCCGUUUCUUCAGGAGUGAGACCCAGUUUGCGACACAGGUUCCGCUGUGCUUUCUCGGUCACCGAAAUGGAGGGCUUCCGUGCUAGCCGCGCACUCCUUCGCACCGCCUUCAUGUCGAAGGUACGGCGUUGGCGUUGGCGACGCGGUUCCGGGGCCUGGAUCAAUGGUGGAGUCGGAGUACGGAAAAGGGAGGUGAUCUCCAGUAGGUCCAAGUCCUCCUCCCUCUGUCUGGUCGGUGGGCUGGGCUGCCCCAAGUGACCCGGGAGGCCUGAGGCUGCCGGCCCAAUCUGGCGAUCUGCCGCAUUUGCAGAGAAGACUGCGUGGGCCGGCGGCCCGGUCAUUGGUACGGAGAGGAUGUCUUGCGCCGUUGGGCCGUCAGGUGUCGUCAUCUGGGUGGGCGUCGUGGGUCUUCGGCCCGGCGUGGGAGAGCCGUGGACGGUGUCCCCGGGCGGCGUCGGCCCAUCAGAGCCGCACAUGUUCGGGCCCAUCGUGGAGAGUCGACGGCCCGGAAGGGGCAGCCCACGGACCGCUGGCCCAGCAGGCUGCCGCUCCAGGGUCGGGCUGUCUGUUUGGCCCAUCGUGAUCUGCUUGAUGCCGACCGUCAUGGCGUCGAGCGCCCGCUCGACGUCGGCCACCGUCGGCGAUGCCGUCGCCGGGAGGGGCGCCGCCCUUGUCGAUGACGUCGCCGGGAGGAGAGCCGCCCGUAGAGUGUUGAAGACUCGGGGCAGUGGGAUGCUUGCGGACCAGGCCUUUUCCCCCGGGGCAGAGUCGUCGAAGCUCAGGCGGUCGGCGAUCCAGGAGAUCCUGCCGGCGUAGCCGUCGUCGUGGAGGCUCCCUUCCCUGUCUUCCAGAUCAACACGGUUAAAAGGAGAUGUUACCUUGCUGUUGUGCCUCAGCGUGGACAUCUGGGCUUGGAACAGAGCUCGUAGGUUGGAUGCGGGGAGGGUGCUCUGCUCCUGGAUGCCGGUGGUCUGCUGACGUCCUUGGGGCGGCGCGUAGCUGCGGCGAGGUGGUGAUCUGGUACGGUCACGGCGCCCCGCAUCCGCGCAGCCCCAGUAUGCAUCGCCGAAUUUGCGGCCGUGGCCUGGGUGGUUGUAGUCGUCGUCGUCGUUGUCGUCGUCGUCGCCGCGGCGCUUGUCCGGCCAGAUGAAGUCGCCUUUGCAGGAUUGGCGGGUCGGCCGGAGCUUGGGGCGGUCCCUGUCGUUCUGGCGAACGUGGUGUCCCCGGCCGUGUCCCCCCGCAUCCACAUCGGCUUCGCCAGAGGCGCCGCGCCCGCCGACGCCGCCGGCUGCAGAGGCUCCGCUUUUGCCGCGGCGCUGGUCCUCCCGUCUUCGGUCGCCGUGGUCGUCGUGGAUCCGGGGAGCCGGCUCGCGCGGUGGCUUCGGCAGCCUAGCCGGGAAGCACGAUCUGGCGUCGGAUGGGGCUCCAUCCACCAGACCGUACCGCCAUUCGUACCUCCGGCGGAUCGGUGUGAUGUUCUCCGGGGCAUCCACUGCUUGCUGAAGAUUGCGCGCCGCCGCCGUGUAGUCCUCCAGGAGGGGCAUGUGAAUGAAGAUCUCAUAUCUUGCUCCUUGCUGCCAAGACAUUUGAGGGGGCUCGGUCGAUACAGAGAAAGUGGAAGAUUUAGUUACCGGGCUGUGGGCGAACGCCAGCCAAAUCUUCUUGGGGAUCUCGCUCGGGUCGACCGUCCACGCCCAGAGCUCAAUGUGCCUGGAAUCCGCCGGCUGGAUGAGGUCGGUGACGAUGUGCUGCAGUGUGCAUUUGUGGCCGAUGACGCGCUCGACGAUCUCCGGCGUCCAGGCGUGACGCGGGAUGCCGUCGAGGCAGAGCCGCACCCGGUAGAAGAUGCGGAAGCCGAGGGAGUGGGUGAGGCUGCGCCAUGGCCGGAGGCAGAUGUCUAUUCCCCCGCCGGUGAAGCGUCCGCGUCGCCGUGCCUCGGCCGCCUGUGUCGUGCUGUCGAAGUGGAUGAGGUACGGUUCCGGUUGGUGAAGAGUGACACUGACCUCACCGGGACGCAGGCGGAGCUCCCUGCUAAUGAGCCCCGCGAUGUCGCGGGCUCCGGCACCUGACGGUAGGUGAAGCGCCCAAGGGACGAGGGCGCAGGCCUCCCACUCCCGCGCGUCGUGCUCGAGGUGGAAGGAGUCAGAGACGAAGAUCGUCUUGACCUCCGGGCGCGUGUGAGGGUCACCAAUGGCCAUGUCGUUGAUGCUCUUGCGGCUUGGCGGCGGUGGUUGGGCUUGCUUGGGUGUUGUGUGUGUCGCCGGGGAAGCAGGUAGGUGGCUGGCAGGGAGCGUGUGGUGGUGGCGGGUGGGGGUCUUGGUGCUGGAUGUGGGCGAAGCGGCGAUCUUCUCUCGGCAAUUCCGCUCCUUGUGGCCGGUGCGCCUGCAGCGGAAGCAGCGCACCGGGUCGCGGCAGGAUGCGGCGCGGUGGUCGGGUGCGAGGCAGAUGAAGCAGCGUCCCGCCGUCACCAGGUUGAAGUCGAGCAGAGCUUUGGUGGGUGGCCGUCUUGAAUAGCUUCUGUGGUGGCGGUCAUGUCCGUCGAGUCGCCGCGGGUUCUCGGGCGGCGCUUGCUGGCGCGCCCGACGGUGCGUCACCGUCUGCCAUUCCUGAUCCAGCUGGCGCAUACGGAGAUCCGGUGUCAAGACGCGCUUGGUCCGGGGAGUCGUUGACGUCGUGGCGUGGUGAAUGCGCCGUAGAGCCAUCGUGUCGCCGGAGUAACUGCUCCCUCUGCUGGCGUGGUGGCGUCGGGCUUCGUUGUGGCGCUGGACGGGGGGAUAGGUGGGGUAAUUGAAGACUCCCCCCCUGACAGCCUCCGCGUAGGAUCUCCGCCCUCUGCAGCGGGGCUCCGGCAGGAGAUUCGCCAUCGGGAUUUGUAGAUCGGGCGGGGAGGUGUGCGGAUCUGGCGAAUCCGGCACCCAGACAUCGUCGGGGGUGGGCGGACGGCCAGCGCAGGGGGGUGGCGGCGGGGAUGGGGAGAAGAAGUGGUUCAAGGAGGAGCGUACGCGCGGGGAUGUUUUUGGGUGGGGGCACGGUUGCGGGGGGGGGUGAGGUGGGAUGGUGAGCGGCGUAGGAGGAGCAGGGCCGGGGGGGGCGCCGGACGACUCCGGCGAAGGACGGGGUGGCAGCGGGCGGUGGGGCGGCGGUGGGGGGAAGGGGGGUGGGUGGGUGCCAUUUCCGUCCUGUUGUAUUUUUCUUUGAUGUUGGAGGAAUUUCAUUUUCAUGGGGAAGCAAAAGGCAGAGAUCUCAGCAAAUCCGUCCCACCUUCAGAAUAGGGAAAAUUGUACCCUCAAUCGCCAUCGGCUUUACACGCCACUUGGGGAACUAGCAACAAAGUCCGGUAACUAAACUACCCCCACCAAUGAAUGAGUCAGCUACGUAUGUGUAAUGUAAAGUCUAACGUAUGCAGAAUUUUUGUCUCUCCAGAAACGAUAAAGUAAUGUAACAGUUGUACACGCUCGCUCGAGGAACCAAGAAGUAUACUGAAAGUGAAUCCACUCUCCCAAAGGGAACUAAAUUGAGAAGGCUACUGGACUAGUAGAGAAUUCAGAGAAUUAUCUUUUACUCCGAAGGGGGGAAAAGGCAACUGAUAUGAUUCGGUUUAGCCUGUAUGCAUGCCGAUGUUCACCCCUUUAGGAGACAACGCUUGUAGCAUAAACAAUCAAUUGAGCUAACCAAGCAGUAGAAGCAUGGCAAAAUUGGUUACUCGACAAUAAAAUUGCAGAGUGAGGACGAACUCUGAACAAUGAAGAGUACGCUAAGCUGGGGGGAGUAAUGGCACCAUGAACUUACUCGCCGGGUGGAAGAGGAAGACAUGGAGGAGGACCAAGAUCGUAGCAGCAGAAACCAACCACCUCCGGAUCCCCAUGCGACCACUUCCCAUGGCAACCGCCCUACGCCUCUCCAAUGGCUAGUCGGCGAGUAGCGGCGAGGAGGAAGACGAAGGGGCCGAGGAAAGCAGGCAAGGCGCGGGAGGUUGGCGGGGGGCGGGAGACACGCAACGCAAGGGGUCGCGCCGUCGCGGAGGUCUUUCCGCCUACCGCGCGUAAAAGAAGAGACGGAGCGCGCGCGGCAGGACGCCGUGCGUUGUACGCGCAGUAGAAAGAGCCCCCGGUCACCGUCUCUGCCCCCUUUGCGCGCGCGUAUCUGAAAUUCUGAUUCCGCCUGCACGAGCUGCGCCUAGACCUGAUCGCUCUACCGGCCUCCACGUCUGGAAUCUUUUAUAGGUGCUCACUGCUCAGUGCCUCAGUGCUCACCAGGCCGGCCGGGUUGCUUCAGGUGUAAUGCUCCUGAGGCUGACCGGAUCAGAUCAGACCGGUGGCGAGAAAGCAGGGGUGAGACGAGAGGGAGGAAAAUGGAACCGGACGACAGGGAUCGCUUGCAUCGGGAAUCAUGGCAGAGCCAGUGCAUUGCAGCAGCUCUCGAACUUUCGUGUUUGCCGAAUUUAUGGGGGGUUCCGGGAAUCAUUUGCCCGGCCCUGGCCCGGGAGGAUGUGGCUGCGCGCGCCUGCGCUCGGUGCCUGUCCCGGCGGGCGAAAUCAGCAGGCUCGCGAGGUCGUGGUGACGGGGAUUUGAUCUGGUCUCCGUCUCCGAGUCUCGCCGGUCAGCCUCGUCCAAGUUUUGCAAUUAUGUGCCGUGCUAUUCGACCAUAGGCUGGCGUGUCAUAAGUAGGAUUUUGAGUGGAUAUUAUGGGCGAUUGCUGAUCACGGUGUGGCGUCGGGGCGGCCACACGUGUAGUUAUCGCGCCAAUUAUUGACGGAGGCAGGGACAGGAGUGCUUGGAUGAUCAAACCCGCGCGCUGAGGUCAGGCGAAAGGGAAAAGGUUGGAUGCGCCAGGGCAGGGCGAGACAGCAACUGAAAAGCGCGUCGCACCAGACCAGACCAGAGCUCGGACGGCCAGCGCUGCAGCCAUGAUGGAUGGGCACGAGAGCGCCUGUGGAUCAUCGCUGCCCAUGAAGGGCACCAGCCUGCCGUCGGCUCGUCGCCGCGCGUCCCUCCUCUGAUCUUCUCCUCGCGUCCUCGGUGAGUCGCGGCGUCCGUCAGACGCUCCAGUUGGUGACAACGACCUCGCGCGCCUCCGCCGAGCAGGUUUUCCGCCAAAUAGCACCGCAGCGCACCUCAGGGCUCCGGUCGCUGCCGCUGCAGAUUGCAUGUGCCGAUGUGCGUGCGUGCAGCGUACCAAGAUUCUACAGCGCACGCAGGCGUGCGCCCGGCGGUUCUUCCGCCUCCUCAUUCUGCAGUGCAGAGCAUAGUACACUCGGCAAAGUUUGAUGGCAGUUUCAGGACGAAAUAUUGAUGCCUGUGUUUUUUCAAGUGAAGAGCGCGUCACGACCUUUGAGCACAAGGUGCUCGAUGCAUUCAGAAACACCUGUCAACCACACCGUCACGAGUAGUAAGUAGCUCGAGCGUUACUUAAUUUUGGCCUCUAUUUGCAUGAUGGAACUUUUAUCAGCUUUAUCCCCGACGUACACUCCCUUGCAUCCACAAUCUAUUGCGUAGAGCUUCAUUGAUCUGUUUCACCCGACGUUAAGCUCCGUAUACAUGUGCUAGUGUCGGAUUCGAGGAUGACAGAACCAUGGCAGCAUUGCAAGACCGCCCCUAAUCCCAUGCAGCAUGAUGUAAAUCUAGCCUCCUUUCUGGUAACAGUGGAGCUAUUUUUUUCAGUGGAGUGCUACUAAACACCUCCAUAGUAAACAGAUGAAAUGUUCAGCACUUUAGUUUGUACGAAAAUCUGAGGGAAAUUUUGUUUUGCUCGGAAGAUUGAUCUACAAUCCUCAUCUCUUAAUAUCAGGUGAAAAAAUGUUAGCACUGUAGCAAUAAAAGUCCUGCAAUGAACAUUAUUUCUUCAAGGAUCUUACGAGCUCCAGAUGGACGAUAUCAAAGCGUCGAGCACUCCAGCAACAUGCUAACUCCAAACAUUACCCUCCAAACUGCAUGUUUCUUACAGACGAGAUCACGAGCGUUGAUCUCCGAUCCAAGGGUGGUACGCGCCCAACAGCAGGAGGGAGGAUGAUACCGAGCUCCUCUUCUUCCUCCGAGGCUCCAAUCCCUCUUCUUCCCUCCGGCUCCCUUCCACCGUUCUUCCUUCCCGUCUCCGGCAAUUCGAGGAUAGUUUUCGCGUGGGUGGGACCAAGAGAUCAGCCGUCAGGUGAGUCGGGAGGAGCGGUUGCACGGGGAGAGAGGAGAUGAUCACGCGAGCGAAGCUCGCGGAGCAGCUGCGGGAACACCAGAUCCGGUCGGCCCAGUCCUACUCCGCCGCGCUCGCCGUCUUCUCGCCCAACCCCCACAUCGCCUCCAGGUCAGGCUCCCAUCAACCUUGCUGACGUCCGAUUUCCGAUUCGGUGCGCUUGACUGUUAACGUGACGCGUAGGAAGUAGGGAUCGGCCAGAUUCGCGCGGUGUAGACUGCGCCUUAUCUUUAAUCUUGUGCAGACAUGACCUUGUGGAUUUUGUCUGAUCUGUAUGGGCCUUGGUUGCAUAGCUUUUGCCUCUGUUUGUUCCGGAUAGGAGCCAGCAGGAAGGGGCAGGGAUGCACGAGAUGGGUAUGAGACGAGAUGGGUAUGAGUAGUUAGAGGUUUACUUCAAGAAAACAAAUCAAUCUGUGGCCUCAUUGGUGAGACAGAAGAUGUUUACUUACAGGCAUAACAUCUUGCAAAAUGUAACUUUACAAAUAUAAACUGCACCUUUGAAGAACAGAAUUCUUGAGAAGUGUUGGCGUAGAACUUCUUUUUUCCCUGAGUAUUAAUCUUUUUGUCAUGUUAUAAAUUGCUAGCUGGAAGCACGAUACGGGGGUAUAAGUUAAGACAUGGGUUACUGUUUGUGCAAAGAGAAUAGCUUAGCUACUGUGCUUGGUCGGCAUUUGGGUGGAGCAUAUGGGUUUGUUUUUUAGUGCGACUCCGACCAACUUAAACACUGUUAAACCAUGAACAUUUGUCUGAUGGCUUCUUCAGUCGCUGAAGAAAUGAAUUCUUGAACCUAAUAGGAGUUAGUACAAAAUGAAUAUUUGUUUGAGCAAAAAAAAAGGGGAAGAAAAUGGAUGCCAGCAUCACAACAUUAUUAAACUUGUGAGCAGAACUUUUUCAGACUUGCUUUUGCCCAAAUUCUUUUUUUUUAGAUCAAAGGAAGAAUUGUAUUAAAUCAGAGCUGAGUACAUCAUCAUGUCACACACAACACUCUCGAAGCAAAUAAAAUUACAUUUAAGAACAAUCAAGUACUGCUUUUCAUUUUCAUUGUACUCACGCGUCAUGCAACUCCAAAUCUCAAUCUCAAACCUGUAUAAAGAUUCAUAUAGAAGGCCACACAGGCAUACGCUCAGCAAGCAGGCUGAGAACAAGCACCCAAAAAGCGACGACCAACAUCCCUGUAGGCUGGACCGAGCAAAAUCUUCUUCUUCCUUUUUGCGUCUUUCUUCUUCCUCUUUCUGCCACCGAUGAAGAAGAGAGACUGAUCCCAAUCUACCAACCCAAGACUGAUCAACAUCAGCUCAAUGGGCAGAAUUAUUCUCACAAGCCUUUCAUCGUGGUUGGAUCUAACCACGACGAAAUGGAGAAGGGGAUGGAGAAAAUUAUUCCACGACGGCAGCAUCAUCCCCGCCUCGAUAUCGCCAUCCGGAAACCUAAUUGUCCAUGUCGUCAUGCCAAGGAAGUUGCCGACGCCGUAGUUGCCGCCAUCAUCUUCAUUGGAGUUGCCAUGGACAGACAAAAUCCACCCUACCUCCUCACUGUUGCUGGAAAAGAGGAGUCCAAUACCACGAACUGCGGCAUGGAAAAACCUAAACCCUAAAACUGGACUCGAUCUACUAAAACCUAUUAGAGAGAUGGAUCCCCACUCCCUCUAGCCUCCGGCGAGAUGCCGGAGGUGGGAUUGCGGUGGUGGAGGUGGAGGGCCGGCGGUGGGAUUGCGGUGCCGCCUGUGUCACCCUUCGGGACGACGCGGGGGCGAUCCUUUUUUUCUGGUGCUGCGACGUGCUUUUGGCCAGAUUCUUGUUGAGCCAGCUGACAUUGAUUCAGGUAAAUAGGUAUAGCCCCAAGGCUAGUUGAGUUUGAGCCAGCCAACUGCAUUGCCUGACCCUAGCUCCUGAGUCCUGACUUUAGCCUGAUCCAAGCCUGUCAAUCUCAAGUCAAGGGUUCAAUUUGCUCAGAUCUAACUUGUGCUACUUCUUCACUUACAUGCAAAGAUUCAGAAAUUGCCUAGUAUGUUGAUAAUCUUGUAUAGGGUUGGCACUUGGCAUUAAUAAUUCAUAUCAUUUUGAAGUAAAUGUAACAGAAAUUUUCUAAGAUAACAUAGGACCCAUGUCAGAAACUUGAAUCAACAUUUAAAGGGAAUUGUUGUACUCCAGAACUUCUCUGUUCCUGCAACUUGACAGACAGAUUGACACCUUGCUUUUGGGUGCCUUUCCCUUUCCAUCCAUGCAAAUACAUGCAAAAUAUUGACCAACAUGGAUGAGGAAUUAUGGUACUAUAAGCUAUGUCAAGUCUGUUCAUCAUCUGGAUGGAUAAAAGUGGCCUUGAUGCCACGUGAAGUUGUCGUGGUUGAAUGCAAAAACACCAGUCGCAUUUGCAUGGCUCCCAGUGAGCACUCUUAGGGUGAGAUGGAAAGUGGGAGAGUUCCUCACUUCUCCACAUCUAGUCAAUUAACACACUUUGUAUGCUCCCAUGGUAGAUUCUAAUGCUAUUUCUACUGUCAAGAGUGCCGACAGAACUACAGGAGCAUCAUUCUUCAUGCUGACAGAAAGGAAAUGUAACUCAGCACGAAAGUAUGACAUGAAGAAAGACUAAGUAUUCCUGUUAGUAGACAUUUCCUAUACAUACAAACAAAAACCUAAAUGCUCUAGUGAAGUAGUGGCUGGCAAGUACAGAGUCAUCUAAGAAUUAUUAUUAAACUGUAAGAGCAAAGCUAGGGCAAUGUCCCUCUCCCCCAAGUCGAGUUCUUUUAGUAAACAAGUAGUGCUUAAUCGAUUUUUGAUCGUGUAUUUUUAACUUGCCUGAAAAGUUUUGAUAUUUUCAAUUGAACUUUGAAACAAUGGCAUGCCCUGUAUUAUUGGAAAAGAUUUGGCUCACUCUUGGAUAUCUCCAAACAAUGGAAGGAACAAAUUCGUGGCAGUGGGUCUUACAAGUUACAACAAUAUAAUAUAAAACUACAGCAUAAAAUAAUCAAGGUAUACUGGAACAGGUGCCAGGGCUUAAUUCAGUGGAAGUACUAGAUAAAACAUGUGUUCAGCUUCAGAGGAAGGGAGAUUUGCAGGUGGACUGUAGCUGAACAAACAGUAGGGCAUGGUCCUGGACCUCUCCGGCUUAGCGGUUCUGUAGUACCAAGAUACGCGUUUCACCUGAGGAGGCAGGAUGGUAGAAAGGAGUGACCAGGUGAAUCAAUCUAUUGCUUAGUUUUCAAAAUGAUGUGUGCAGCCAACUCCUAAACAUAUCUCUAAACUGAUCGCCUAAUUGAAUUCCAAGCGAACAAACUGAAAUCCAGUCUUAACCGAGACUAACAACUUAAAUAACUAGGUUGUAGCAGCUGCGCCCCACUGAACGGAUGGCACCUUCUUUCUCCCUAGGUACUGGAGCCCCGCAUGACAAUUAUGUUCUUGAUUAUGCACAGAAAGUCAUCUGUCUAUAUCAUGCUAUCCCACCCUUCAUUUCUGAAUUCUGAACAUGUAGGGUGGCAAGGCAGGCAAAUCUACUUCUCAUUCCGGCAUGUCUAGUUUCUCAAUGUGUCAUAAAUAACUUCUGCGCUGAUUUGCACAUUAAUUUGAUACUGUAAAUCCAUGUAGCCACUAGAGUUAGCUUAUUUUAUUGACAACGAAUGUCUUCAUUUUCAUUAAUAAAAGAAUAUCAUCAGCUUCCCCAUCCCGAACCUAAUUGGUUUUGGCUGCUUCUGAAAUAAUAUCUGAACUUACUCAUAUUCAUCAGCCUCCUGAUGCCAGCAGUUUUCUCAUGUGCUAAUGGAAUGUGACAAUCAUGAAAAGGAUUCAUUAUGUGUCAAGCCAUUAUUGCAGCGAAUGUAGUAUAGUUGCAAAUGAGCUAAUGUAUUGCAAACUUCGUAAAUUCCAACUGAUGGAUGGUGUGGCGGCUAUUUAUGUUGCUUAUGUUAAUCCUGUCUGUACCUAAGCUGUGAAGCCAGUGCAAUUGCUCUUGCAUUUAGUCAGCUUUUUAUUAGUUAUAUACUCAAAACUCUUUUUAUCUUUUUGUUUCGCAGGAGGGAUCUCAAGGUUGCUCUCAUCUAUGCGGUUUUGUUUAGUUUUCUCAUGGUGUGCUGCUAUGUUGCCCUUUACUUGAAAUGGUUCAAACUUUCAGCCAUGUUUGUAAUUUUCGGGAUUCUUCUCCCAGUGAGUCUCAAAAUCUCUAGGCAUAGAAGGCUCAAGAGGAAAAGAGAAAGAAGAUUACUGUUACCUCUGUCCAUGUGAAUACGUUGCCACAUCAUGUAACAUUUCAGUAAAGUUGCUCAACUACAGAUAGGAAAUUUCCGGCAGAUUAACUCAAUUCACAGCCCCAGGUUACACUUUCCAGAAUGUUGUAUGUAUCACCUGCUUUGCUGUUCUGCGCAUGCCUACAUAUGUGCCGACACUUGAGUUUUCGCCUUUUUCUUCUUUUUUUAAAAGUUAGCCCUUUGAAAGGUAAUGCCUAUUGUUGGAGUUUGUGACGGCAAAUCUUGGACAAAUCUCGUAGCUUGUUUACCAGUGCAUUUGAUGGUGGCUGCAAUCAUGGACAAUUGUGGCGUCAGGUGGAAUCAGUUCUUGUUCAGUGUACUCGGUGAGCUGCUUUGCCAGUUCUAGCCUCCCAGUGUGUGAAUACUGAUUACUGAAUAUGGUGUCGAAUGCACAAAGGUCAUGCUGGUUUACGUUAUUGUAGAUUUCGUUUUGCAGGACUAAAGCAUAUGAAGUCCCAAAAACAUGAGACUCUGUAUGCUUUGAAAGUCUCCAGUGCGCCUGAUGUCUUCUUCCAGUUUUAUUGAGCGCUGUCGGCCUAACAUCCACUGUUGUGCGUCCCUGCAACCGCAAUCUUUUCCCGACACUAUUUCUGCUGUCUAUCCUGCUUGCCGGUCGCUUCUGUUGUGUGUCUCGACUCUCUCGAGCCCGGAGGACCUGGUAAAGGCAGCAAACCCAGGAUAACAGAUAAUGGUAAAGGCAGCAACCCCAGGAUAACUUAUUACAAUAGCUGCUCAGGCCAGCAAACAGUUCAGCUCAGACGCACUGUUGCUGCUCACGUAGCCGUGCCCGCCGACCGCGAGGAUAAGAGAUCUUUAUCACUGGUUCGGCACAGCGGCACUGACGCUAUCUGCCUUGUAAACCGUAACCCCAAGGACGCGGUCGGAGUGACGUGAUGCAACAUAGGAUUGGGUUAUCCGCAACAGCAACACUCUCGCGGCGACGUUCCACGGCCGGACGAGUCGGUUCCCUUCCCAACCUCUCCUGCCGCUCGAUCACCGACUGGCCGCUCAGCUGCUGGCCGGGGCACGAAGAACCAAGGUGUGUGGCCGUGUGGGUGGCCUUGUGGGCGAACGCGGGCCGCGCGGGAUUCCACCCCGUGCACCAUCAUCCCACGGUCCAGGCGCGGCCGCGGAACGGCAGCCCACGCCCCACAAGGCCACAACCCGGGCUGAGCGCACGAAACCAUUUGUUGGUGACGUCGCCUCCUCAGGCAGGGGCGCAGGGCACUUGGCUGCAAACGCUGGCACGCUGCCGCAUCCGUCUGCGGCCGACGGCAGGAUCGACCAGGGCUGCUGCACCGCACGGCACGCCUGUGCCUGUGGCGCUGUGCGUGCGCCCACCAAGUUGGGGGCUCACGGCCAUCAUCCCCCUGCCCCGCCGCGAAUCUAUCAUGGCUCGCCGGACGUUGAUCUGCACUGCUCGUCCGGCAGCUUUUUGACCCAUCCGCUGUACGCCGCUGAUACCCGAGAGCGCCCUUCCUUCCCCAGUGGCAUAUUCCAUUUCUUACCAGAAGUGUUAAGUGCGUGGUUUUGACACCGCAUACCAGCAAUCGCAUCCCCUGCCGUCCUCGCAGUCGCCGCAGAAGAUAGCACGGGCGCACGGCACCGCACAGCCAUUCGUUCCGCUGCGUGCCCUUAUCAGAGUUGCAGAACCCAGCUAGGCUCGGCUCGCUGGGGACGACGACGAGCACGACCGAAAUAUCUGAGCUACUACUCCUACUUACUCAAUUCCCGCACGUGCACGCAUAGGCCCCGGCUCGGUGGUUGCGUAUUUGACCUGCACCCUCGUGUGCACUACCGCACUCGCCGGCCACGGCCUGGUCCGGCCGGCAUAGAUAGCCUACCACCCAACCCAAGCAUGUACCGGAGCCUACUCAUUGUGUACGCACCACGGGGUUCUCUAGUUUAAGCAGCGGCUUUGCACUUGCACGCUCCAUUCGCCACGCUUUUCCGCCACUACGCCGAGGCAACUUUGGACCCUGCUGCCGGCUGUCGCGGUGUCCAAGUUGGGCAACGCGUCCACUACUACUCUCGCCCUCUGCCCAAGAGGUGGGCCGCAAAGCCUCCGCCUCUCCCAUCAUCUUCUUUUCUCGCAGCGAAAAGGCCUGGCCCCUCGCGCUGCCACAUCCGUUUCAGCGUCGCACGGGCGCAUGAGCCCGCCAAUGUUUUAGUAGGUUGGUUACCAGCAGAUCCCAGAUUCCCAGUUCGUGUUCGUUUCUUCCAUACACUCCACUGUGCCAUUGACCACCAAAUUAGUCGUCUUGGCAUCAUCUGCCCAACGAGGAGCACCACCACCACCAGCCUUUUCACGAUAAAAUUGUUUCUCCCAUCCAGCGCCCCCAAGUCCCCCAACGUACGUGUCCGUCGCUGUCCGUCCGAAGAGCCCCCCUCCCUUCGCGUGUUCGUUCGUCCGAAAGCUACUGCUGCUGGGUACCACGGGCCGGCAUGGUGUAGGAGGAGUAUCUCCCGCGGAUUAGACCAGUCUUAGUGGAGUGUCCUGAGAGAUUUUAUGAAUAUUAAAUUUUAUACCACAUAAGCAGUUUUGUUGACUUGGUAGUUUAAUUAUGAAGAGAGAGAAGAGAGGAGUUUCAUGGAUGAAACUCACUCGGUAUAGUUACCAAGUCCAUGAAACUUGUAUCGAGGAUAUUAUAGUUUCAUCACAUGACACGUAUGAUCAUUAAUUUCAUGCAAAAAUUAAAUGUUGCAGGCUGUUUAUAAAAUUGUGCAAUGAAACUGUACACGGAGAGUGAGAGUUCCAUUCCAUCCAAAAGAUGACAUGACUAUCUUAAUAAUAAUGUGAUGAAACAAUGCUCUAAGACUGACAUGAGCGGAAAAAAAACGAGAGCCCGUUAAAUCGUGCCGCACGAGCGAGUGCCCAAUGGGGACGACGCCUCGGGACCGAGCGAGCCCUUGACAGGUGCCCGCGGCGAAUGAUGGCCCGUCCUUUUGGUGGCGAGCUCGCUCUCGCCGUCGGCGACGCAACAAUUCCGCACGCUUCAGGAGCACUAUCUAGCUGCUAACCCAUCCAUGGACGGCCUUUUCGUCGUCUAAACCUAGCUGGGUCACAUCCUGCGCGGACGAUGCAAUAAACUAAGUAACCGAAUGGCGAGGUCAUCGAGUUGCCCGUUGAUCCUGGCCGCCAUUUGUCUCUCCAGCAGUCGACACAUCUUCGUGCACUCGGGUAUAUAUAUAGUUGCGUUUUUAGGUAAAAGGCUAUAGCCAGGGAGCAAAGUUGGAGAUCGAGUGCUGGCCUCCUUUUUCCUUCCGUCGAUGCGCCCGGCCGGCGUCAUCUUUUCGUUCAUGCACAUACAUUCAUGGUGUCGAGAGACAUCAGGACAUCUUUCCCGGCCUCUGCCGCUGUUCUAUUCGCUUCGUUCCGGCUUUUUUUAUUCUGCCUGUUCAUGUAUAGUUGGAAAGAACAGGGUUGCCGACAUUAAUGUUGUCCAGUAAGAUCAUAUCAGAUCAACGUUAAAUCAGACAUAAUCAGGCACUGUGAUAUAUUGUUUGCACUUUGCUGAAAAGCAGGUCAGACUGAACAGAACAGGCUGAAGAACUCAUCUUCGAGCUAGGGGGACAAGAAAACAGUUCAGUAUUUGCUGAAACCUUUUCCUGAUACUACGAGCUAUAGCUAGACAAUCUCCGACCUUUGUAGCCCUUGCCUUUAUUUUUUUUCCUUGAAUUUUUACGGGAUAGGAGGGAGAUAAGUAUUGUUGCAAGGGCCAAAGGACGACCGCAGGGCACUCAUGGGUGUUUGGUCUUGGUCAUAAGAAAUGAUGCAAAAGGUGUGUAAUCCAUAUCCACGAAACGGCACGGCGUGCCUCCUUUUUCCAGUCAAAGGCUUUCGUUUCGUCGGCCAUCCCUACGCAUGGCACUGUGUGCGACCUGCUUUUCUCGAUGUCCAUGCACAUUUUUUGUGCAAUAGUACAAGCACUGGAAUCAUGCUGCCACAAGUCAUGUAUGGACUAUGGCUGCAUAUAUAACAAGUAAAAGGGGGAGGGAGAUGUGGAAAAGAGAAGGACAACGGUGCAGGCGCGGAAGGGCCGUCACUGUGCCCGGAUCAAACUUUUGGAUCUGCAAUUUAGUAAUGAUCAGAGACCGGAUCAGAGAUUAUUGAUUUCUGUAGAUAUUAGAGUUGUCAUCUUUUGCGGACAAGCAGCCAUGAAUUUGCACAUUUGUGGAGAAAAUGACGAGCCUUGUAGUAAUAAUUGCGUGGAACAGUACGCUUCUAUCAAUCCAGGUAACCAAAGCAAGGACAAAAAGCGCGACAACAAAGUUGUACCAUCCCGCACCUGCUUGGACAGAAUUAGUACAACCAGUACGAUUUCAUCUCAAAAGAAGAAUUGGUACAAUUAACAUGGACCUUGUGGUAGUUGAAUUUAAGGAACCAGCUGCCAUGCGACCUCAGCUAGCUAGCGCGUUUUGCAUUCAUAAUUAUUAGUCGUUGACCGGCUUGCUUUCAUCAGGAUAUGCACCAUGAAUGUGUCGUCGUCAUGCACGCUCAAUGGCAGAAUGGCGGACAUGGAUUUUUCUCAUAUAAAUGUGACCACAUGGUUUGACCAUUUGAAUCGUCCAUCUUGAAAUCAAUGGUGAGAUGAAUCAUGGAUGAGUGAGAGAAUCAUAGGUAGGUGAGAAAUUCAAGGUUGGAUGUAUAUCUUAGGAGAGGAAUGAACGGCUGAAAUAACUCAUGCAGCCACAAGUACACGUGGAAUUUAUUUUACCAGAAGGGCUACCUCCUUCCAAUCUCAUCAUCUCAAGCUCCAUCGACCGAAACCUCGUGGAAACUUUCGUGCACAAGUAUAAAUUCUAAAUAAAAUUUUAAGCGCGUGUGAACAAGAGGAAAAAAUGAACGUAAAGGAUGGAUCAUGAUCAGUUCAGGUCCACGAUCGCCUUCCAAUGGAACAGUCAGCAGUGUCAGAGAACAAAACUGACGGCAGGACGACCCGGCACAGCCCGCACCUGUAGACGGAUGGGGAAAGGCCGCGCCCCCCAAGCUCCCAACGGUUGCCAGCGUCCCCAGCCGCGGCGGAAGAGCAGGCGCCAUCGCUCAAUCACGCGUACGGGAUCAUCAGGCGAUCCAGCAGCAGUGACUAGCGAGCCCGUCAUCAGCCGUGCUGUACCACCAGGACGGAGCCCGCUACGCAACGCGUCCAUUGUGCGUGCAUGCACCCAGAUCAAUCCAAUCCGGAGCGAUCACGCAAGGAAGGCAGGCUCCCCGGUGCAGUGUCCGGUCUUAAUUGUCGACGGAGCUCGGUCACCCGAGAUGAGAUGGGCGCACCGGCCGACCCCACUUCGCCGCGGCGAGAGAGGACAGGGAGGAGGCCCCAGCCCCAAUGAUACGCAGGACCGGUAGCUCUCGGCUCAUGAAUAGCGCGCGAGAGGAGUGUGGUGUGUGGCGGCCCGACCGGCCCCUCGCGUACGGCCGGCCAGCUAAGCCAGAGGCCCCUGCCCCCCUGCCAUGCCUCCGCCCGCCUCCGCGAGAUCUGCGGCCCGAUACCCUGACCUGGCCCUGGAGAGUGGAAAGCGACGUCGCGAGCCGUACGGCAUCCCGUAGUCUGACCUGAUUGAUAUCCGCGGGGCAGGGGGAGACGGUCAGACGGAGGAGGCUGGCGCGUCGCUCUCGCCUCGCGCAUCGCGUCGGGGUCGCCGCCCCUGUUCAUUUCGCUGGCACGGCGUGCGCGCGUCCGGCCGGGCUGGCUGGACCCCGCCCGAUCCCCCCGCGCGGCGGGGAAAGGAAAGAAGAGAUCGAUACGCGCGCGACGCCGGCGUCCGAGCCCCCGACCUCACGUGCGUCACCGGGUGCGUGCGCGCGUGACGGCGACGGCGAGAGCGACACGGAUAUGGGGAGCCAUGCGACCGACGCAUAGCGGCAACAUAAACUACUGCUCCCCACGGCCACCUCCCCGGCCGCAGCUUGCGUCGGCCGAGGAGGCCGCGUCAGCCAUCGUCGUCCAUCCAUCGGUGGGUCACCGCCGUUCCGUUCCAUCCGCCCUGACACCUCUCGGGGUAGAAUCAGUUCGUCAGGUCGCGGCUGGAGCAGUAAUGGUAGGCAACGCUGGCUGGCUGCUACACCAGAGGAUACGCGCAUGGGCGAGGAACUAGCAUGGAAUUUUCCCUCGUGUGCUGCUGACUUCAACCUGAUCAUUGAGCCGAAUCUAAUCGGAACAACUGUACCACACCACGAUACAGUACAGUGUCUGCCUCCUCUGCACCUGCAUGCAUCCGAGCUGUUCACACAAACGCAUUCUAGUUCCGCUGGAUGGGCGGCUGCCGCGUGCAGAGGAGCAGCGAUCGCGUGGAAAAAGUUGUGCGCAUGAGAGAUGACCAUCACGGCCGAUGGGCGAUGGGCUAUGCUGCCACAGACCACAGUACUCGUUCGCAGGAGUUGUAUAUUGUUGACCUGUGCCGGUCAGGGGAUGCCUGAACUAAUCCUGCUAUGCUGCAAGAUCCGCGAACGCUCUGACUGUUAGAAUGUACUGUAAGUGUACAUGUGCUCGGCAUAUGGAAAAUCUGGUUCGCGGGCUUUGCCCCGUUUGCUGACCACGACUGCUUUCGUAGCACGGAUGGUAGGGAGAGGAAGAAAAGUUGAGGUACCACCGUACCAGGAGUCCAGGAUUCCCCUGCAGUUAGUGCUGUGUUGGCAGGGGAAGGACCGCAGGAACGUCUUUUAAUGAAACCCCUUCAAAUUUGGAGACUCCACCCUUCCUUAAAAUGGCCUUUUGGGAUAUUCAAAUUUCAAAAGACAAUGUUGACUUUGCCAAAUGAAAGAUUGGAAAGAAUUUUCACCAUUUCGACUCCUCAAGUCUUAGGGGAUGUUUGGGUUAUGCCAGUACUCGCAUCGGCGAACGAUUUCACCGUCCCAUCUCGCAAUCUCACCAUGAGUUGGCAAGAAAAAGACUGAAUGGCCGGCGCUACUCUUGCCAUGCCAAAAUAUUGAAGUGAAUCUACAAAAGCCCCAAGGAGCUAGUUCAUGGCAUAAGAUCUUUUCCUCCCCGAAAAGACCAUCCAGACAUCAAUCCAAACAAGUCCUUACUAGGCUACUCCUAGUGAGGAUUUCAUGCUCAUAUUAGCAUGCCACAUGGGAAUAUGGGAUUUUUCGGUGACAUGACAUCAAAUUUAAUAAGAGAGAAAAUAAAACCAUGUGAAAAAUGAUACCGGAUUUUGAUAAGUCAUCAUGAACUUAAAUAGCAACAUGAAACCAUACACUGGAGGGAUAGUUUUAAAUAUCAGUUCAUUGUCUUCCUAUUGAUGUUGCUAUCUUGAAAUCGUCUGUAUAAAACCCUCAUUGGAAUUAGCACUGUUUCCCCUUUAAUGCCAAAUAAUCACUAGAGCGGAAAGAGAUAAGAGUAGUCAGCCACCAUAAUUAGAGGAAAACAAAAUAAUACAUAGUCUCGAUUGUAGGUGUCUUACUUAAGAAGAUGCCAUUACUAGAAACAAGCAUUGUAAACCUAACUCCCCAGCUUAUUAUGAGGCGAAGCCAGUGAGGGAUUAUGAUCAUUACAAUCCUGAAAAGACUCUGAAUAAGCCACAAGCAACAAAGGACGUCACAUCGUCUUCUGUUGAAACAGCCACACCGUACCCCGUCGGCUCUAUUCUCCCCACGUAACGUAACCUUGCUAUCUUUCACUUGCAUAUACAGGAUAGGAGUUUUCCCCAUGCCAAAAGCAACAUCCCGGAACAACAAAGUUGGCCCAACGCUACGACCGGGACUGCUCGGGCCGUUUUCAACUGUAGUAGGCACGGCUUGGCAACGCCCGCGCUUUCCGCCAUAACAUGGCCGGAGGCGAUAGAUUUGGAGCUCGUCGUGUUGCAGCUGCCCACGUAAACGAAAGGAGCGAGCAGCAGGUGACACCCUUAUCUGGGGAGCCGAGCGGGACGCGGCCGGCCCCGUACCUGCAUGGAACGUGAAGCCGGGGUCGAGCCAGGUAUGCGCCGGCCGCCGGCUGGGGCUGUGGAUCGAAAAGGAAACGAGGAGACGUACGUCCAGCGAGGGAUAGACGCUUCUCUAACACAUGUGUGACCCGACGCAUCGAUGCGUCGUCGACGUAGCAAGUCGCUAGAUAUGGCACUGCACGGGACAUCUCUUUCGGUUCGGGUGUUGUCUCGUUUCGACCACCAGUUUGGCGCUAUUGUAUGGGGGGGCGGGUGCGCCAGGAGAAGGAGAUGGCGCCAAGGACUCUCUGUUUUGUUUGUACCAGCCAGGGCGACUAGGGAGCAGUGGAGAACCGGGAAACGUAACAGUGCCAGAAGACGUUGAACGCGCGCCUCCUCCAUGGCGUGGAGUCCUCCAUGUUCGGUACAAGAUGAGCUCGAUGUUUCGAUGAAAGGGAAAAGAAGUUGAAAUCGUACGAGCAGAUAUUUUGAAUUUUUGUCUGACUGGAGUACGUGUGGAUAAUCGUCCAUUGUCUCUCAAUUUGUGGAUAACCUGAGACAAUUUACCACAAAAGCUGACACGAGCUGUGAACGAGAUAUGACAAGUAACCGGAUCGGAAGGGAUGAGGCCAUUGGCUAGGGUCUCGCUCGAUCGGUUUCUGACGGUGGAACCGGCGUCAUUUUCAUGCCGUCCGUGCUGAUCCGAUCGAUCCCGCAGCGGAGCGGCCGUGCCAAUCGGAUUGGACGGCAUGCUUCCGAUCAAAGCUUCGUCGUCGUCGCCGAUCUUGUCAGGCGGCGGGGGUAUCGAUCGAUCAGGGCCUGAAAUCAUGGGGGCAGGCGCGGCAUCAUUGCACGUAGCAGCGAGCGAGAGCAAUCGAUGGAUUUGAUGCUGCCCUGCGGGGUUGGGAUCAGUCGGCCUCGCCAGUCGAGUCACGCACCCACUGAUUGGUACGACCGCGUGCCGGCGUGCGCGCGCUACGGCGGAGCGAGAAGCUCGGUUUUGUUCUCAUUACGUGAUCGGAGGGUACGGUUAGCCGGGAUCGCGACCUGAUGGCGCCUGGAAAAAAAAAAGGAGAUUCGUUUUGAUGGAUGGAUGCACCCUGCCAUGUGAUCGCCCAAGUAACCCUUGUUUAAUCUAUCCGUUGUUUACUAUGAACGAGAUUGGAGGCAGCCUGAGAAAAAAAAGUUUAAUUAAUGAAGUUGUAUUUGUAAUAGCCUUGCAAGUGGAUGAAAUUACCGAAGCCCCGACCCGGCGGGCUCCACCGGAGGAGAUUAGAGGCAGCGUGAGAAAAAAAAAAGUUACCGGUGCGGGAUCCAUCCGUCCGGUACUCCGGUCCUUGUGAUGAUGCCACGGCACAAGUACGACCGGGCUGACAUCCCCCACACGUGUGGUCGUUCCGUGGGCCCCGCGGCACGUCGUAUCAUCGGCUUUACACGUGUCGAGGCGCGAGUGGGCUGGACGCCCGCACGGGUGCUUGGUCGCGUCCGGGCCCGUCGCUCGCGCGGAGGUGCACAUCAACAACGCUGCUGCUUUCGGCUUUUGUUCGUAGCUCGCCGGGCUGAUCGAUGAUAAUUUGAAGGAUCGUUUUCGCGCACAAGGGUAAAGGAACAAAAAAGUGGUCGCGGAUCGUGUAGGAUGGUCAUCAGUCCUUGAUUAUCGGAGAUGGAUGGUAAUCGGUCGUCGCGACUGCGUCGGCGCGGUUUCUAGAAUUAAGUCACUGCUUCGGCCAAGCUUGCAUCACAUGCAUGGCCGGGUUACCAUUCAGUUCAGCAGCAAUAAUUAUAUCAUCAAGGGAUUCCGGUAAAAGUUCUACUGCGUGUUUAGAAUUUUGGUUACCUAGUGUUCAUUUUGCUUACCACAACUAACUACUCACUCCGUCCCCAAUUACUAUUCGCUUUGAUUUUUUCAGAUACCUAGCUUUUGCUACGUAUUUGGACAUAAUAUAUAUCUAGAUGUAUAGAAAAAGCUACGUAUCUAGAAAACUUAAAAUGAAUAGUAAUUUGGUAUGUAGGGAGUAGAAUAGUGAUGUUUGUAGUAGAAAACAACUGGAUAUGAAAAUGAAGAUGGCUAUCUAUAAGGUCGGCGUUAAUGGCACUUAAGAUGAAGAGGUUGUAGUAAGCAUAUAUGGGUACUGAAAUUUGAGAACACUUGUUUAGAGUCCUCUACUCUUAGCUUUUUGCAUGAUCCUUAUUCUAUAUGCUAAAAUAAAGUGAACAAGAUGCCUCACAAAAAAAACCUAAUUCUACCCCACAACUCUUGCUUUGUGUAUUUUUAGAACUACAGAUAGCUAGCAAGUUUUCUUUGUCCCGAGCUGUAGCUCCUCAGAACAAGAGCCUUAAUAAUAUAUACUGCAGGCAUUUGUUUUGUUGUCAUGGUUACCGUUGCUGCUUGCUGGAGAAUGUUGGUAGGAGAGACUAAAGGCAAUCUACAUAUUGUGAAUAUAAAAGUUAUAUAUCAACACUAAUACGCUUUGCCAAAUUCUUCUCUGAAAAUCUAUUUAAUGGUAUUGAGGAUUUUUUUUUACAAAUUUUAUUUGCGUCCCAUGCUUGACUUUUGUCAGUCUCAGCCUGUGCAACAAAUGCUAUUUUGAAACUCUGUCAAUCCUCAAAGGCACACCACCACACCAUUAUUAGAUGGGACCACCGCAACAGCCACUGAAUUAUGUACAUCAUUUAAAAAAGUAUCAGUAAACAUCACCCUAAUCAUCUACCCAUGGCACCAAAUUAACAAUGAUGCUGGCCUAUCUGGAAAUCUGGAUCCAGACCCCUCCUUUUGAUGAUUUCAAUUCCAUGCUCCCUCACGCCAGGGGCCAUCUCCGCCAUUCAUCCACCGAAAAGACUAUCAAUGCCUGCAUGAACAUAACCAAUCAAUCAACUCCAGAGCCACUCGAUUUCGUUAUUGAGCUGGAAUCAACAGAAAGAUGGUGAUAUUUAAUUCGAAUACUAUUAGUAUUGAACAUAUUCCAAAAGCACGACUGCUCAAGUCCCUGACAGAGCAGCAGCUUAUAAUAUUCAUGUUCCACAAUACAUCUAUCUAUACUGUUAUGCCUCUCACUGAUGCGGCCUGCAGGAAUCUUUUUGGUGAAGGUGCAUUAUAUUUGCUUAAUUAGUCUUACUUUGCUAAAUGUGGUUUACUAUUUCCAUUCCCUAGAAUGCGUUCAAGUAAACUUUUGAAACCGGCUAUUACGGAGUAUAUAUCUAUGAACAUAUCUGAAAUAAAAAAAAUUCAUUAUCGGUAUACUUGACACUUAAAGUAAUUCUACAAUUUAUAUUCCUGUAUACAGUUACAUAGUGAAAAAAAAGAAUGGAAUAGUUUUUUUGGCGGUUAGAGUGGAGACAGUUUUUCUUACGGUUCAUGCAUGAUGGUACAGCUAAUCUGACAAGGUCUCAUAAAAUCUAGUUGCACGUAAACUAUUUUUAUAUGUCAGAUGAUACAGACAUUCUAUAGGGUUUAGAUUGAUAAAUCCAGAGACCUGCCAGGAGAUGUGAUAUAAACCCUUCCUCGAUAAAUGUAUCGCCCAACCACCUUAGGGCUUUGGGUUUUUCCUCGAUACUGAACACACUAUCAAGUAGCAGGAAUUAGAUUGAUCUGGCGAUACUGUUCUGACCGGGUGGAUCAUUCCUUUUGCAGCCAUCCAUGCAUACAGUACAAGUUGUAUGCAAUGAUAAAUAUAGGUUGUUCAUUAAUCAGUACUGUAUGUUUCUGUAUAUAUCUAAAUUAAACCAGUACGGAGUAUAGGCCUUGAUUCCCAAAAUGAAUAGGAUAGUUUUGUCCUUUUAUUAGACUUGUGCACAGGAAUUCUGCCGGCGCUAGGCGUACCCAUAUGAAGGUGGAGAAACAAUUUUUAUGGGAUGAGUAGAAAUUAUUUUCCAUUCACUUAACUGUGCAUAUCUCUUUUACAUUAGAUGAAAAUGUUUUUAUUUUAUUUCUCUAGCAACUUAGAAUAUCAGGGCACACAUUCAGACACACCAUGAAAAUGAGUUCGGGAUAUUUACUAUUCCUUUAUAUAAAAAUGAGUUGAACUUUCCUAUAUGGCCGAAAAAUGCAAAACCACAUGCACAUGUCCCUCGCACCUCCGGCAUGGUACCCUCCUACCUCACAAGUCUUCUUCUAUACCCAUAAUGUUUGUGCUACCGAAUCCACCCUCCUUGUCCUUGCUUCUAAUACCAUGCUAACUUCUAUAUUUUGUUGUCCACCCCCUCCCCUCGGCAAUGCAAUUCGCCAUCCCGCUAGCCGCCGGUAGUGUUCCCGCAUCUUCAUCCUCCCUUCAAGAUCGGGUUUUGCUAGAGGAUCCUUCACAACCUUAAACUCUACUAAGCCCUCCUCCUAGCUAGAAGAUGGUCGAUCGGGCACUAGAAUCGUGUGCUCAUACCAUUCAACUGAACAAAUCCGUGAUUUCAGUCGACGCAGGCUCGGGGAAGCAGGAGAAAUUAAACAUUGGAGAUGCAUAUGCACCGACCCAACUCCCUGCGCGCCGCACCAAAGAAAGAAAAAAUUUCUGGUUAAAGAGCUCCCACAACCACCUCUUCCCUGUCAACAGAUCUCAAAAACUUAUAUAAGAGCACCACAGAGCCGAGAGGGGGCGAAGUGGGCGCCUAGCUUCCUACCAAUUUUUUCCUUGACGCGAAGCUUGCACUUGUAGAGAGAGAAAUCCAGAGCCAAAAGCGCUUCUUUAAUUUAGCUCUCGCCCCCUCUCCUUCCCACUCUUGCUUUCUCUCUCUAACCCAUCCCCUUCUCUCUCUCUCUCUCUCUCCCUCCACACGCACACACAAAAACCAACAAAGCGGGCGAGGUGAUCAGGCAGGGCAGGGCAAGCGGCAGGAAAUAAAUUUCAGCAAAGCUAGAGACCUCAGAUCAGUAGGAACUUGUGGGUGCCAUGAUGGCCUCCAUAACCAGCGAGCUCCUCUUCUUCCUCCCCUUCAUCCUGCUGGCCCUCCUCACCUUCUACACCACCACCGUCGCCAAAUGCCACGGCGCCCACCGGUGGCGGCCGACGAAGAAGAAGCGGCCGAACCUGCCCCCCGGCGCCCCCGGCUGGCCCUUGGUCGGCGAGACCUUCGGCUACCUCCGCCCCCACCCGGCCACCUCCGUCGGCCGCUUCAUGGAGCAGCACGUCGCACGGUCCGUCGCCGCCGCCGCCGGUGCACACACCAUCAAUUAAGCUCACACGCACGACGCAGUCGUAGCUUAUUGGCCGUCGCCAUGCGUGUGCAUGCAGGUACGGGAAGAUAUACCGGUCGAGCCUGUUCGGGGAGCGGACGGUGGUGUCGGCGGACGCGGGGCUGAACCGCUACAUCCUGCAGAACGAGGGGCGUCUGUUCGAGUGCAGCUACCCGCGCAGCAUCGGCGGCAUCCUGGGCAAGUGGUCCAUGCUGGUGCUCGUGGGGGACGCGCACCGGGAGAUGCGCGCCAUCUCGCUCAACUUCCUCAGCUCCGUCCGCCUCCGCGCCGUGCUGCUCCCGGAGGUCGAGCGGCACACACUGCUGGUCCUCCGGUCAUGGCCGCCCGCAGACGGCGCCUUCUCCGCCCAGCACGAGGCCAAGAAGGUAUAGCAUCUGAUGACUCCCCGGAGCUACCAGUGAUGAUUAAUCUAUCUAAUAAUGCUUUGGCUCCACGCAUGGUGCCAUACUACCGAUCCAUGCAAGCUAAGCUGCUAAGCAAGGAUCGCCGCUAGCUAACAACCCGCGUGCGGAUGACGAGUGCAGUUCACGUUUAACCUGAUGGCGAAGAACAUAAUGAGCAUGGACCCCGGCGAGGAGGAGACGGAGCGGCUGCGGCUGGAGUACAUCACCUUCAUGAAGGGCGUCGUGUCCGCGCCGCUCAACUUCCCGGGCACGGCCUACUGGAAGGCGCUCAAGGUGGGUGUUACCCGUCUCCCUCGCUCUCUAGCUCUGAGUGAUCCCUGUCUCUCUCUCUCCCGGCCCCCGUGCGCACUCGCUGUGCCCACGGAUUUUAUUUGUUGUUUUGUUUCCAAAAAUAGGCGGCAACCAACGUUUCAUCAGACGAUGCUACACGCAACAACCGCUACGGCGAUCUGUUUUCUAUCUGAAAUAUAUGAUGCACACGAGCGGGAGCUACAGGGAGAUAGACAAAUAUAUAUAUAUAUAUAUAUAUAUGUAUAUAUACAUAUAUGUUACCUAGCCUAGCCUGUCAACGUUUUGUUUGGUACUUCCUUCUCAGGAAAACAAAAAUACGAGAGGUAGUAGAGAGAGAUAGGUUGCUAAGUUUUGUUUGGCGCCGCAUGGUCCAUCAAUAUAUGUAGCUAUAUAUAUAUAUAUUAGAAGAGGGCCGGAUCGAAUUGCUAUAUACUACGUGACACGAGAGCAGUGUGGGCUUCAGAUUUAUUCGUGGAUGGUCCAAGGAUCGCUGUGUUGUUAUGCACACGUCCUAAUAAACACGUCCAAUCAGAGAGACCAGUGGAUCAUCUCUUUCCUGCUACAGGCAGGUACUUGGAUAUAUACACAUCGUCUCAUGCGUUCUUUUCUGUACAACGGAUUUUAUGCAUCCACAAAAUGGGUAAAAGAAAACAGUUUAGAAACAGUAGUGGUAGACAGUAAUUGCUACUCCCUCCGUCCCAAAUUAUACGCUUGUUUUGGUUUUUCAAAAUUUAUAGAUUUUAUAAUGUAUCUAGAUAUACGCUAUGUUUAAGUACAUAGUAAAAGCAAUGUGCUGAAAAAGUCAAAACUACAUAUAAUUUGGACCGAAGUGAGUACUUGCGAGACAAAGCCUUUUCAGGUUUAUCUUGUAUCAGCUUUUCUACUAAACUACUGCAUAGUUGAAAGCUAGAUUUAGUAGAAUAGAGGCUUGCUAUAUUUGCAGCUUAUUUUCUUUAACUUCCCUUGCUACAUCAUACUUUCUCCCCACAUCACUCAUGGCCCCAUAAAAAUGCUGCCCACUUUUCACUGCCUGUGAGGUCACCCUCAAACGAUCUUUAGUGAUUGCUCCCAGCUGCAGCAUGCAUGCUUGCUUUAUUCACAGGAUCUUUGCAUCAUACAAUUGCAUGUGGGAAUUUCUACUCUUUUUUUAGGGAGGUAGACUAUUAAGAAAAAAAAAUCUAAUGAUCAAUCUCCAUAGCUUCACAUGAUUAUGUGUUGGAAGAAUCCAUCAUUUAUCAUGAUUCAACUGCUGACCAACUCUUGACACGCUAGAGCCGCAUUCAUUUUUUGUUAAGCAAGUGAUUAGAGACUUCAUAAUUUGCACUUAGCAGUUAAUGAAAUAGCGGCAGGCUGUUUUGUUAGCUGAAGUCAAUCAUGCCCAUGCAUCCUCCAUACCUGAAAAAGCAAAACUUUCUCAACCUCUUUUACUGAUUAUAAAUCGAUGAACACGAGAGAAAGAAAAUAUGUGCUACUGAACCCUCUCUAUCUAUAUUUGGCGGUAGUUACGUGUAUUUUUUACUUCCAAAUGAAAGGACACAAAUUUUCUUCAAAACAGACAGCUAUGAGAAGACAUUGCACUAGACCAAUAGGCAGUUAGGCGAACCCUAAAUGAUAGUACAGCUGACGUCCAAUAUUUUCUUGCAAAUUAGAGGGACUUUGCAAUAAAAAAAAUGUUCGCUUUCAUUGAUCUAAAAAUCACAUCAUGCAAUUGUCGUGUUUUUUUUUGUGUGUAGUCACGCGCGUCCAUACUUGGAGUAAUAGAGAGGAAAAUGGAGGAUAGGCUUGAGAAAAUGAGCAAGGAGAACUCAAGUGUAGAGGAAGAUGAUCUUCUUGGAUGGGCGCUGAAGCAAUCCAAUCUCUCGAAGGAACAGAUCCUGGACCUCUUGCUGAGCCUGCUCUUCGCCGGGCACGAGACGUCGUCAAUGGCACUAGCCCUCGCCAUCUUCUUCCUUGAAGGAUGCCCUAAGGCUGUCCAAGAACUCCGGGUACAAAUUCAAAGCCUACUAUUAUACAAUAUACAUCCACCUAGCUCUCACUGAUCAUUUUUCAAACUUUCCACAGUAAACUAGAUGUUUGGUCAAAGAAAAUACUAUAUAUAAUGGAAUUAUAUAUAUUGUUACACUGACAUACGAGUUGCAGGAAGAGCAUCUCGAGAUUGCAAGGAGACAAAGGCUACGAGGGGCGUCCAAAUUGAGCUGGGAAGACUACAAGGAGAUGGUUUUCACGCAAUGUGUAAGGGCCCCUUGUUCUGAUCGUUCUUUCCAUCGCAAUGCUAGUGCGAGAUCGCUGUACGCUCUGCUCCCUGGCCUGCUUCAGUCCAACUCGUGCCAGCACAAACCGUCUCGUCUAGUUGCGUCGUACAGGAUAGCAACUUCCCGUACGAACGGAGACCGAAGGCGCGUCAGAAUAAUUGGCUGGCCAAUUUUGGAGUGCUUGUCGUCCGCUUGCUCUCCCAACAGAGUUUCUUCUUCUUCUUCUUUAUUUUGUUUUGGAAGCUUUUAGAGGGUGAUGCCUGGCAUUUUGCAACAGUCGAGAUGCGUUGAGAAGUACACAUUGUUCUUGCAUAGCUAGCAUACAACAAGAAGGUAUCUGUGUUGUAUCUCGCUGUUCAAAUGGGACAAGUUGAACUCGUAUUUCAGACAUCACUCAGCCAAUUAUCAACUGAUCAGGGGGAUAAAAAACUGGUCAGGUCUAAAUAAGACAGAACCCCAAAGAUGCUGAAAGCUUGUCGCUAACCCUGAAACACAGUAGUAGAUGUCAAAUGCCUUGUCAGAUGGCUGCUAGAAGCACUUCAAACCCGUAGAAAAUGGUAGGUGUGUUUUCGUUUAACAGUUUCCUUUUUGUUUCUUGCAGGUUAUAAAUGAGACAUUGAGACUUGGCAACGUUGUCAGGUUCCUGCACCGGAAGGUCAUCCGAGAUGUGCAUUACAAUGGUAGGUUUAACCCUAUAUCCUAAGCUCGAAAUUCUGAAUUCGACCACACACGUGCAGCAAGAACAUGAUGUACUGAACAUUUCUCUGCUUCCAUAUUGUCUCUGCCAAAAUGAAGGGUACGACAUACCGAGGGGAUGGAAAAUUCUUCCGGUACUGGCGGCGGUACAUCUGGAUUCGUCGUUGUACGAGGACCCCAAUCAGUUCAACCCUUGGAGAUGGAAGGUCAGUGGCUCCCCCUGCAAUUCUGCAAACUAAGUUUCAGUCUACACAAAUUAACUGAAACCAAUUAGUAGAUGUCACAUGAACACCGAUCACCAAUCCAUCACGGAAACAAAAAUAUCUGAGCAUUUGGAUGCAGCCUCCGGCCGUAUGCAGGCCAGUGAAUCCGAUCGUACGCUAACCUUCACGUCGUGCGCUUUUACUAGAAUCUGAAAAGGGGAGCAUGAGAUAAAUGUGUGCCAACUCUGAACACUGAAGAAUAUCCAGCGAAAACACGACACCUAGGGGGUGUUUGUUUCCUCUGACUUAUUUUUAACACCCAUCACAUCAAAUGUUUAGAUACUAAUUAGGAGUAUUAAACGUAGACUAUUUACAAAACCCAUUACAUAAGUGGAGGCUAAAUAGCAAGACGAAUCUAUUAAGCCUAAUUAGUCCAUGAUUUGACAAUGUGUUGCUACAGUAAAUAUUUGCUAAUAAUAGAUUAAUUAAGCUUAAUAGAUUCGUCUCGCCGUUUAGCCUCUGCUUAUGUAAUGGGUUUUGUAAAUAGUCUACGUUUAAUACUUCUAAUUAGUAUCUAAACAUUCGAUGUGACACGUGCUAAAAAUAAGCAAAGGAAUCAAACGUCCCCUACUCUGCUGACCUCCAUUAUUGAUAGGAGCAUGGGCCUGACACGAAAGGGAAUGUUCGACGCCCACACGUGUGCCCGAUCUCGUCGUGGUCCGAUCGAAAGAGACGUGCUAGUUUGCCAGCUGCACUCUCCCUCCGACGAUUCCAAGAUCAUAUGGUCCAAUUGGGAAACGAACGGCACGUUGGAAGCUUGGAAUCCAGCCAGCAGAGUGCGUGGAAUCCAUCCGUCGCCAACACAUCGCUAAUUCUUUAUCCGCCGCAAACCGAUGGGGAUGUCCGGCGCCGUCGUCAGCGCCCCUAGGGAGUAGGGACUGCGACUGCGAUCGUGGAAGUACGAUCUCAAUUCACCGAUGAACCAAGAAGACAGAUGAUCUAGAUUCUCUGAACUUUCACUGAUGAACCACAAAUAAGAUAAAAUGAUAUAGAUUCUCUGAACAGUCAAGCCUGCGACUAUUCUUUCACUGAUCAUGCUCGCCGCAGGUGUCUGAUUCUGCUGGUGUUUUGUUGCAGAGCAAUGCGCCGAGCAGCUUCAUGCCGUACGGCGGCGGGCCGCGCCUGUGCGCGGGGUCAGAGCUGGCGAAGCUGGAGAUGGCCAUCUUCCUGCACCACCUGGUGCUCAACUUCCGGUGGGAGCUGGCGGAGCCGGACCGGGCCUUCGUCUACCCCUUCGUCGACUUCCCCAAGGGCCUGCCGAUCAGGGUCCAGAGGAUCGCCGGCGAACACAGCGUUUUGACCGAGAGCACAGCGACGUAGUGGCACGGACGUAGGGUACGUGUCUAGCAGGGGAGUACAGAGGAGCGUACAAUUUUUCGUUGCGUUUUGGGGUUUGGCGGUUCGUGUUUAUGUAGAUGUCAUGAAAGAAGAAGAUAGGAGAAGGAUGAUGUAUAGAUAAAGAGUAAAAAGAAAAGGGGAUGGUUGGAAAAUUUAGUAGGGUUGUAAUAAGGCCGGCCCACGGCCCAUGUCAAGUAAUAAUAGAGAUAUAGUAAUUUUUCUGCUUUCUUUUUCCGAGAAUCGCGUGUAGAAUCUUUUGCGACGUCGCAUCAAAGUUUUAUCUUUUUUGUUGAUUGAAUUCAUCUUGAUGCACACAAUUUUAUACGAUUUUAUGCACUUAUCCGUGCGUUAGUACCUAAGACUAAUAUAUAAGAUUUUGCAAAAUUAUUGAAAUGUCUCUUGUUCAUGAUUCACCAAAAUUAGCGCCUUGACCUUUUUGUUUGAGCUGCACCUUCUAGUUGUUUGAAAAACUACCGCUGGCUUUUUUCUAAAAAUCUUGAAUUUUUUGAGCUCAAAAUGCUACGAAAGCUACGAAAAGCUCGUAAAACUGACCUUUCAAGUUUUUCAUAUAAAACUCAGCUUUUGUGCGCUUCCAGCUUUUUAGAAGCUGCACAAAAAAUUUACUGUUUGACUAAACUUCUAACUUUUCACGUGGAGAAACUGCCGAAACCUCGGUACGAGUCUGUGAUAUUUCUUUCCUGCAGAAGCUAGCAAGCAAACUGGGAGGGCCAUGGCAGGCCCUCCAUGGCCGAAAGUCUUCUUGCGUGCGGUGGCCAUAUAACUGGAGGCCCAAAAGGCCCAGUCUGAGGGUUGGCAACCGCCGCGAACCAACCAAUCAGAACCACCGUCAACGGUGGCCACAAGAUUUCCUUCCGCAACAGAUCCUGAAAGAACAAUGACGCAUGCAGUGACGCUAAUUCCCGCAAGUUGCGGUCGCCCCACGCAAUCGACGUGGCACCGCCAAUGGUCUUCGGACACGUGCGCGCUAUCCUGCCGUCCGACUCGAACCGCCUCAUCGCCGCCGUCGGAUCCCAGCAACCGGACAAUAAAUACCUUGGAUUCCUCUGCUAAUCCUCCCGCACCACCCGCUAACCCUAACCUUGCCUACCCACCCCGCCUUUUCCUUGGCCCUUAAGUUGCUUCGUUCCCCUGCUGGAAAUCCUUUCUCGUCUAGAUCCAAACUACGUUCCUUUCUACAUGCCGAUCUCGUCUAGAUCUAGAUCGAAACAAGUUUCCUUUCUCCAUGCCGAUCCGUGCGGUUUACUUCUCGUCGGAUGCUUUGUCGGAUCGACGAACGGUGAAUAUCUCUCCGUUGUUUGUCUGCUCGAAACACAUGGGCUUGUUUUGUGAUGUGCAGAUUCAGAUCUGAUUAAGAGUUGCGCGUGCGCCGGCUCGGAUCGAGACGAGGCUGCGUCGAUGUGUGCGCGGUGGCUGCUGGUCUGCAUGUUUGGGCGCGUCGGAUCUGAUGUUGGUUAGUCCUUUGCCCAAGGAACCCGUGUUGAUUCAGUCUGUUUCGGUUGGUCGUACGGUGCCUUAUCCCUCGAUUUUGUUUUCUGCUGACCUUCAGAGCUGGGACGUCUCGGCGAGAUUGGGGUGAUCUGGCGGUUUCGGAGGCGUGGAAGGGACGCGGCGGUGUGGUCGGAUUGCUGGAUUUGCUUCAACUCUCCUGAUGAUAUCUCUUUGUAUUGAUAAUUAUUGGAUGGAAUUUCCAUAAUUAUUAGAUCCGAGAGAUGUUGCUCGGGGAAAUCCGUGCCUUGAAGGCGAGGUAAGCUAAACACAUGUAACCAGCGAGUUGCGUGUGGAGUCGGGAGGAGAAAAGAAAAAAAGAUGUGAAAAAAGAGAAGAUGUGAAAAAAAAAGAUGUGACAUCUUGAAGGCCUUUGCCAUGAUGGGUGCGCUCGCAUGGCAGGCCACCGUAAUAAAGAUGUUGAUUUUGUGCCUCGGGUGGGAGAUCGCACGGGGGGUUAUUUUUUUUAUCCCCCGGGUUCUCCCUCCCCUUGUGUCCCUGUGCCCGCUUCUUCUUGUUGGCUACACGUCUCCCUGGUACACCUCGGGCAUUCUACAAUUUGGCAAGGAGCUACAGCGCCGCACGCAAGGUACAAUUGGCAAUCUGAAGUUGCAAUUCAUAUUACAUACUAAUCCAUACUUAUGCUGUUGCAAUUUAUAAUGCAAACUAGAUAAAUUUCUUAACGUCUAUAACUAAGCGAAGUUUAGUGGUGCAAUCAUCAAUCCUUGUUGCUUGUAGUACGUGCUUUCAUUAACUCAUUAACUUCACGGUUAAAGCAGUCAUCCAUGCCAUGCUUCUUAAUUUUAGGACGUGCCAAGUCAUAGUGCACCCAUCUGUUCUUCCAUCCGAGCAACACCACUGACACACGAACGACGCGUACUGUUCGAUUUUUAAGUCGAUCUGCGUACCAAAUUGAAAAAAUGAAUUAAUUAAAGGGAAACCUGGCGAUGAUAACUGCUGGUUUCUGAAUUACACCUUCACACCUCAAUACUAUCAUCUGUGAAUCUACUGAGUUCAAUUAUGUGGCAAAUGUGUCACGUUCUGAAUUACACCUUCACACCUCACCUUCACACCUUAAUACUAUCAGCUGUGAAUCUUCUGAGUUAAAUUAUGUGUAUGUGGCAAAUGUGUCGCGGCUGCUACGCUGAUUCUUUUAAGUGUUACUUUCAUGCUUCAAUUAGCACCUCACCUAGGAUUUCUGUCAAGAAACAUGAAAUUCUAUAUAUAUUGGGCACUGUAAGUUCUCUGUUAUAUUUUGUUCUGAGUGUUAAUUUUGAAUUAUAUCAAUAUCUAGAAUGAUCAAGUGUUGCAAGUUUAUGUGAUAUUUAGUUCUAUAGUGGUUAUGCAAGAUGCAGCUAUUCAACUAGUUUAUUGUAAUCAGUUUGUGUAAGUGCAAUUUGUCUUCCCUUGUAAGUUGUAUAAGGACAUGUACGAGGAUGUAUGGCGAGAUGGCGUGCUGGUUUAUGAAGCUUCCAGCUGUUCUCUUCCCUGGAAGAUACUGCUGAGGCUUCGUGCCUCCUGGGAGUUCCGCAGCUGCUCAUGCUCCUGGGAGUUCUGAAGUUCUUGCUGGUGCUUUCAGCGGUUAUGUUGCUGAAGCUUCCUAAAUGUCUUCGGUUGGAGGUUCUGGAGUUAUGAUGUCUUCUGCUGAAGUCGAAGCUUUGCUGAAGCCUCCUAAAUAUCUGAAAUUUUCUGUGGUUUUAUUGGUCGAGCUCCCCCGUGGUCUAGAAAAGUACUUCACCACUUGAGCGGACCGUCUGGCUGCUUGGCGGGUUUCACAAUAUAUGGUGACUGAUGCUGCUUAAUUUUUGUAACACAUGUUUUGUCGUUGCAAUUGUUCUUGUCGUAUUUUUUGAGGUUGAGCUGUAAGAGUAGUUCACCUGGAGAGUACAUUAUCUACAGUUCUGCUGGCAUUUUUUUGGAGGAGACAACGUGGAAGAGGUUUGGGCUGAAGGUAUAUCUGAUUUCACUCAUUCAUUGCUAUCCGACACUCAACUUUGUAUUGUAAUUUGUUGCAACUGCUGUGCAUGUGUCCGAAGCAGUUUACAUUUUGUAUAAGCUUAGGUUUUUUACGCUGUUCUGUUUGUGGGCAGAUCUGUCUCGUUGCUGGUUUUCAUUUCAAAUAAGCGUAGGUUCGUACAAGUGAUUUUGGCAACAAAAUUGAGGUUAAGUUUCGCGUAUAGACCGCUGUGUAGUCCUCGUCUGUGUCCCGACUCUGUCUCUGGAUCUUAUCUCAACACGGUGAGGUCCUCCGUGGACUGGUCAGCUUUGCCUACCUGCCCGGACGGAAGGUGGUUCGACUCCACCAAGAUCCUGUAGUUGUGUAGUUUAUUUACUUUCAUUGUUAUAAAUUAAAUUUAUUGCUAAUUGUUGCAGUUUUUAACCUUUUUAACGGCUAUCAAUUGUUUUUAACUUAUUAAAGUUACACUGUUUAUGUUUAUUAAAUGAAAUUGUAACGAAGUUAACAUUCUAACCUCUACUAUCGAAAAUGAUUUUAACCUAUUUUACAUUGUUGUAAUUAAAUCAUAACUUUACAUGAUUGUGUUUUAUUAAACAACAUGUACUGAGACAAGUUUCCUAAUUUGUUUCACUCAUAUCGCGCAAUUUAACGUACAUAUAUAUAAGAUUGGAGCAUGGUUUUCAAGGUAAUUUGUAAACAAUAUAUUUUUUUAAGAACAAAUUGUUUGUUGGACGAUUGUUCAGAACCUAAAUGAAAAUAGUAUAACCUAAAUGAAAACGGUAUGGCCUAUGGAGUUUAGUUUGGUCAACAUAAGGUUUAGUUUAAACAUUAGCUAUUUUUGGUCCUCUUAUUCUUUAUUUGACUUAAAAAAGUAUUUAGGAACUUUUCAAAUCUUAACACCAUUUAUAAAAGUUUGAAAUUCAAACACUACUUAAGUCCUGGACCACUGUAAAACUAAAUCAUGUUGAAUAAGGAUUGGUUGUAUGGUUUUAUAGCUGAGGGUUUAGGUUGAACUUUUAGAUUGUAAACUUUAGAAAUUCUGCCAUUCUAAUUUCAAAUUGAUACGAUAUUUUAUGACAUUGAAUUUUCUUUGUGAUGGAUGUAUUUUAAAUUGAAAUUAUGACUUUGAAUGUUAGCCGCUAAAUGAAGCUAUGGCUAGCUCCGUCUUGCAAUUUAUACCGAGACGAACUUUGCUCACCUUUAUUUUUGUAAAAUUGACACUAUUUAUUACCUCUUCUGUUUUUUUAAUAUAAAAUGUAGACACUUGUUGGGUAAGAAAUAGACUAAUUAGCCACGGAGGGGUAAUUGAUCAUAUCUUUCGUGGGAAGGCACAUAGGCUGAUCACAGAUGAAUACCAUCGUGAUGAGCGCAGAAACAAAGGAAAUCAGUGGCAAACACAAAAUGGCUGCUUGCUUCAGCCAGAAGAGUCCUCUGCAGUGCUGAAGCCAAUGUUCUGAUGGCCGCCACAGUAGUCUGAGGCUCUGAGCCUGCAUGAACAAAAGCCUCUGCAGCAGUGCGGUGCACCGGUAUUCAAAUUUUAUUGCGCCGCUAAGCCUCUGCUGUUCGCCGAUGGCAGGUCCAGGCCAUCAGGGGUCUGACGGUUCGCAGCGCUUCCUAAAAUGCGUCUUGCUGUAUUCUACACUGCACAGCAUCCUGUCGCCAACAGUGCGCGCGGGGUGCGGAGUUGGGAGACUGAAAUCAGUGACCCACCGCGCAGGCACCCAUAAGCUUUUAUUGAGAAUUUUGGGGUGUUUGGAUCUGUAAUUCGGACUAAAAUUCACAUCACAUCGAAUAUUCGGAGGUCAUGUUAAUUAUAAAACUAAUUACACGGAUGGAGGCUAAUUCCUAAAACGAAUCUAUUAAGCCUAAUUAAUCCAUCAUUAGCACAUGUUCACUGUAGCACCACAUUGUCAAAUCAUGAACUAAUUAGGUUUAAUAGAUUCGUCUCGCAAAUUAGUCUCCAUCUGUACAAUUAAUCUAUGUUUAAUAGUUCUAAUUAGUAUCUAAACAUUUAAACAUUUAAUGUGACAGGAAUUUUAGAAGCUUCUAAAUAAAUAAUGUAAUAAAACCCACACGGUCACGAGCCCUGAUCGUGCACCCGACGUUGAGUGCCUGUGCCGCCGCCUCGCCGCGCGCACCGCGCUGCUCCGAGUCGUCCGGCGGCGCGGAUCGAACGCGCAACGCGUGAUCUCUCCCACGCCCCCACACCGCUCGUCGCCUCCUGACCACGGCCGCGGCACGCCGAGACGCUCCCAUCUCGGCCGCGGCCAGCCGGGGAUCGGCCGCUGUGAGGAAUAAUUGCCCGCGGUGGGGUUGCAGCCACGCGUGCGCGCGUGAUGGCGGAACAGAACCGCGGCACAAGCAAUUCAACCAUCAUCCACCAAUGGUCUAUGCCAAACAUGAUCAUCGCGUCUCUGGCUGGCCUGCUGCCGCACAGCAUGGUAACAACAGCAUGAAAAAAUUUUAUCAACCCCGUGGCAAACCAUACAUUAGGGCAAACGCCAUCAAACCUUAGCGGGCAGCAUCACAGAUUAAACCCCUGUCAUCCCCGCUGUAAAUAAACAACAAAAAUUUACACCCGGUGAAAAAGUCAGUCCAGCUCCAGCUCCUCGCACGUACGCCGCGUCAGGUGGGUGCGUGCGUGGUUGCUUGCAGCUCCGAUCCCUCAUCUCCACAUCGACUUGUCCGAGUCGUCGGCGGCCGCGACGUUCUCCGACAGGAGCGACGGCCGCGUGCCCGUCGACGUCCGGUGAGACGCCCGCGGCGAGCGGUGUUCCUGCACCACCAAGAACAACUGGCGUGUCAUGUCAUGGCCGUGGCAAUGGCUGCCCGACAUCGGCCAAGCAAGAACAUACCGUGCGGAAGGGGAACUCGUCGCCCUCGAGCAUGUGCACGAUCUGCCCCAUCCGUGGCCGCUUGUGGGCGUCGGCGUCGAUGCAGCGGAGGCAGACGAGGAGCACCCGGUUGAGCACCCUUGGCGGCGGCGGAGCGGCGACGCGCGGGUCCACGAGGUCCUCCACGCGGCGGCCGCCCACCAUGCCCCGGAACCACUCGACCAGGUUCACCUCGCCGGCGGGGCGGUUGUAGUCGACGGGGCUGCGCCCGGAGACGAGCUCCAUCAGCAGCACGCCGAAGCUGUAGACGUCGCUGCUCUCGUUCAGCAUCCCCGUCGAGGCGUACUCGGGGGCCACGUACCCGAACGUGCCCAUCACCCGGGUCGUCACGUAGCUGGAGCCGGAGCCCAGGACCUUGGCCAUGCCGAAGUCCGACACCUUGGGGUUCCACUUCUUGUCCAGCAGGAUGUUGCUCGACUUGAUGUCGCGGUGCACCACCUUGGGCUCAAGGCCUUCGUGCAGGUACGCGAUGCUGCAUCGAUGAAGCAUCGGUGAGCAACGAACAGAUUCGCAAUCGAAGAUCACGAGGUGCUCUGUCAGUGAAGUGUCUGAAGAAGAAGAAGAAGAAAAUACCCUUUGGCCGUUCCGAUGGCGAUUUUCAUCCGAAUGUCCCACGUCAACGGGCUGACAGGGCCGACGUCGCCGUGCAGCCACUGCUCCAAGUUGCCGUUCUCGACGAACUCGUACAGGAGCAUCCUGUGAACGCAAAUUUAUGGCAUUGCCAGUGAGUAUCAGAAUUCAGCAAGCAUGAGUGGCCGACAGGUUAUUCAGGUGAAUUCAGAAGUGCGUGUUAACCGACAGGUUACUACUCAGUACUCCUCACCUUUUAGGCCCUUCUGCGCAGUAACCGAUGAGCCCGACGAGGUGCUUGUGCCUCACUUUGCCUAUGGCUUCCACCUCCACCUUGAACUCCUUCUCGGCCUGACCCCUAAAAAAUUAUAGUCUCAAUCAGCAUUCCGAUCAGUGAAGGUUCAGAGUAGAAAUUGUUUAAUUCUCAUCCGCCGUCUUUCAUCUUGAUUAUUUGCCCUGAAUGUCCUAGCAUGGUAUGGUGAGGGUAAACAAACAGAAAUAACUGUUGCUUCUCUGCCAAUCAUCAGGAAUCCACGUGCAUGCAUUUGAUUUGCUUCAAAGCUAACACUGCUCCAAAGUUCAUGGCACUGCAUAUUUUAGCUGGAUAUUUGUCAUUGAAAUGAAACUGAAAAGGAAAAGUUUGGUCGUCGCUUUGCCUUUCCUCUGCUUUAUCUUUUCUUGAAAGAAAGGAUUUCGAUCCGUGGCGCAUAUGACUGCCGACGAAACUCAACCAACAAGUAGAUGGAUAUACAUACGGGCCAUCACAUAAAAGCACAAAAAGACCCACCUACUCAUAUCACAAUCAUACGUAGCCUUGGAAAGAAAAUAAAUUCGUAUCUUUUUUUUUUGGAAAAUCAUUGACUUCAACCUGUGGACAUUGUGGGCGUGCAUUCGCUACAUUAAAUCCAUUCACAGGAUCAUCAGAGACCAAUAAUAUUAACAAUCGUGCACGCAGAUCAGUGAAGAACUGAAGAUCAUGGUGUGGACAUGUCUGCAUUGUUAAAGAUUUUUCUCCAGCGACUUGUGGGCGUUCAGUCAGAACUGACAGCUGAAGAUUGUGAACUAACUUUAAAGGCAUCAAAGAUCAACCCUUUUUUGUUUUUUUGUUUUUCUUUUGGCAAAGCCAAAAAGGAUUCAGCUAAUGAACCUUUUUCAUCCUGUGUUUGGAGAACUAAAAAUGCACAGAAUUCUAAGAAUUGUCUUCGUUAAUCUUUUCGGGGCCAAAUGCUGCUGUCGCGAAUGGUUAGUUGAUGAGCAGUCAAUUGAUUAAACUUGUGCAGAACUGAAGGCUCACAUUGGUAACAAAAGUCAGAAGUAUUGCUUUUAAGCUAAUAAAAACAUGUUUUACAAGCUUUUUUUACAUGGCCAUGAUACUUGACAAUCUUGAAGCCACAUCAACAGCAAAACCACAACCACCCCGAUAUAAUGUGAGUACGUGACAAUUGACCAAGAAAUGCAUCCAGUCUAGGAAAGCAUCAAAACGUAUACUCCUUGCUUGUCCAAAUGCUACGCCCCAAAGAGUACCACUAGGAACUUGUACUACCCGUUCAAGCAUUUACACCAAAAGAACAACGGACAUAAUUGUACUGCUAAGUACUACUUACUACGGCGGUUAAUUUCUUUUACACAUGUCCAUUCAGUAGAUGCACAGCUAAUGAGCUUUUUUUUUUCUGAAAGUUAACACAUGGGUUCGAUGCUUUUUACCAUGAUCUGGGAUAGAAAAGAAAGAUAACAGUAAAGAGGAAAAGGGCAGAGGAGAACAGGGGAACUCACUUGUGAUCAAACAAGUCCUUGACCGCGACAACCUCCCCGCCGGCGAGCACGCCGCGGUACACCGUGCCGUAGCCUCCCUCCCCGACCACGUUCUCAGCGCAGAACCCGCCCGUGGCGACCUCCAGCUCCGCAAGCUCGUACCACCUCCCCCACCCCAUCUCCACCCCCGCCGCGGCCCCGCCGGCGACGACCCUGACCGCCUCCGGCUUCCUCUUCACCGGCGACUCGAGCGAGCUCGCGGCCGCGGACGAGCUGGCCACGUCGGAGGAGCUGGCGCCCGCGCCCGUACCCGCGGCACGAUCCGCGCCGCCGGCCUUGUCCUUGCGCGCGGACGACGCCGGGCGGGAGGAGCCCGAGCCCGAGGUGGAGGACGGCGCGUGCUCGACGCGCGACAGCGAGGGCGGCCUGGCGCCCCGCCGGCGCGCGAAGUACACGGCGGCGGCCACCGCGGCGAGGACGAUGAGCGCGGCCAGGGCGGCGGCGGCGCCCGCCGCGACGGGAACCGGCAUGCCGAGGAGGGCGUUCCUGUCGCCGCCGUCAGCCGGGGCGCCGCCACCGGCGUCGGCAGCGGCGGCCGAUGCCGAUGCCGGCCCGGCGGCGUCCAUUGGCGGUUGAGAGGAGCUCAGGGCGGUGGGGCCGCCUCCGUCUCCGACCCGUUGGGCAGAGCAGAGGGGGUGGUGGCGAGGGAGUGGAGGGUGGGAGGAAGGGCGGAGCGUGCCGCGGGCGGCAGCCAGCUCCGUUUUAUGGCGCUGUGGGAGUUUUGUCGUUGUUAACGUUGGUGGAUUCGGCGUUCCGUGGGCCCGGCCCAUCAAUUUCGUUUUCGAGCCCUCCUUUCUUUUUCUAAAUCAUUUCCUUUCGUUGCACUUGCACUGUUUUCUCUAGAAGUAGAGUAAUCCACGCAUUUGUAAGUUUAUUAUACCUAUGUCCCAUUAAAGACCGAUGAACAAUAGCUCGGUUUCAAGCAUACGAGUCACUAAUCAUCAAAUAGAACCCUCGCAUGCGGAUGCAGGGCAUACGUUGAUUGCUCAAGCGACGUCCAACCAGCAGCUAGCCCAACUAAAAUAGUACGCUAUCGUCUAAUGGCAUGCAUGGGAUACGAUCAAUUGACACCCAAACAGAAAGCACUCGAUCCUGCGAAGGCAAAUGAUGGCGGCAUCGACCACCGGUGGGCCAGGGCUACCGGUGGCGGGCGUAUUCUUCCUCUUCCUCUCCCUCCUCCUGGCGGUUCCGGCCGUUCCACGGGAGGCGUGUAUUUUUGUUCUGGUGCGCGGCCAUGCGUGGAGCGGUCGUUGGGCGGAGGCCGUCCCGUUCCCGUGAGCGGCCGGCGAGGUCUAGGGCCCCGUGAAGGCUCCGUAGCGCCCGUUGGUUUCUGGUCGGCUUUCUCUCGCACCUCGCCGGAAUCUGUUGCGUGCCCCUGAUGCUUCUGCGUACGAGAAGGUGUUUACGCAUGUACUGGUAUACUGUACGUGCGUAUUUAUACGUCUACAGUACACCGCCGCUGGUAGCGCAGAAUACAGACUGUUUUGUUGUUUCUAUUACGACAGCUCAGUUAGCUCUUUUCUUUUUUUGAAACUUCAGCUCCUUUAGCUCUAGGCUUUAGGCAUACAAGGUAUGCGAGUAGCACCCAACGGAUUUGGGUUCAACCACACCCUAUCGGAAUGAAUUAAAUAAGUUUGGAAUAAAAAAUUAUAAAAAUGAUAGGCAGAGGUUUCCCCUGCUGACUUCAGUCAAAAUAAUACAUGUCUCAGCUAGCUGUAUUGCUUCAGUGUCCCGUAUGCUCACCGUUUAUAUACUUUAUAGCCAUGUAUAUAAUAUAAAUACUCCUAGCUUAUAGGUACAUCUAUCUGGAAUCAAAUUACACUAACGAUCACUAGCAAACAUAAACAAACGGCCCCGUUCCCUGAGCUCGCUACCGACAGUAUCCGAUAAUCACCGUCGUCCGAGACAUUCCUGGUCCUAGCGCGCGCGCACCUCACGAUCGAUCCCUCCACCAACCAGUCAUUGCAUUCAUCUAAUCUCUCGCCUCUGUAUCGCCGUCUCCUUUUCAUAUGGGUCCCCUAAAAAAAGAGAUGUUUAUAAAUUUGCUAAACCCCACAUCGAUCAGAGACACUGCAGAGUGCAGUGCAGCUGCACCAGCAGCAGUUCUAGUUACAUAAACACAAUUAAACAGGGGAGGGCCUGGAGCCCUGGACAGCGACAUGACAGCCUAAUUAACAAAGGUAACCUUGGAUUAUGCUUGGUUCCUGCUCUGAGGGUGUCCGCCACGGGUUUGGUGGAUACUCCUCGCCGUGCCUCUGGCUGCCCUGUCCUCCGCGCCGCGCCGGUUGGUUGGCUUGGAAACCAAGCGUGCAAAAGAGUCGGGGAGGUGCGUGUGCCCAUGCUUGCCCUUCGGACUUUGGACUUUUUUCAGCUCAGUGUCAAAUGAAUUGAUUAGUUGUAGCAGCCGGUUCAAACUAAAAGGAAGGGUGAUCCUAUCUUAACCAAAACGUUGGUGCAUGUCUUCAGACUUCAGUGGUUAAACCCAGUUCGUACGUGGAAAUACACAAUUGGUAUGUAUACCACCGAGUUGACAGGCAUACGUGCAUAUACUAAACUUGUUACCCUUUUCCUCCCGGUAAGCUUUUUCGAGGUUUCGCCGGUACAGUAGGCAAAUAAUUCAGGAUGACCUAGCUAUGAUUGGCUCGUCUCGUUGGCACCCCAAGAUCAGUCGUGCCUGAAGAUGCCUACAGCUUUAAUCGAAAAUGGGGAACGUGGCAGCGCCCACUGUUCCAAACGGUACGCGCUGCUUGUCACCAAAUUGGAAACCCGAAUCUUUCAGCCAAGCCAAUGCAGGCUGGACGCGGGGGGGGGGGGGGGGGGGGGGGGGGGGGGGGGGGGGGGGGGCGGAGGAGGGGAGGGGGGAUGCGGACACGCCGUUGAAAAGGAUCACGGGCUAAGCUCAGCUCGCGUCGAUCAGUCCCGCGCCACGCACGCAGCCAUGAAUGGUCACCGACGCCACCACCUCAUCUCACUGGUCAAACGCAUUGCUCGGUCACAUGCGUGUGCGUCAAUCAUGAUCAUCUCCGCGAGCGCAUCCACAAUCAUCUGCUCGUCGAUUAGCCGAUCGAUUACCACGUCUCGACAGAUGCAGGAGAUGCAUGCAACUCGAAACCAGUGCAGGGUGCAACAGGCGACGAAGCGUACCAUGACAUGAGCUUCGCCGUGUAUGACGCUCAUAAUGCCAACCUACACCUACUAACGAAGAGUGGCAGCGAUGGCGACUCGGCCGGCCGGCCGGAGGGACACGUACGCCAGCGGCAUGCGCACGGUGGCACGGCGGCAUGCGACUGUGCACUGGACCCUCGGGGUCUAUCUUUUCGCAGGCUCGCAAUUAGUCGCGCCGUCCGGGAUCACCAACGAUCAUGCGACCGCGUCGACAGGGAACAAAGCUAACGCGAGUUACCGACAAUUUACAGUUCUAGGAGCUUUCUUCUGAAACCAAUUGUCUCAGGCUAUGUUUAGUUUCCCUAAAUUCCAAAUUUUGAUACUAUGCAAAAAGAAGAUUCACCAUCACAUCAAACUUGCGGUACAUGCAUGGAGUACUAAAUGUAGACGAAAUUAAAAAUUAAUUGCACAGUUUUGUUGUACUUUGCGAGACGAAUCUUUUGAGCCUAAUUAGUCAAUGUUUGGACAAUAAUUCACAUAUACAAACGAAAUGCUACAGUUGCGCAUUUAUGACAAACUCUCAACUUUGUCAUUCCCAAAUUGGGAACUAAACAAGGCCUCAGUAUGCAUGUUCAGACUUCAGAGUAGGCACGGGUGUCAGGGUGUGCACCAAACAAUGCAGAGCAGGCGGCAGCCCUGUUUACUUUGCCUAGUGAGUAGAGUAACUUGAAGGUAAAGACACGCAGAGAGAUUCUUUGGUACCUAAGUACCUUUGUCAGUUCUUUACCCCAUCACUUGUACAUACCUGCACUUGCCGUGGUUCCUGAGCCUGAGGGGCAUCCAAGAGCUCAGUCUGCUUCUGACAGUCUGACUGGUUAGCGUUCAGAGACCAAGCUUGUCGAUCUGCUUCACGAGAGGGAGAUGAUGGAAAGAACAGAAAGUAGCACAAGAGGAAUCGUAUUUUCAGCGAAUUCCCAAAACCAUUAGAAAAAACGGCUGUUGUUGUAUAUAUUUACCUUGAAAAAGAAAACUUUUUCCGAGACGCGCUACUGCCAAUUUGUAUAAUGCAGCACCAAGGGCUGGACUUUGCAUCAAACAAUUGAUGAACCGAAGCUUUUAGUAUUUAAAUAAAUUUGGUCAGCAAAGAAAUGCCGCAACAAAAAGAAAGGACUCCACCCUCGUUUUGAUGCAAAACCUUAAUCACGGAGGAAAUCUAUCUAUUAUCCUAAUACAAUAGUGUUAAAAGAAACCACCACGUUCGUCGAGAGGACUUAAAAAUGACCACAUUGAUCAGAAAAAAGAAAAGAAUACACACCGUUAGAUUUUAUAAUGAUCUAAUGGCUCAGCCAAAUAGUCCAUAAUUAAAAAAGGAAGAAGAAAAUGUGCACUUAUGAUGAUCCAACGGUUUAGAUCAACGUAGAGAGUCGGUAUCAAAUACUAUUAACCAUAAAAGUAUCAAAUACUAUUAACCAUAAAAGAAAGGAAACCUCUGUUCAAAAUAAACAUGAAGGUGUAGGUCAUGUCUACUUUGCGGCUAGAAAAAAUCAAAGGAAAGAAAGCCAACUGACGUGCGUAUUGGAUCCUGAUUGUACUAAAUAUGUCCAUUAUGUGGCCAACGAUUGAGAAACAACGUACUUUAGUUUAUAUGGAAAGAGACUUAUACAAGGCAGCGUACUUUUCAUUGGAUUAAAAAAAAAUGCAAAAUAAAGAAGCGUAUUUCUCAUACAAGGUGCAACACAAAAUAAAGAAACAGAUUGCUCAUACACGGUGCAACCUUGGACACAUGGGUGACGUAGGACUUCUAUUUUGCUUUGAUCAAUCUCAAUAUACCGAACCGAUGGAAAAGGGAUAAAAAUACAUUUUCUGUGGCUGUUCUAGCCUGAAGGACCAGAUUAUCUCAUUGCCUGUGGAUCAACGACUUCGCAAUUGACCACCGACAGGCGACAAGGGAAAGCCAACAUAGAAAAUGUAGCUCCGUAGGCGAAAACCCAAACAUGGAUGGCACCAGUGGAAUCGAACCGUAGCGGCGAAAUGAUAAGUCCCGCUAUUAGUGACUCCAUCCCCGGUGGGAAGAUCAACUUCUGGCCUUUUCUUACUACCGACAUGCCAAAGCUAAAAUGCGGGUUCGGCUUCUUGGUGCGAAGGCUCUUUUUCCAAGAACAUUGGUGCGAAGGCUCUUGAUUAGGCUGAUAAUGAUGAACUAGGAAACAACAAAGAAAACCAACCAGAGAUCGCGCUCUGCCUCCAGCGGCUGCGGGCUGCGGUAGUCAAACACCCUUACUCAUGUUGGACAACAGCUACACGCUUGCUCUGCUUUAGAUGAGAAGGAAGAGAGGAAAAAAUUAGAAGAAGCACAUGGGAAGAUGAUGCAUUCGACAUACAACAGCGAGCAGGGCAAGUGAGCGUGAAUUGGCAUGCAUCAAAGCGGUGAGCCAGAGAUGCAGCACUCUGUGGUAGCGAGCAAGGCAAGCGAGCGGCUGUGGUAAAUUGGCAUGUAUCAAAGUGCCGCGGCAAGGGGAGCAAAGUGUCUGUGAAAGAGAGAGCGUGCAAGGCUAAAUCAACAUUUUUAGAAAUUUUAUCUUUAAAAAUUAUUUUUGUCUUUCGUUGGAGCAGCGUGACGAAGUGAUUUUUUAAUUCCAAUUCCUUUAAACGUUCUUUUAUGGUAUAUGAGGACAAACAAGCUAUGACUAUUAACAAAAACGAUGAAGAAAUCCUUCAUAAAUAGGAUCAAUAGCAUGGACUGUCAGUUGGCCCACGAGAUCACUUGGGUGGCGUUUGAUUCCUUUUGCUUAUUUUUAGCACGUGUCACAUCAAAUGUUUAGAUACUAAUUAGGGGUAUUAAACGUAGACUAUUUACAAAACCCAUUACAUAAAUGGAGGCUAAACGGCGAGACGAAUCUAUUAAGCCUAAUUAAUUCAUCAUUAGCAAAUGUUUACUGUAGCAACACAUUGUCAAAUCAUGAACUAAUUAGGCUUAAUAGAUUCGUCUCGCCGUUUAGCCUCCACUUAUGUAAUCGGUUUUGUAAAUAGUCUACGUUUAAUACUCCUAAUUAGUAUCUAAACUUUCGAUGUGACGGGUACUUAAAUUUAGUGAACCAAACCAGGCUGAAAUCACUUGGGGCCACCAAGAUUUUACAUAGUAUGCCCCAUGAUGGGCACCACUCAGAAUUCAAAGGUCCCUCGCUAAAGUUGGAGAUAAAACGUUCCAAGACGAUACUCCUGUUGGCUGUUGCGAUUACCUCAAGUGCGCAGUGCAUAAGCACCUUAAUAAAUUAUCCUCAUAGAAUUGCUGAGGUGCCACAAGGGAGAGGAGUCAAGGAGAUCCAAUGUGCCUUUAUCCUGACGGUGAUCACAAGAAGACAGGUAAAUAGAGCAAAUGCAAAGAAACCGGAAUGAGUAGUUGAAACUAGAGGCUUUAAGUAACGGAUGAAGAAAGGCCUUAAGAAAGAGAAACAUAUGAAUAUCGGUGGGACAACAGUCAAUGGUGCAUGCCAGUUGAAGCGUUCCCACACAAGCAGAGACUAAAUAUGAUAUAAAUAUUAGUCCCAGGAGGUUGAUAACACAUUUAUUCAACACAUGGUUUAUAAACCGUACAACUUCUGAGGGAGCGGGCGAGAAAGCCACACCAAAAUGACAAGAGGGUGUUUGGCAGACGGGGGCUAAAAUUUAGCCCCUAUCACAUCGGAUGUUUGGAUACUAAUUAGGAGUAUUAAACAUAGGCUAAUUACAAAACUAAUUGCACAACCCCUAGGCUAAAUCGCGAGAUGAAUCUAUUAAGCCUAAUUAGUCCAUGAUUUGACAAUGUGGUCCUACAGUAACCAUUCGCUAAUGAUGGAUUAAUUAGGCUUAAUAGAUUCGUCUUGCGAUUUAGCCUAGGAGUUCUGCUAUUAAUUUUAUAAUUAGCUCAUGUUUAGUCCUCCUAAUUAGCAUCCAAACAUCCGAUGUGAUAGGGCUAAAGUUUAGUCCUUGGUAUCCAAACACCCCCCUAAGUAAAACAACAACGGUAAUGAUCCAAGCUACUAUCUAGAUGAACCCUAGAUAACACUCGGGACUAUGCGCCAGCGGAAGCAUCCUGCAAAGGGCCAACGCCACAGGUAACGUUGGGUGCAGAAGCGACCACCUACUCGAUGUCCUCGGCAACGAAGUCCGGGUCUUUCUCUGAAGCAAUAAAACAAGGGUGAGUACAAAAGUACUCAACAAGUCCAACCCCAUCCAUGGAGAGGGAUACAAUUAAGAAUAUGCACAUGAUAUAUCAAGGAUAAGGCUAAGAUUUAUUUGCAAUAAAGCUAGAUUUUCAACACAUGCAGGGUUUAUUUUCAAAAGGGUUUUUUGCAAAAUAUUUCUUUAGUAACCGAAUAAUUGAGUGGGGUUAAUCCUAUACAAAGGAUCCAAGUUUUAAUGCUAUCAGACUCCCCGUCCAUGGUAGCUCACGGCACAACUGUCAGACACUUCCAAAAUCCAACACAUGCCAUGAAAAUCAUCCAUCUCCAAAAGUUAGUUAUGUGAUCAAGCCGUAACUCGUCCAAUAUCGUGGACACGGCUAUUCGAAUAGGUUUUAACUCUGUAGAGGUGUAUACUUUACCCACAAGUAGGGUACCGUAGUACGAUCACCUUAGUGUCAGUGCGGAUCCUAUCAAAGCCAUUACCGACCUUAGCUAAGACUGACUAGCUAAUACAGAAGCAACCAAGGGGUUAAUGGCCUACCAACGAGGUCUUAACCGGGACCUAAGCCACAUAGACUUACUCAUUCUCCAUGAUCUCCUGUUGCUCGCCAACUCUCCUGAUGACUAACAGAUUAGCUAGUGAGAUUUAUGCUAAGCCGUUGCCGCAUACAACGGUCGAGCUAGUAGAGAAAAUUUUUCAACAAGGUCGACCUCUCAACACCACAUAACCUAUGCAAAAAGUAAAGAUGCAACGCCACGGUGGCUGAAAGGCAGCUUGGCCAACUUGCCAACGAAUGCAUCCACAAUCCUCAAUAAAAUAUUCAAGAGACAAGUCAAAUAGCUUGCUCAGUUGGAACAAUUGAGUUGAGUAGGCCUAUGAACUUAUCAAUAACAGACUACUUCAACUUCUAACUCACCCAUAUCUUCUUCAUAAAAUCUAAGAAUAUAUAAUAUCUCACCAUAACUACGGGCGGUGGGUCGUACUGCAACCUUUCCAUAAAAUGGUAGCAAUAUGUGCCUAUAAUGCAACGGACUAAAUGCGUUGCAAUAUGUGUGGUUUGUCACAUAUUGUCACAAUUUCUUGCCAAACUUGACUAAAGUUAAUUAGUUCGUCAAAUUGUAUGCCACACUUUUGAUUUGCAUAGGAGAAUCUUGCGACACUAUUUUAGUCACUAAUAUGUGCGACUGAGCUAGUAGAAGAGGAAUCUUGCUAUAAUUUGUGGCUACAACCAAACAGAUUGUAUCAAAAUCAACUAACCUUAGUGUGGCAAGGUUUGUUUAAAACCAAAUAAGCCCUCCAACAUAAAUUCACAUCACAAGAUAAAAAUAUGUUACUUUGAAUAAAUAUAAAUAUGUUUUAAAUAAGAUAUUUUAUUUUAGUAUAAAUUCAUGUUUCACGCCAUAGAAAUGAUUUUGUAAAAAAAUUAUGUUUUGGUACUAGCAAUUUGGAUAAAACAAUGGCAAUAUUUUGUUCAUGUUAGUAUUAGAAAGUAGCCGUGCUAUUUGCGCGGGCCAUCUGCUAGUAAAAUAGAACCGUACAGUCAGUUGAUGCAACCAUAAUGAAGGCGGAACCAGCCGUGGAACGUGAACAAAUGCACCUAAUCCUUGCCGCCUUGAUCGGUCUGAAAGUUACGUGACGGCACUGUCGUUAACUGCGGCGUCCUUCCGUAGCCCAAUCAGUUAUACCAGAUCGAUUGGCGGUUGCAGAGGAAAAAAAGGCUUGGGAUCCAGGCCAAGCGAUGCUGGUGGUUAGGUGGUCGGCGUCGCGGGACGCCUAGCUGGCUGACUCCGAGGCUUACGAUGAUUGCCAGCACCGAAACGGAUCCAUCGACGAUCGAUUGCGUUCUAGCAAGGGAAACCGUGAUGUCGCCAUUAGGUGGUGGGGGCUUAAACCUCGACUUCGUAGAGGUCUCUGGAGUGGAUUACCUGACGUCUCAGAAUUAUGGCAAGGCGGGGCACCUGCCAUUUCUUCCUGAGUUUACGCUGUGUCCCUGUCCUUGCUGGUGCUGUCUUUGGUUUGUUAGUUUCAGUGGGACUCUGUCUCGGAGAGGGAGAGGCAGAAUGUCAUGAGUUUGUGCAGACUACUUUUUUAAUUGCUAUAUUCCGUUAAUGUGCUUGCUGCGCAGUAGAGAAAGUAGAGGGAAAAUGGGAAAUGGUAUGUAGGAAUAGCAGCAGUGGCUAAUCAAUGCUUAACCACCCUUCUUUAACAUAGCGCGAGUUAUCUGGGACUAGCCAGUUAACAUUUAGCACCCCAAAGUGCAAGCACAUUAGUAAACUACUACCCAUCUCUUGAACUAAUUUAUUUGUCCUAAACAUUAGUUAAGAAUAGAGUAUGCCCUAAUAACUGCUUAAGUACGUAAUUAGUCAUGCAACCCUUUUAUAUGGGUUCAUUAAAAAUUAUAAAAGCAAACAUCGUAUUAUAUUAUUGUAGUAUCGAGAAGUAGCAGGAAACUAAAAGGUGCUUCACCUGGCAGUAGUUUUAAACUUCCUUAGCAACGCCUAUGUUUCCCAUUGCACUCAAACGCAGACGACGGAAAAUGGUCCGCCUUUGACAGCCCAGACAGGCCCAAUACGGACCGCUUCCGUCUUCAACUCUGAUUCUUGCCCUUCAAAUCCUGAGGGGAUUUUUUCCCUCCUGCGCUGAGUUCACUUUUUUUUUUUACUGCCACGCCAACUGCCAAGUUAACAAAAAAGCUGAGCGCCGUCUCACGUUCCGUAAUCCGCGACGAUCAAAUGUGAUCGAAGAUAUAGGGAGAUCGAAGAUAUAAUUUUUUUUUGGAACUAACAAAGGAGCCCAUAAUACUUGUCGAAGAAGCGCGCACAUCAGUGGAACUUUUGAAUGGAAAUCAGAUCAUGGACGAACACAGUAUCACGAUGUAUAUUGUUCGGCGGCGGCCUAGCAGUAGCACCACUGGAGCCUGCACCGGCCGCCGCCUCUCGGUGUCCGGUCUCCACGACUGCCGCGCAGCCUCCUCCGUCCCCCCUGCUCUGGACGGCGCGGGUCAGCGCACCACAGAGCCUCGCCGUCGCGCCGCGGGCGGGCACACGCAAGCCGACGACGACGCCGAGACCGCGUCCGCGUGCAGCCGGGCCCUGGACCCUGGUAGGUGGGUAGCACGGCCAUCUCCAGUCCGCCGGCCGCGCCGCCCUCGCCCAUCACCAGGUGACGCGCUGAGCUCGCACGCCAUGAGCCUAUGACCCGGCGAAUGGACGACGUGGCGGUUGUGCCCAGCUCCCGGACGCGCAUCGCCAUUGCCUUUUUUAACUCGAGCUGCCGCCGAGCAGCUAGAGAUCGAUCUCGAUGCAAGUGGCAGGAGUGCAUUCGAUCCGCAGCAUGGUCCUGGUGCGCGCACAUAUGUGUCUCUGCCCGUGGGCCCAACCGGACGGCCGAAGUCAAAGUCCCAAUGCCCAGACAGCUCCGCCAGAAAGCCAGAACACAAACAUGUCAGACAUGACGCGAUUCCCCUUGAAUCGAUCAGGAUUCAGGUCAGCCACUUGGGGAAAACCAGGCAGCCGCUUGCUGCCGGCGCGCCGCUUGGUUGUCGUCGGAAGAGGCAGCACAGCAGCAUCACCAUGGCACACGCACUGCCAAUAUACCAUACCGACCGCACAGGGAUAUACUACAAUAGGUGCAUUCGGCACAGCGUGCACAACGUUUCAGCAUCUACAUUUUUUUUGUCACUUGCCAUCGCUGAAGUUUUAGGAGAUGAGCACUCAAGCUGCCGUGGGUUCAGAGCAGGUUUGAGAUGAGGCGCCGCUUCAGGGUCCUGGAGGUGGACUGGUACGAUCGGACCAGGAGCCCGGCACCGAUGCCGACGCCUAGGCAGAUGCCCAGGCCGAUGCCGACGCCGACCCUCACCCCAGCGGUGAACCAUGACAUCUCGCUGUACUCCUCGUCGUCGUCAAGCCCUGCUGAUUUCAGGUAGAGGCUGUCCUCGUCGUCCGCGUCUGGGUCGGGCUUGUAGCACCUGUACUCCGAUUCCUGCACGCGACACGCAGAAGCGGUUCAGGUGUUUCAGUUCAGAGUGGAUACGGAAAUAAACUUCUCUGAAUCCAAAGAAUGACGAACGGAAUGAAGGCAAUGUGAUCAGGAUUCAGAUUGUACAAAGCAAUACUAAUCGGCAGACAAAGAUUGGGUCUUCUGUGAUCAGAAUCUGUCAAUCAGAUAACUACGCACCUGUGGUCCAUGCUUCGGAGGCGUUUCUUUCAUGUCUUCCGCCUGCUCGCCGCACUCCGGGAUCGGGUCCAUGAACGCCUUCACCUGGCGCCGCCUCCUGAACCGCAGCUGCAUGGCCUUCGUGAACACGGUCGGCGUGCCCCGGGACACGCCGGCCACGUACACCUCCACCGCCGGCGGCUUCGCCUCCCUCCCACCACCGCCGCACCUCAGGAACCCCGACCCGCGCUGCGUCGCGACCUGGCACUUCAUCACCCAGCUCUUCUUCCCCUCCGCAUCGCACAUCUCCAGGAUCCCGACCAGGAGCCGCUCGUCCUUGCUUUGGACCUCGAACCGCACGCUGCCGGACAUCCUGACGGACGCCGUGCUAACGAAGGUGGCCUCCUCCGACCUCGCGUCGACACGGUCGCGGCGGAGGGAGCACGUCACGGUGCUGCUGCCUUUGCCGCUGCUGACGCUUGGCUUCCGAUCGGCGCCGCUUACUUCCAGGUCGGUGUCAGGGGUGAGCGGGAUGUGAGUGAGGAUGAGGGUGUCAGCCAUGGACUCGUCGACCUCGCACCUGCUCACCCUCAGGUAGAAGAUUCGCAGGGUCAGGCAAGACGACGGCUCCGGCAUGGCCAUAGCAGCUUCCGGCUCGGGAAUUUCACCCAUGCUUCAGAGAGAAUUUCAGUCGCUGAGUUGUUCACAUGAGGCGAUAGGAUUAGAUUACAGUUUUGAACAAUCAGGAAUUGGGCAUCGCAGAGUAUUCCAUCUGCACAAAAAAAUAUUGCAGUAAUUAGAUUGGCAGGAUAUAUUAGUAUUACAGGCACUGAUCAGCGAUUAACUGUGGUACGUAAAUUGCGUCUCAACUUCAGGGGAUAAUGGAUGAACAUAUCUACAAAUUCGCAGGGAAACUGUCGGGAAAUUCACAUAUUACAGAUGAAACUCUAGCUAAACCUUGAGGUCGUCUGUGCAGAUUAAAGAUUUUUUCAGCCUUCUAACAUGGGGCAUGAAAGAAGACGAAGAUGAAAUCAAACUUGCCCUCAAUAUUAGGAUCGGUGCCUCUAAUUCCGGAUGAUUUCAUACAGAAACCAGUGGAACAGUGAACUCUACAUCCACAACUGCAUAGACAACAAGCUCCCAGAAGAACAAAGAACAAGAAACGGAUUUCCGAUUGUGUGACAGAACUGUAACCACAGCCGCAGCCACAACUAAAUGAUGAUACCUCUGUCCAUAGUUUGAAAUAGGAGAAUUCAGCGGAGUAAAAGACCAGAGAGGGACAGAGUCAUCAACUGCUUACCGGAUUGAGCUCCGAAGUUGAGGGGAGCCUCCCUCCUUCAGUCCCUCUCGCGUCCAGUUCUUCAGUGUGAUGGUAGGGUACAGGCCUGGCAGAGAAUUUCUCUUCUACUACUUAUAUAUCCAAGGGAUUUUUUUUUGGGUGGAGUUGAGGACCCGGAAAUCCCUCAACUGACACCUCACACAAUGCACACCAGAGUCCAAAACCACUGCUUCAUGCAUGACAGCAUAAAGUCCCUCUAGCUACCUAGGAGAAAAAUAUAGAAAAGCCCAUGAGGAGAAAGAGAGCAUUCUCCCGUUCCCAAUUUCCCACCUCAUAAUAAAGAAGCGAAUAAAUUGUCAAACGUAACUGAUUAUCAAAUUUUUAAUGUGGAUUUAAUUCAUACUAAUGUUGUAUAUUGCAAGCCUUUUAAAUGGGAAAAAAAACGAACGCGUCAUAUUCUCCUGAGAUUCAAAAUUUCAGCUGGAUGUGUUGUUGUUUUAGAUGUCUCAGAAGACUGCCGUCAGCAGUCAUCCACGCAACACGCACACAAAAGAAAUAGGACCGGUGAAUUUAGGUGGUUGGGCAGCAAAGAGUAUCCACUGCCUCCUUGUGACCAAGAUCUCAAACUAGGUAGUGGCAGUCCCACUAGUCCACAUCAAAUAUUGCCCACCACAAAGAAUUUGUGACGGAAAAUUAUGCUCGCGAAUUUCCACGACCAAGAUUCAACAAGUCAAAAUCAAACUUGUUAAAAUCUGCCGGGGAUAGGAUGAAGGCCUAUUGUUUUCCAUAAGAUCGGAGCCAAUCUUGACAGCUUCCACAAAAAUAAAGCAUGACUUUGUUAUCAAGAAGUUUGCCUAACAUAUAGAUUGGCAACAAAAAAAUGUGAAAGAUCUUUUCGCGGUCAUCUUUUGUUGGAGAUAUAUGGGCUUGCUUGGUUCCAGCCUGGGUGGAGCCAGGCAGCUCGAUCCAGCCCCAGGCGCUCGAAAUCGAACGCCUGAAAUCGCUGCCUGGUUCAGGCAGGUUUGCCAGGACCUCAACCAAAGAAGCCCAUAGAGCCUCGCUUGCAUAUAUGUUGGGUUCUUUGGGAUUUUAUUCGUGGAUUUGCCGCACUACAUUGUUGAAACGCAUCAUAUCUAAAAGUGAAAUAAAUAUAAAUAUUCUGUCAAGCAUACUUACAGUCUAAAAUUGUUACUAAACUGAUACAAACAACUUGGGACUAAAAUUAUUUAUCCAGCAAACUGAGAGUCCAAAACUGCUUCUAAAUCAUUACAAGGAUCAAAUAGACAUAAUUGAUCCAAACAAUUUAAAAUAAAUCAUUUUACCGGGCACACCGUGAAUCUAAAAAUGCUACUAAAUUGAUAUCAACAUUUUGUAAUAUUGAAACGAACUUAAAGAAUAAACACGUCCAACUACUAGUAAAACAAAACAAAAAUUAAUAAAAAAGAAACAAAAUUGCUAACAAUACUGACGCGCCAGGUAGGGGUCGAACCUACGACCUUCUGCUUAGGAAACAGACGCUCUAUCCACUGAGCUACAAGCGCUUGCGAUGAUAAUUUUUUCAUUAUAUCCUUGAUAGUCUAGUUUUCUAUGAUCCGCAAUUACCCGUCGGUUUCCUCUGCUGACUAGCGCUCGCGAUCUGAUCGUUACUCUUCCAGGUACAGCCGCCGCCGCCUCGUCGUCGCCGGCCAUGAUUCAGGCGGUGAUGGUGAUCAGCACCCAGGCCAAGCCCCGCCUCCUCAAGUUCUACAAUUUCCAGGUUCCGAGCCUCUCUUCUCUACAGUCAAACACUACUCCCCUCUCUUUCUUCACCAGCCGACAACUGCUCGGUCAAUUUCCUCACCGAGAUCAGGCACUGCUUCAUUCACGGAUCCUUUCGUGCUCAGUUGAUUACUUUAGUGAAUCGAAUCUUUCCUUACCUUAAUUCGUUUCCUCUUCCGGCUCAUGGUUGCAGCCACCGGAGAAGCAUCAGGACCUCGUCCGCGGUGUCUUCCAAUGUACGUACGGUUCGCUUCCCCGAUUCUUCCCCAAAUUUGUAUGGAUGCUAUUUUUGAGCUUUGGAGUCUCUUGUUGCAGUACUCUCAGCAAGGCCUGAUAGUGUGAGCAAUUUCGUCGAGGUCGAUGCAAUCUUUGGCCCGGUAAUGACCAAUAUAGGAGUAAAUCUUAUGCAAAUGCUAGCGAUGGAUAUAAAUAAUUAGGUUUUAAUUGAUCGGAAGCCAAUUGUUUUCCUUGGCUUUAAAUAUACAGAUCGGUAUCACAGUCAUCUGUAUGUAAUCUAAACUGUGCUAACUGCUCAGUGGGUAUGCAGAUGUUGUAAAGUAAGUUUUCCAUACUAGGUUUAGGAUUUUUGUCCGAAGAUCCCAUCUAGGUUAAAUUUUCUCAUAUUAUCGACAUCAAGUUGGUGAAGGUCAGAAAGGUUGAUUCUAUUCUUUGCGAGUUUCAGGGAACAAAAAUGGUGUACAAGCAUUUGGCUACACUGUACUUUGUUUUUGUCUUUGAUAGCUCUGAGAAUGAACUCGCCAUGCUCGAUCUCGUACAAGGUAACGUGGCUUAUUGAUGCUAUUUUUUUAGUUUCAGUUACUAGAAUUGACACUUGGACAGGUAAUGUGUUAUUGCCUAAUAAAAGAGGAAGGCAUUCUCAUUUGCAUAAGGAAACAAAUCAUAUUCAGUGUGUUAUCAUGAUAUUCAUCGGUUUGACUUGUCUUAGUACAUAAUCAUUAACUAUCUACUAUGCUUGUUCCAGUAUUCAAACAUCCUUUCUUGUAAUUUUCUAUUCUGUAUUUGCAAUGCAAUCUUUUUCUGUUGAUAAGUACCUGUGAUUGUGAUGUAACUAGAGUGGCACGUUCUCAACAUUCUUCUCUGUCCAUCAAUUAUGUCUAGCUGCUAGAAAGUUCAUCUUGUAUCUCAGUGUCACAUGGUAGCUAUACUUAGGGGGGGGGGUGCUGCAACACCCCUUCAGCCCAUGAAAAAUCAUGCAAAUUUAGCCUAGUAGUCUUAAAGUUAGUACAAGUUUAACAGCUUUUAAAAUGUAAAGUUAGCCCAAUUAUAAGAGAACCAGCGCUCCCUUUGGGCUAACCAUUGCUUUGCCCCUGCUGUCAUGAAAGAUUUCUUUUGUCUAACUUCAACAAGGAGAUUAAUUACUCUACAUGACCUUUGUUUUGUUCACAGUUUUUGUUGAAACGUUGGACAGAUGCUUCAAGAAUGUAUGCGAGCUUGACAUUGUAUUUAACUUCAACAAGGUGCCAUAAAUCCUGUUGAUUUGAUCCUUUAUUCUAGAUAGUUCGCCUAUAAAGGAUGCAUGGUUGUAUUCCUGCUGAAGGUUCCAUUUACCAUCGAUCCUUCAUUUGCAUAUUGCAUGCCAUUGGGCAGCCAAGGUGGAAUGCAUAAGUGAUAAUCCAUCAAAACUUUUCAAGAUUAACUGGGUUAUCUCUAUUAAAUUAGCCUUUUGAUGCACAAGUCAUCCACAGUGCAAAUCCAAAAAUCUCAGUAUAGUAAUGCCUGAUUCCAAUAAUAUCUGUUAUGCAGAAUAGCUACACUAUUUGCUACCCAUCUAGUUAUCGUAAUUGUAAUUACACGAUCAUUAUCUGACUUGAAGCAUGUGGUAUUAAGUCAGUCUAGUGGCCACAGAAGUUCGGCAAUACCUGGACACCUUAAAUACGAAGAGGUAACUUUUGCAUCAGUACUUCAGAAAAUACAGAUAGGUUUCAAAUGGCUGGUUUUCUCUUAGUACAUGCCAGGAGUAUGGAUGACAAUGGCCUGAAAGAAGAAUAGCACUAGACAAGGAGGGCAUCUGUAAGGGAGAGGCCUUGGUUAGGCAGAGGAAUAGACUUGAGAUGCACAGGGAAACUUUUUUGUUCCAUUGCUUUCGUGGUUCUAAAUUGCACACAUCUUUAUGUAGAGGGCAAUCAGAAACCUAUAAGAUCAGCUUACAAUAGACAGAAACAAUCUAACCAUGGAGUUGAAUCUGUAUUUAAGUAAUAAAUUCAAAACUAGGAAACCUGCUGCCUACCGAUUAUGACUGCUGUCUUUCCCCUUAAUUUGCCACCUUUCAGUUGCGCAGAACUUGAAAAAAGAAAUAUAAUGGGCCAGGUUAGUGGAGCAUAAUUUCAGGCCUUCACAAGAGGAGGAAAUAUAAUUUUGUUUGUACGCUGAUAUUGGUAGUUAAUCCUUAGUACAAAAGGAGCGCUACGCCAAAAUUCGUCUCCUUAGCACUGGACCCAUGGAUGUAUAUGGUGCUGGUUUUCCUUUGUUUCCCGCAUUCUGCACUCUGCAGUGCCCAAAAUGAAUGAUACUUUGACUUGUAUGUAUAGAAAUGCUCAAUUGUAAGACAAAAUACCUAAUAAUUCAUUUCAUCGGCCUUGCAUUUCUUCUAGUUCCUUUCAUAUUGAUGUCUUGUACUACUUACACCCGUUCUUCUUUGGCUCAUACUAAUAUCUGAUGAUGCAGCUGCACACAAUUUUGGAUGAGAUGAUUCUUGGGGGACAGGUAAUCGAAACAAGUUCUGAGCAAAUAAUGAAGUCUGUGGAAGAGAUUGCAAGGUUCUACCCUUUGCCUCACCGCUCCAUAUAUACGUGCACUCUUAAUUAGUCUAAUUAUGACAGCAUUGUCCAUUACUUGACGCAGGCUGGAGAAACAAUCUAGCACAACCAGCCUCAUACCCAAGUCGAUUUCAGAACGUUUCAGCCGUUAAGCUUUCACUCGCUUCCAGGUCUGAACAUUUACUGUGUGAGCAGAACUGCAAAAGACAUUCGAUUGGCACUCAAGAUUACCUUCAGUUUGCUGCAGUUCUCUAAAGACCUGAUUGUCUGGACAUUUGUACUGUCAUCGAGUCAUUGUAGACGGGCCGAGCUGUAUGCCUGUAGCCUGAAUGGCAUGUUCAGUCUAAUACUAUCUUCUUACACUGAUUGUCUGAAUGUGCUUUCUGAGCUUCAGACAUCAUGCCUGUAGCAAUAUAGAGAGUUAGCUGGUUUCUCACUUGCCUCAUGAUUUCAGCUGUAUGAGCUCAGGUCGAUGUGAAAUUUUUGGACGAGAUGUUGGCCACUCAUAGAUGUAAAUCUGCCUUGUGCUUCAUUUUAUUUCUUGUUUCCUCUGUGGUAAUAUGACAGUUGUCUGAAUUUUGAUCAAUGUAAAUCCAUCAGCGUUCUUAAUUAAGAAAGGAGGACCGAUUAGCUGCUGUAAGUGUAAAUCUAACUCAAUAAUCAGCCAUAAUUCUUAUAUGCCAAUAUAAAGAGAAACCGUGCAAUCUGAUCCCUAGCCAUAAUUCUUAUAUCCCAAUUACGUGCAAAUGGAAAUUCCCUAGCCAUCUGAUCCAUUGCAUCCAACGGCUGAUAUUUUAUUCAUGUCCGUCCACAAUAAUCAAUAAUAACGUGUCCUAAACGUGUAUAUUCGAAUUUCAGUUACUAGGUUAGACAUAUAUGGUCACAACUCGCAAGCAUAUUUCUCUUGUUCACCAUUUACAGCAGAACUGGAUCGAGGCUUCCAGCCGGCACUUCCCGAUCCCCAUGAGCGUUCCCAAGCCGCGGCCGCCGACGGCGGCGGAGGUGGUGGGCCGGCUCAAGGACGACGGCGACUUCGACGCCCUUCGCCGCGCCAUCGUUCGGAAGGUCAAAGACAACGUAAGCUUCCCCUCAAACGCCCGAUCCCCCAAAUCCUUUACCCUAAGGUUUUGCGGUUUCGUUGUUCCUAGUCCCUAAUCCUGCGCGGUGGAACUUUGAUGCGUGUAUGCCACUACAUUUCACUGAAUUCUCCGGUGGAUCACUCAUCGCCGUUACUUGAUUCGCUGCUGUGUUGUUUGCUUGUAAGAGAUUGGGAUGGGUGGUCCGGAGAUUAGGGUUUCGUCCGUUUGGUCCCCUGUAGACCUACAGCGAUUACGAGACUCUGUAGGGAUCAUUUUAGAUCGAGCCCUGGUCCAGGCUGGAAUGGAUGCUGUGGAGAAUUUCUACAGAAGUCUGGUGAGAUUGAAAGUUUUGGCUAGUGGGUUUAGUAUGGCAGGAAGCAUUUUCAGGGGUACUUGAGUUAGACAUAGAUCCUUUUGCAUCACGUCUUGUUUGGGUGAACCGUAGUGUGAGUUCUGGUGUUAGUUUCUUGGAUAGGAAGGUUGUUUCUGUGGGAAAAUUGAAGGUUCAAUCACGAGAGGAUCUUCACAUGCAUAUGCAUUUUUUUCCCUUAGCUGUGUUUCAAUACCUUAGGUAUGUGAAAUUUGGCGCGCAAGAAAGGCAAACAUGCUUUGUGCCAAGCCACCAUAAGACCGAUGUUUUCCUUUUUGUCGUAUUAGCAUUGUGGAAACAUUUCAGCCUGCCACUCCAACACGUGCGGUGGUUUUGCGAUGCAGCAUUAAUUAUGACUAUAAAUGGAGUGGAUAUUUGAAUAAUCCGUUGCUAGCGAGUGCCAUGCCAAAGAUGGUUACAAUUGAUUGGAGCUAGUGAUGAGUAACGGUUAAAUAUUUUUAUGAGCUUUUCACAUUGAGCUGAUGGUCUUGACUCUUGACAUUCUGGCUUGACCUUGUCGGGCUGCUGCAAUGUGGUUGAGUAGAGAUAAAUACUCAAAUCAGUAGCCUCAGUAAUCCAUGUGUCAUGUAACUGCAUUGCCAAUGCUGGAGGGCACCAAUUGUUCUGAGUCAUAUGUCAGAGCUCUUGCCCUUGGGGGAAUAUUCGAUACACCUCUGGUGAUGUUGCAUAAUUAGCAUUACCCGCUCAUCUAUUGAUAUAUAAAUGUGAGAGACAGUAAUCUGUAUAUUGUUUUCUCAUAAACACAUGUUGUCAGCAUGAUUUGCUUUAUUAUUUAUGAUUCGCUUCUGGCCAGCCAGGGUUUUGUGCUCCCCUGCCUUAGAACAAAGCCAGGGAAGCGGGAGGCGUCUCUCUUGCCUUGGCCAAGUUUUGUUUAUUAUUAUUCAUGAGCUGUGCUGAUUACCAAUUACUCAAUUUCAUUUUAAAUUUUGUUCCAGUGUUACAAUCUAUCUGAUGAAAAUGCCCUCUUCAUAGUGACUUUAUUUAUGCAAGCUUCACCAUAGAAGUUCUCUUGUAUUAGAAGCAUGGACUGUCUUUCUUUCUUUUCUUUUUUGAGGCCCGAAGGGUAUAUUACUGAGUUCGCUACGUAUAGUCAUUUUGACCAUGUUAUUAAUGCGCAUCUGAUAGAUUUCCUGUGAUCACACCUUAAUUACAGUUCUUGUAUUGUAUCACUUGUCUCUUGGGCAAUUUGAAAUAUGCUUGACAAUCUGUUUCACCAUGCUAGAUGGGUGUAUAACCUCUUGCAUGGUCAGCAUCUUGUUCAGUAGAUGUAGAUUGAAAACUGCAAUGCAGUAACAUAUCGUUGUUCAUCAGAUCUGGUAUUAACGAUGUAUACUAAUAUAAGUUGAUGGCAUGCUAUCUUUCUUUGCAGGAGGUGCUACGCAACCAAAUCAUCUCAGAGGUAAAACAGUCAGUGGUACUACAAGAAGAUGGAUCUGAGAAGUUAAAAUUAAAAGACCUUUCUGAUGCAAUUUAUAAAGAUAUUGGGUAAGUUGAGCCACAUCUUUGUAAAAGCUUUCAAAUGUUAUCACUUCUUAAAUGUCCACAAUAUAUAUUGAUUACUAACUCAACUUGUUGCUACACUGCUCUUCCAUAUCAGGAGAAAAGUUAUGGGUCAAAUAUCAGAUGAGGUAUGGAAUGUCAUUCAAUCCAAUGAAACUGAUAUAAGGGGAACCGUAGAAGCUGUCUACAACAGGAUACUGAACCCUGAAAAGGCCCCUGAGCCUUCUUCCAAGAAGCUGAAGACGAAAGGCAAAGAGCAACAAGUUUCGCCAGCGAAAACACCAACACCAACCACUGUUGCAGGCGAAGCGGAAGAUGAUGAUCUGUCGGAACCUCCAGGUUUUGGUUUCAGAGAUAAUCAGCGCAAUAACAUUGCAGCAGCAGCGCAGAAACAGCAGUCACCGCCAAAUUUGGAAAAUCAUAAUGAAGGGAAGCCAAAUGGAGGUGAACCUGUUGCUGUGGGAGGCCCAGCAGGUGAUGAUGAUGAUGAUGAUGAUGGUCCUCAGGUGCCCCCUGGAUUCGGCUAAUGCAGCUUGCAAGCUUAAAUGACAGUGCAGUUGUUUCUUGUUGUCAGCAAUGUACAAGAAGGGAAAUGCCUUUUAGUUCCUGUUGACAAGAAGAGACAGACUGUUCGCUUCAGCUUAUCAGCCGGCUUAUCAGCCACCAAACAGUAUUUUUCUCUCACAACAAAUCAGUCGUUUCAGCCGGCUUAUAAGUCCAGCCGAACAGGCCAAGAAAUGCUUUAGCUUGUGUUUGCGGCUCGAGAGGUGAGCAGUUGAAAUGAAUCUUGAGUCCUGAAACCUGUGUUAUGGUGGUAAGUCUGUGCGGCCCUGGGAUAAAUGUUGGCAGAUAUGUUGGUGGUUGACAAAGUUUCCAUUCUGUGCGCGGUUUCAAUGUUUCAGUUCGCGCGCUUCUUUCUUCUUGAGUUAAAUAUGAUAGUUGUUUGCUUCCUGUACAUAUAUUCCAAAGCGGAGAGCCCAUGGCAAUAUUCCAAAGCGGAGAGCCCAUGUGCCAUGGGAUGCCGUUGCGGCCCAUGGGCUAAUUUCGGGCGACUCCAAACAAAUUGUAUAUAUAUGUUCUUCAGAAUUCCCAUGCUAUACAUGCAAAUUCAUCUAGAUUCACAUAAGUCGCUAAUGGCUAUAUUAUUCGACGUUUGCCAAUUCCAUACAAGGUUGUCCAGUUUUGAAUUUUUCUCUCUCUCUGAAGUUCAUGGUUCGAGCAUUUGAAUUCGGGACCACGUCCAUGAAGUAAACAAACAAGUUUUCAUGAUGGAUUUGAAUUGAAUCGUCUUUCUUUCGGGUAGUACAAAAAACAUUGCGGUAUCAGAGCAACAAUACCGUGCCAGAGCCAGACUGGCCAAACAAAACAAGCACCGUACACACCUAGCAUUCAGCUCUGCAUCACCCACAUCAGCGACUCAAAAGCUCAUUCUGUCAGAAACUCUUCACCUGAGCUCAGAGCUCGUCGUGACACCGGGGCAGGCGCUCCAACACGAAUCAUCGCACAGCUGCAGCCGGACACGAACGCAUCAUUGAUCCUAGAGCCCUAGCGCCACCGCCAAGCCUGCCGCGACGACGACAAGCAGCCGGUACAUCCAUCUCGAGUCUCCUGUGCGUGACGUGCCUCGCGUCGUAGGCAUAGGCUUCGAGCGAGCCCUAGCCGCGCCGAUUGGAAGCUGGCCAUUGGCGGCGCGUGAGCUCUCGAGCAUAGCUCGGAACCAGGGGCACGCUACGCCGGAGCCGCGGUGCUAGGCGCUAAUGCUGCUUUGCUCUCUUCUUUCUGUGCACCACUGGGAACUGGCUAGCUGUUCCAGCCUCCACUCUCCAGUGCCUGGAUUAUUCCUCCUGUUCCCGUCAGAAUUGCCUGCACUAUAGACUAGGGUUUAUUCCGUCACCAAGGACGUCAGUCACGGCAUUUUUAUUAUUAUUAUAUGGUGUAGUGACAUUCUAUAUCAAAGUGAGUGACCGCCACUCGCUCUUGUCCUAGCUUUUUCUCCGCUCUUCUUUCUACUUGAACGCUGUCUUCCCUUCAGGCUUCAGCAGCAGCUAAUUUUUGCUCGACGUGACUGGAAGAAUGGAGCCACCUUUCGUUUUCUUUCACGUCGAUCAAUGCUGUCGCGUAGGGCACUAAUCGUAGCGACAUGAUGCUGUGCUGGAGAAGUUGUAGCUGAUGAUGUGCUAGCUAACAUAUAUGACUAGUCCUUCCGAAUGAACGGCAUAGGAUUCACCUGUCUGGAUAGCAGUAUGGUAUAGGUACCGAGUCUGUAAGCAAUUUCAUUACUACAAGUAGAAUUUUAUGAUGUACGUUUGUACUUGCCUGGAUGAGAAAUUGGGAAUGAUGGAUUCAGAGUAGAUCCCAUCAUGAACCCCGGAGAAGUCAUUCUCAUCAGGUGGCUGCCAAUCUUGUAACGUCUUGCUGUGUCACAUGAACAUGACCGACUGGCUCGUUUUGAGGCCCUCGUCAACCUGUAAAUUAUACCUCGUUGCGUAUCCUUGCAAGCGACGGGGACAUGAAUUGCGUGCAGCAAGAAAAAGACACUCAUGAGUCAUGACCUGGACCAAGCAGGACUGUAUCUGUAUGCACCUCUGAAUGACCUGCAUCUGGAUUCAUGUGUGGGACUUGGAACGAAACAGGCGAUGCGUGAUCGAUCGGUCGUGCUCAAUCAAAGACUUCUCUUGGACCAAGAAAUGCUCGGAAUAUCGAUCGAUUGUCUCGGAGAAGGAUGAUUUCGACGUCAGAAAAAACACGACAGCAUUCAGAAUUUGGGAUGAUGAAGCUUCGAAAGGAAUCUGCGCUCGUAUCUAAAGGGAGGGGUGAAUUAAGCAACUUAAAAUAUUAACAUAUGACUUUCACUAGUUUUGCAUCAAACUUAAACUAGAUCAUGCUAUCAAGAUGUGCAACUAUGACUGAUCUAGUGUGAAACCCUCAUCAAGAACAAGUUUUGUAACCUAGAGCCAAUCCUAGCAAGAUACUGCACAAAGAAAGUAAAUGCACACAAGUUGCAGGUAUAAAAUAUGGAAACAUAAGAGGUAAGGAUGAGGAGAAGCAAGCUCUUACUACUAGAAAAAGCAGCUCUAGGACCGGUUGGGAACCCCCUCUAGUACCGGUUGUGCAACUAGUACUAGCAAAUCGGUAGAGGGGGGUCAUCUAGUACUAGUUUAAGGGUAUUAAAAAAUUAAAAAAAGCAAAUCCCCCACGGCCGGCCCCGCCACCCCCACCGCCGGCCUCCUCCGUCGGCCACGCCUCACUCCCUCGCCUGCUCCUUAGCCUUCGCCCUACCACCCACCCACCUGCUCCUCCGCCUCUGCCCCUCCCCGCCACCCUCCGCCGCAUCCAGCACCUGCCGCUCCUGGCCCCCUCUGCCGCCCUCCACAGCCCGCCCCUCCCCGCCGGCCCCCACUGCCGCCGCUCCUGCCAGGUCCUCGCCCCCGCCCCCACCGCCCCCUGCACACAGGCACAACAGCACAACCACACAAGAAAUCUCCGCCCUCCGCCAUCCCUCCACCGCCAUCCUGUCGUCCUCCGAAUCUCACGCCGAGCCCGCUGCAGCCGCCGUUGCUCCACCGUCACCGCCGCUCCCGGAUCUCGCCCCAAUGGCCGCUGCCGCCACGCCUCGCCCCGCCACCGCUCCUCGCCUCAAGCACGAGGUGAGGGGCAAGCAGAGGGAGAAGGAGAGGGGAGGUCGGGGAGGGAGAGCUCGAGGGAGGGAGGAGGAGGAGGAGGAGGGAGAGGGAGAGCUCGAGGGAGGGAGGGGGGCGGUGGAGGGGAGGGAUAGGGAGAGCUUGAGGAAGAGAGAGAGGGCCAGUGGAGGGAGCUGAGGGAGGUGAGAGGAGAAGGAGGCGAGGAGAAGGAUCGGAAUGCGAGGAGGAGUGUUAAGGGAGCCAGCGGAGGGACGAAGAGGAUAAGGUAGCGGAGGGGGGAGAAAAGGUGGAGGGAGGUGCGAGGACGGAGGGAAAAAAUCUAAAUGUUGGUGGGGGAACCCUCUAGUACCGGAUGGGGGUUCCAACUAGUACUAGAGGUCACCCUCUAGUACCGAUUGGAACCUCCACCUGGUACUAGAGGGCCGUGGUAUCCCAAACUUAGAUCCGGUACUAGAUAUAACAUUGUACCGGGUCCAAAAGUAACCGGUACUAAGUCUUGGGAUGAGAGCUCAUUUUUCUAGUAGUGUCUUGACACGAUUUAUCCCAUGGUAUCGGUGGUACUAAGCCACCACUAGUCCACGUUGUUGAAGCACUCACACAACUUCUCGGUCACCAAGUCCCUUCCGGGACACCCCUUGACUUGCCGCAAAGGCUUGGCCACUAAGUCUCACGCCAAGUUUUCCGGUCACCUUGGUACCGUCUUCACUAAAGAGCUUCUCACUAAGGAAGGGGGUCUCCACGUCCCACGCACACGGUCGUCGACAACGCUCCACACCAAGCCGGAGGAUCGAAGACUUGCCGGCGAGCCACGAAGGCUCCAAGGCGCCGGCACACCUUGUACAACUGUGGUUCACUCCUAAAAUCGAUCACAAGGCAAACACAGCUUGCACUCUCUCUUCUCUAGACCUAUCCUAGCACUAAUCACUCUUCUAAGCUUGUGCUAAGUCUUUAAUUAAUCACUUAUUCACUUUUGGUGGCUUGGAUGUAUUCUUAAUGACUCUUGAUCUCCAAUGGACUUCCGCACACUCCAUCAAACCUCAAAUGGUUGAGUAGAGGAGGUAUAAAUAGCCCAAAGCGUCAAAAAGUCGUUGCUCCAACGGCUAGUUAAAGUGUACCAUCGGAUGUUCUAAUGGUGUAUUUUUGGGUAGCAACGGAAUAUCCAGUGCAACUAGCUGUUGGCUCCCCCGCGCCCAAUUUCUUCAAAAAUUAAUCCGACGCUUCAUCCAAUGCCCCCAUCGGAUCAUCCGGUGCUGAUGGUUUUCUAGCCAAAACCUCUCUGGAACUUCGCAAAGUAAAUAUGCUUCGUCCGACGCCUCCAACUCCUGACCGUCGGAUCAUCCGGUGCUAUAGGUCCUUUUCUACCUUCUCCAAGAAUUUCUCCGACGCUUGUAAAAAUCAUGCCGUUGGAUCAUCCGGUGCUUCCUAGAACUUAAGUUGAUUUUCCAGUUGUACCAAUUGCUCCAACGCUUGCUCCGAUGGUUGCUCCGACGGACCAUCGGAUCAUUCGAUCGUUGCUCCGACGGACCAUCGGAUCAUUCGAUGAUACUGACUUUUAUGAAUUAAAUACCGCCACUUGCAUACCAAAAAUACCGUCAUUUUCUCUUUCAUUUGGUUGAUUGAAUACUGUAGAAUAAUCUUAGGUACCAUGGCUUGGUCACUUGAAUACCAUAGCUUGGACACUUGAAUACCAUGAUUUGGAUAUCAAGAAUACCAUGACUUGGACUUUGCCAUGGUUUGGUUUGUAUUCUUGGGACUUAGAAAACCUACAAGGUACAUGCUAGAUAAGGUAUUAAUCCCAAUAAUUAUAUUGUCACUCAAUCACCAAAAUCACAAACUAUAGUUUAAUGAGACCAUAUUCGCUACAAAGUUACAUAUUCAGGUUGUUUUCUUAAGCAAACAUAUGACCAAAGAUACAAAAUUUGUGGAUCGCAGUGAUGCCUGUGACCUAGGUAGCUAAUAUCUUUUGUCAAUUAGCUGCCGAUUUUGCGUUUGUAUGCACAUGAUAGAAUGCCCAAUCUUCUUUGUUCUCUCCUGCUGUCCUGCGCCUCCUGCAACCGGGAGAUUACAAAUUGUGAUCCAUGAAACGUCUAGCUCCAAUUUGUUUUAGCUUGCAAGCGACGCCUUUUCAUUUCUUUAUGCAUGAUGAAGCGUGACAGCACUGAAUUCAGUCAUUCACCGUUGCUGACUGCUGAGCCACAGAUUCAUAGUGAUCACAAGCAUUUAAAGAUGUCAUCCGAUCCGACAGGGAGGAAGAUGGUGACGCGAUGAUGUCGUCUGCAGGAAAUGUUGGAUCGCGAUCAUGCUGCACGCAUGUGCCUGCACAUAGUACAUCAUAGGCAAAAUACACAGGCCCAUCGGGGAGCGAAUAUAUCUGAAUAUAGUACACUGAUUAUUCUUCAGCUCGCGACGGCUACGAGGGGGCGCUACGGACUCAUGCUGUCCCUCUUGGAAUUAUUGGAUCCGGAAUCUGGAAACAGUGUGCGCGGCUUGGCAACUUUUUUCCUUUUGAACGCAGCAGUUCGACGGAUGCAAGAUGUAUAGUACAAGCAGUUCUAUUCUCCAGUCACUGAUGCAGCUCACUUUUCUGAACAAUUACAAUGUCCUCCCUCUCUGCUCCCGUGAGCGUGAAUACUCCCCCCAUCUCGGAAAGAAUAGAACUCUAGCAUUUGAAAUUUGUCUUAAAAAAAUGCACCUCCAACUAAAUGUGGGAUCCACUGAUGCAUAGAUGUAGAGGCACAUACUUCAUUUUAUAUGUUCAUUGAUCCGUACGAAGAAUGUUAGACUUGCAUCUUUUUUGGACGGUGGAGUAGAAGAGAACAACCUGAACCUAUGCAUUUCUGACUUUCUGCGCCCUAAUUUUCACGAGGAUGGAGAAUGGAAGCUAGGCAACCCUGUCUCCCAAUGCCAUGUGAGCCCCACUGGGAUGAGGCCGCACGCUCCAUCAUCCUCCGGUCAAAGUUCCUGGAGCGGGUACGUUGAUGUCGCCAUUAGUUUAAACCCUGAUGAAACAGGCACGACACAUGACCUGACAAAAAGUUGCCCGGCUGCUUAGGCCUAGCACAAAGGCUUGCCGUGAUUGGUGCAUUCUGAAGCCAUGGAAUGUCUGGCGUCCUUGUCGCCUCCAGACCCUCCAGGGCCAAACCACCAGCAAACCUCACAUCACCAGCUAAAAAAAGGUUGCCCCGGGCGCCCACUCCUUGCCUGCCGCUCAAGCAAGUGCGCAGGUUGACAGGCGAUUAGUUUAAUCAACGAGGUGAAGGAGUCAGUCAGGACUCAGGGCUCCUAAGCAAAGUGCAGGAAAUGAGGAUGGAGUGGCUGCAGGUAAACACGGGCAGAAAGCGAAGCUGAUAAUCUAGUGCUACAGCUGCCACUCGGACAUGACACGUAGGAUUGGUACGUCGGCUGGGCCCCGUGGAAUUGCGGUUGCCUGCAUCUGCAUCUGCGUGCGUGCAUGAUUGAGGCGCGCACAUGGAAGCAUCAGCGCGCAGGGGCGCAGGCGCAGCGCUCAUGCUCAUCAGUCACCAGUUCACACCAGAGGGAAGAAAUUUGCCAGCCACAGGCACUGCCUGCACUCUGCUAUAGUGAUGGCGAUGUUCAGAGGCAGCUGCUGCUUGCUGCUCUCAUUUCCGGGUACGCUUGCGCUGUACCGCCUCUCCAUCCUUAUUUUUCUGAUAACUUUCUCCAUCUUUAUUGUUCACGCCAUGCCAUCGCCAUGCUCCCUCCGCUGCGCUCGUAUCUGCCCAUGGCACAGUCGCGAUCCUGGGUCGGAGCCUGUGGCAGCGGGUGCCUGAUUUUCACGAGUAAUUUGGAGGCUACCACACGGCCGCUUUUGGGGGUCGGUGAGGCCUCUCCUCUCGUUUUGGAAUUUCUUGGCGGUUGCAGUCUUGCAGAUUGCAGAGAGCCCUGCAGAUUCUUUUGUUUUUUAAAAAAACUGGCAGUGCAGGCUUUGUUAUGCAGCGCGAAAGCGAAAGGUUCGUGCGGGGCACGUGUGUCCGUGUGGGCUUUGUGCCCGUCAGUAGUAGUGACAGGGAGAAGAGGAUAAGAGCGAGGUUUUAAAGGGGACAUUUCUUGGUAGGAAUGGCGGAGUUCACUAGUUAAUUGAGAUUCAGUAUUCAGAGAAGAUACAGCAGUGGAUUCGGAGCCUGCCUGCACGGAAAGUCUGAAGCGAUGCGUUUGGGGAGUGUAUUGCUAUGGCACGCACAUGCCCGGAAGCCUGCCUGAGGCCGUAACUGUUGCCACCACCGAAAGGUGCACCAGGCCAGCCGCCAGCUGGUAGAUUCCAACCGGCAAGCUUCCACGGCAAUAUCUACCGGCUACGGUGUUUCGGUGACAAGCGCACCUCACGUUUGACUCCUUGUUUCCUUCAGAAGAAAAAAAGGCUAUCAAAAUGCCAGAAAACGUAGCGUUGGACCUUGCAACGAGCUAGUCACCAAGUAAACAAUGACAAAAACUCCUGGUUUGAAGCUGAAAUCUUGGUACAGCACUUCAGCUCGCUUUUUCAGUACAGUACUCUCGGGCACUGUUGACAAAAAGAGAAGAUACGGCCGGAGCCCUAAUCUGAUAAUCCUAUCCUGCUCACAAACUCGUAGCUAGGACGGAUAGACAUCAUGCAAUUCACCAAACAUUUUGAAAGGAGCGUGUGCUCGGAAAGGAAACAGACAACAGUAGAGUGGUAGUGUGGUACGAGCCGGAAGCAGAUGGAUUUGGCCCUUCCGGGACGUCACGUUCCUCAGCCCCAGAAGCGGCUCCGGGACAAAGGAGCUUUGCCACUGCCCGCCUGAGAAGGGAUCAGCUCCUCAGCGGGACGCGACGAGAGGCCCUCUUUGUAGCCAUCGAUCGCACUCCGGGGUUCGCGCUCGGCACGGACCACGCCGCCGCAGAUCCGCCCAUGGCUUCGUGUCCCCUUCGCUUCUCUUCCAGUCUUCACCGACGCCCCGGACGGGGAGCCGAGUCAGCAUACGCCAAGUCGCCAACAGCCGCCGUCGUGGCAAUGGCAACGCCAAAUCGACAUGCUGGCAGGCGCAUGUGAAUGUGAACGAUGUGGCAGCGCCAGCAGCCCACUAGGCUGAUCAUCAGUCACUGAUAGGUGACGGGCUAAUCAGGAGAAAUGGGGCGAGUGUUCGUACUCCCUGUGACCAUACCGGCCAAAAGAGAUGAGGAGAGCCGUCGCCUGCACACAGCACACACAGUGGGACAGUGGUUCACCUCCGACGACCCGUGCUCCGGGCUCCGGCGCCAAGCACAAGAUCGAGCAGAACGCGCUGCUACGCGCUCCCCUGCAGCUAGCACGAACAGUGGGUCCGCUUCCGGGCAGGCUAGCUGCCUCCUGCCGGCCCCAAGCCCAUGAUUUCGCGGGCGGCGACGGGGAGGACGAUGUGCAGCCAGCGAACAUCGUUCGGCGCGCACGCUGCUUGCUCCUGUGGAAUCAGCCGGCGUGGCGUGUGUAGUGGCGCUUGAUGCUGGGUGAGCAACAGGGCCCAGGUGUGGCGCGUGCGUGCAUGGGGACAUGUGUACUUGCGUGUACCGAAAAGGAGGUCCACUACUAGCCGUAUUCUGGCUUCUGCGUCGUGGCAAGGCCGGUCGAUGGACGGACGGAAGGACGGGCACUCGGCGUCGCCACCUGACGUGAGGGCGAAGCGAGUUGCUGCGCAAUAGCCAGCAGCAUGAACUGGGUCCGUGUUUGGGAUAAAAAAACUAAGCACCCUCGAACGCCGUUCCCAGCAUGUGAAAUCUUUUGACCUCGCAAGUUGCACACAGGCAACAAGAAGAACGAAACCCUUUAACCUCGCAAGUUAAAAAAAAA